AGCCAACCCCUAUGCAAAUUCUUUGAGAUGCUUCGCCGACAUGACAGUAAUGCUUCCAUAGUUCACAUACACAAUUGAAUUGGGUUCCCUUUUGUUAAGCCAUUCAAUGCAGCUUGUAUCUUCCUUCUAUAGGCUUGGGUUCAUUCACUUGGAGGGAUCGGCAUGUAGGUGCCUGGCAAGCAAAUGAAGUGGUCCUAUUGUAUAAAUUCGAGGAAAUUUGGCAGCGAUGGCGUCUAACACUUCAUGUUCGAACUCUUCAAAUGCGUUGAAGAUUAUUGCUGAAGCUUUUAGGCAAUUUUGAGCUUCGGAUCCGAAAUAAUCAAACAAAAUGUCAUUCGGAUCGUUGGCUUUGACGAAGCUUGAAAAAUCUCUGAGGCGAAUGUUACUCAUUCUAGGGACCCAGUCAAUAGGUUCAUUGAGAAAUGUUUCACCUGACACAACAAAGAGUCAAAUUUGAGUUCCUUUUAGACAAUUUUCUUAGCUAUAAAGUUGAAAUAAUAAAGUACUUACUUUGGAAUAGAAUAAUGCCUCGUUUAGCCAGUUCACUGAAGUGAAGAUAUCCCAUGAAAGUACAUGCUGAGGCAGUCCAAAACUGAACUUCUGGUAUGCCAAGUUGUUCAACAGCCUUAAUAGCAAAGCUCAUAAGUGUAACAACCUGAUUUUUGACCCUAAUCGGAACAGUGGUUUCGGGACCACAAAUUCGAGUCUGAAAAAAUAUUUUAGUAUUAUUUUCUGUGUCUGUGAUAUUUGAAUUUGAUAGUGUGAAAUUUUCGUAAAUUAAUUUGACUAUUUGUGUGUUUAAUUUGAUAAAAGGACUUAAUCGCGUAAAAUGCAAAAGUGGCUAGUUAAUUGUUAAAAGACUUUAUUGCUAUGGUUUUUCUAAUGUGGGGUCCUUAUGUUGAUAUUAUACCAAAUAUAUUGUAAGUGGACUAUUAUAGACAAAUGUUAGUGGAUUUUAAAUGAAUAAAUAAAGGUUAAAAUAGUAAAUUAGGUAUUUAUAUGUAUUAAAUAAAAUAAACCAUGAAAGUGGCCAUGCAUUUGGCUUUGUUUUGCCGAAAAUUGAAGAACAAAGAACACCUUUGGUGUUUUAAACAUUCAGCAGUUAGGAAGCUAAAAUUUGGUAUGUAUUUUGCUUGGCUUUUGAUAAUUUUUACAUUUCUGAGAUCGUUGCUUCGUAUCCUUUAAAACCCAUGUCUUAAUUUUGUGAAUUGUGGAUAAUUUUGAAAUGUACCAUUGAUGAAUGCUUGAGUUUUAUGAUGUUAAUAGGUGGAAAAUAAAUAUAUGUUGUUAGAUUUUCAUUUUAGUAAUUUUUGAUAAAAAUGUGUAUUAAGGACUAAAUUAAUAAAAUAUUAAAUUGAGGGACUAGAAUGUGAAAUAAAUGACAUGCAAGGACCUAUAUGAGAUUAGGAGUAUUCGGCCAUACUAUAGUAAAAUUAAUUUGGAAUAUUUUGUGUUUUGUGCAAAAAAGGACUAAAUUGUGAAAAAUGUAAAAUGUUAGGGGCAAAAUUGUAAUUUUCCCAUUUAUGUGAAUUUAGGCUAAAUUUUAUGGAAUAAUGUUUAAAUAAGUUUAAUUUGAAUUUAUUUAGAUCAAGAAUUAAAGAAGUCGAAUUUGGAUUGGGGAAAAACAAAAGUAAUCGAAUAGUCGAACGUCUCCGUCUAUAUCCGAGGUAAGUCUAUUAGCUAUUUAAUGAUAUUAAAUUAGUAUAUAUGUAUGUAUAUCGAUUGUAGUUGUUGUUGAGCUUUAAUUUUAAAGUAAUUUGAUUGAAUAAAUUAGAAUUAUAAAUGGUAUAUAUAUAGAUAUAUAUAUAUAUAUAUGCUUAUAUAAAUUUUUUAUUUAAGUUAAAGUAGGAAUGCUAUAAAAGCAUAUAUAUAUGAAUAUAUAAUGUAUUAAUAUUUAUAUAUGUAUCUAUAUGAAUAUGUUUAUUUAAAUUGAUUGUUUGNNNNNNNNNNNNNNNNNNNNNNNNNNNNNNNNNNNNNNNNNNNNNNNNNNNNNNNNNNNNNNNNNNNNNNNNNNNNNNNNNNNNNNNNNNNNNNNNNNNNNNNNNNNNNNNNNNNNNNNNNNNNNNNNNNNNNNNNNNNNNNNNNNNNNNNNNNNNNNNNNNNNNNNNNNNNNNNNNNNNNNNNNNNNNNNNNNNNNNNNNNNNNNNNNNNNNNNNNNNNNNNNNNNNNNNNNNNNNNNNNNNNNNNNNNNNNNNNNNNNNNNNNNNNNNNNNNNNNNNNNNNNNNNNNNNNNNNNNNNNNNNNNNNNNNNNNNNNNNNNNNNNNNNNNNNNNNNNNNNNNNNNNNNNNNNNNNNNNNNNNNNNNNNNNNNNNNNNNNNNNNNNNNNNNNNNNNNNNNNNNNNNNNNNNNNNNNNNNNNNNNNNNAUUUAUAUAUACAUGAAUAAGUUGUGAACUUAGGUAAAGGAAAGAAUGUGUAUAUAUAAAUUCAUAUAGGUUCGAAUAUAAAUAAACAUACUUGUAUGGGCUUUUAAUUUUUAUUUAAAAGGUAUAAAUGUUAAAUAUGUAUACGGGAGUUGAAUAUAUAUCUAUAUGUACAUUUGUGUACAAGUUUUUAGAUUGAAUUAAAGACAUAAAAGUUUAUGUUUUUAUAAAUGAGGUUCGAAUAUAUAUUUAUAUGAUUAUAAGUUAUUAGUACUUGAAUUGGAUUGAAAAUAUGAUUUGCAAACUCAUUUAUGUUUGAGCAUGGACUACGGUGAAUAUGUGUUUGCUGUUAAUAAAUAUUUGAGGAAUUAUUCUGUAUACGAGAAAUUGAGAUUUUCAGGUUUUAAAACCUAGCAGACUAAGUGCCGGUGAUCUAAAUCAGGUUAUAAGCCUUGCAGGCUAAGUGUCGGUGAACUGAAUCAGGCUAUAAGCCUAGCAGGCUAAGUGCCGGUGAGCUGAAUCAGGCUAUAAGCCUAGCAGGCUAAGUGCCGGUGAGCUGGAUUAGGCUAUAAGCCUAGCAGGCUAAGUGCCAGUGAAUCUGUUUAAAUUCAGUGAUUAUUUGCAUUAGGUAUAUAUAUGAUUUUGGUUAUAUGUAAUGGAUAAAUAUACGAACAUUUGUUUCUAAGUAUUUGAUGAGCAUAUAAACGUUUGAAUCUUUGUGUUUAGUGAGUAUAUAUAUGUUGGUUAUCAUGAAAUUGUUGGAUAUAUAUAUGUGUAUGCACUCGACAUAUGUGGAUUAUAGUAAAAAUAUAUAUGUGCAUUCGGCACAUGUGGCUGAUAAGUAUAAGUAUAUGCUUUUGGCAUAUGUAUUUGAAUAAUAUAUAUAUGCAUUCGAUGAAGUGCAAGUGAUAAGCACAUAUAUGCAUUUAGAUAUAUGCAGGUGAUAAAUACAUAUAUACAUUUAGUUAUAAUAAGUGUAUAUACAUUUGGAGCUAAUAUUUGUUAAGCAUAUAUGUAUAUAAGCAUUCGGCUAUUCAUGUUUAUGGUGAAUUUACAUUCGGUUUUAAGAGUUGAUAAUUAAGUAUGCUUUUGACUAUAUGUCAUAGUUAACAUAUAUAGUAUUUGCGAAUUCAUUAAGUGUUUCAAGAAAUUACAUAAUUAUUUCAUAAUUUCUGUUAUGCUAUAGACUUACUAAGCUAUAAAAGCUUACUUUGUUUGUUUAUGUCUUUCUGAUUUUUAGACAUAAGAUCAAGCUUCAAGCUCGGAGAUCGUCAGCAAGUUCAUCACUCUAUCUACUGUCUCGGUAUUAAACUGUUUUAAUUUUAACUUUGGCAUGUACAGGCUAGAUAAAUGUUUUGGAAAGUCGUACUUUGAUAUAUUCUAUAUGAAAUUAAUAGCCAUACGAAAAUGGCUUAUUUUCUUAUGGUUUAACGGGAUCAAAAUGUUGUGUUUUGUUUUAAAAAAGUUAAAGUAGAAUUUAUAAUUAUACUUACUUAAAAUUUGGCUAAGCUUAAUAAAUUUCCAUUUAUAUAUAUAUAUAUAUACAAUGCUUAUAUUUUGAUUUAGAAAUAGUUGAUUUAAACAUGUAUUCAAACAAAUUGCAUAUCAAUGUUAAAUUCUUGAAUUCUAUUGAACAUUUGUAUUGAGGUGUGUUUUGUUCAGUAAUGCCUCGUAACCCUAGUCCGGCGACGGAUAAGGGUUAGGGGGUGUUACAAUAAGUCCAUCAGAGAUUAUGCAAGUAACAGUUGGCACUUGGGGCGAGGAGUUUAACUUAGCUAGUAGCUAUACGAAUGGUGCCAAGCAAUGCUUUCGUAUCGAAUCACACAGAACUCGAAGAUCCUGUGUUGCAUUUCGAUCGGACGAUGGCAGCCCUUCCGAUAUUGUUUCGAACUGGAAAUCAGGCAGACCUUUAACGAAGUCAGGGCCUUUGGACCAGACCAAAUGCCUAUGGUUGAACUCAGUGUUAACAAAGGUUAUGAAGAAGCCUCUAGAGUGUAAGAGCUUAGCAAGUAGCAUCAUGGGGUUAACAUGACCUUAUGCUGGAAAUGGGACGAUUACAAUAUGGGGUUUACUGGUUUCAAGUGAACCCAUCUUUGCAAGGCAAUAACAAAGUUGUAAAAUUAAGGUGUUUGCGGAGAAGCUUUCCUUGCUUUCUAGCUUCUCUAAAGCUUGACGAGUAGCAACAUGCAAUAUAUAGGAAAAGGAUGGUGUGAAAGAGUUACGCUACGUCCUUUGUAUUCCUUUUUCAAUAGAGAAACUGUGGGAAAAUUGAUUAUUUUUAAAUUUUGUUGUUUUAUUUUCAAUCUAAACCAUACAUUUAUAAAGAAUUUUAUAUUUUAUUCUCAAAUCAAUAUAUAUCUGUUGGAGAAUUUUAUUUAUAUUUCUUAUUAAAUGAGAUAUUUAAAAUGAUUCGUUUGACUCGAGUUCUUUUUAAAGAUAUUAGCUUUAAUGUCACAUGCGUUGCAUGUAAUUUUACUCAUUUAAUAUUUAAAUGAUUUUUAAAAAUAUUGUACUUAAUUACAACAAUUAGCAUAAAAUAAUAUUUCUUAUUUGAAUUUUUGAAUAUAACUAAAAUAUAUUAACUUAUCAAUUCAAAUAUAUAAUAGAAAAUUUUCAAGUAAUAAUUAAAGCAUUUUAAAGUGGUAAUUAACAUAGUUAACUCUAUUAUUGAUUAAGUGAUAAUUAAUGUGCUUAGAAUUCUAUUCAAAUAAUAACUCUAUUUUACAUCAAGAAAAUUAGCACAAUUUAAAAAAAAUAAUAUUAGCAUAAUUAUAGUUAUCUGUAACGUCCCAAAAUUUUAUUUUUGGGUAUUGUGAAUAUGAGACCCAAAUAUCUGCUUGCUUCAGUAGUUAAGUGUUUUAAGUGUGUGUAUGAGGUCCCAAGUUCAAGCCAUGCCUUCGGCGAAAUUUUGAAAAUAUUUUCUGAUUAAAGCCUUAUCCUUGUUCAGUUGGCUUAAGUUUACGAGUUGGAGUGUUGGAGGUUUUGUGUUCGAAUCUUUGCGUGAGUAAGAAUGUUAAUCUUUUUACUCUGUUUCCUGGAAGAGUUGUGUAGAAGAUGGAUUCUGAGUAGUGGAUUGUUAGUGGGUAGUUAAUUGAGAGAAGAUAUGAGAGUUAUCAGGAUUAUUUUUGUUUUUUAUCAUUAUUAUUUUAUUCUUUUCAAAAUUCAUUUCUCUUUCUAUCUCUCCAAAAUUUUGACGUCGACUUUCUUCUUCACUUUUCUUCUUCAAUUUUUCGCGGCUUCCUGUUGGAUUUUUCGCAGUCAAUCAUUGCUCUUGCGUUCGUGGCCAUUUUUCAUCUGCUAAGUGAUCUCUUUUGGCCUUCUUCCUUUGAUUUGGGGUCUAGCAACGUCAGUUUAUUGUAGUUAAUCGAUGUAUCCUGUGUUUAUGAGAAGAUCAAGGUGCUGGGGUUUCCCAGUCGGCGCUUUAAACAUGCGGAUGAACGUUGCUCGACCGAAGGUAAGAUUUUAGUCGAUUUAAGUGGGUUGUCUAUCACUUUUGGUUCGAUUUAAUGUCAUUCUAAGUGUUUAAUUCUGGGUUCGUUUGGUCAAUUUUAGGUAUUGGAGUUCUCGGGAAUGUUUUUGCAACGAAACAAAACCAGGUGUGUGCCUGAAACACAAAAAUAAGGGAUUCGACGAAAAGCUAAAAUUGCUUGCUGUUUGGACAGCAGCAGUAGGCUAAAUUUGAAAAAUCACCAUAAAUUAUGGAAAUCGAAUUAGAGGAAGAAAAAAGUAUGGGAUUAAAUAAAUUUGAGUCUAGUUUCUCAUAGAAGAAACUAAGUAAGCAAAAGAAUUUCAUAUUAUGAGAUAUUUGAAUUUUAGUGAGACAGGAUCAGAAUAAUUUCAGAAUCCCCUAUCCUGACUUUGGAAAAUUAUUAAAAAUUUUAUAAAAAUAAUUAUGGGUUAUAAUUUAUAUGCUUAAAAUCCUGAAUAAGUUUAUUUUCAAGAGAAAUAAACAAGAACAUCAUCUGGAUUCUGUAUGAGAAGAUAAUUAAUUUUUAGUGCAAAAAGGUUGAAACUAUUAGACAGCAGAAUAGGAGAAACUUUAAAGAAUAAACUAUACGUAUUGGAUUAACCAAAAAUUCUAAAAAUUUUAUGGUAAGAAGAUAUGUGAGUUUAGUUUUAGGGAAAAUUUGCAGAUCUUAAUUCGGAAUUUUGCAGCUUAAGAUACAAAUCAUUUAGUAACAGGGACUCAAGUUGAAGGAUCAUAUGAGUAAAUAGUGGAAACACAUAUGAAUAAUUAACUAGCACGGGUUACAUUAAAAUGGAUCACGAGGCCAAUGCCAGUUUGGGUCAUGUGGGCCACACGAGCGUGUGGGACAACACAGGCGAACAUCAUGGGCUUGUAGGCCCAUUUUCACUGUUUGACUGAUAAGGUUGCAAGGGUCGCCAAAUUUGACUGUGAACUUAUAGUAGGGUCGGUAAGCUUACCUAGACCCCUAAUUGACUGAAAUGACUGUAUGACUAAUAUGAUUAAGCCUGAUGAUGCCUCACUGAUUUGAUACUGUAUGGCCUGUUUACAUGCAUGAUAUUAUGUUAUAGCAUGCCAUAUUUGUAUAUUACAUUGCAUUGGGUUGGGGGAUUAUAAUGUUCAGAGGAAGUGUACUGAAAAGCCUUGAGCUUAAUUUAUUAGCAGCUCAGCUGCAAACUACUGUCUAGUGUCGCCUUCGGUACUACUUAGAGUGUAGGAAUGAGUGGGUUGAUUAUAUCCCCACAUGGAGUGCAGGGUUGGUGGAUGGGUAGGAUUUUUGUGACUGCAUAUCUAUUACUGUUACUGAUAUUGUGAUGGGCUAAAGCCCUACUACAUGACUGUUUUUGUACUGAGGUGGGAUAAGACCCAAACAGGACUGAUACUGAUACUGAUACUGAUACUGAAAAGGGUUUAAGCCCAAACUGUGAUUAUCUAUUUACUGUCUAUUCAUUUGUAUGGGGAUUACACACUGAGUUUACGUAAACUCACCCAUUCUGUUUAAUCUGUACAAGUAAUCCCCAGAUUUAGGCAGAUCGGUGCGGCGGAGGACUCAAUGGUGGCCACACGACUUCUAUUACACUGUUUAUUACCUAUUUAUGAUUUUACUUUUAUUUGGGAGUAUUUUGCUGUAAUUAUGGCCUUUAUGGAUUUUAGUUUAAAUUUAGUUUUUAUACGGUUUUAUGAUUUAAAUCUGCUAGUGUUAGGUAAAACUUGGGUUUUCAAAUGAAAUUAAUGUUUUAUAAAAAAUACCACGAAUGUGCAAAUUGUUUAAAAGCUUCCGCAAUAAGAAAAUGUUUUGACAUUGAAUAACGAUUUGUAAAUGAAUAAUGUUUUGGAAACGAACGACACGAUUUGAAAUUAACAUAAGAUAGUGAAAAAAAAGGUUAAAUAGAAAAGGGUAUUUAGCGACGACAUAUUUUUCGAAAAGCACUACCUUGUGACAUCGUCAGAUUCGGCCAUAACGUUUAGGCUGGGUUUGGGGUAUUACAUUAUCACAACUUUUUGCGCUAUAUUUUAUGCUUAGAGUUAUUUUCAAGUAACCAUUUUUAUUAAAUUAUAAUUAUUUUUUAAAUGUAUAAUUAUCAAAAUUUAUAUUUUAUUUCAACUUUUUUGACGAAUAAUUCUAAAUUAAAUAUUAUUUGUUUUUAAAUGUGAAUUUAAUAAUAUGAUGAAAAAAAAGAUAUUCAUCAAUUCAACAGUUUUUCCAAACUCAUACUUUUAUAUAUAUUAUAUAUAUGAUAGAUGUAAUCUACCUGCUAUAAUAAAAAAAUAAAUAUUUUUAAAAUUAUCGGAGUUGAUUUAAAUUAUUAUUUUAUUAUUGGUUGACUGCAAGUGGAGUAAUAGUACAUUAGUCUUAGACCAUGUUUGGUUCGAUGGAAUUGCUAUUCCAUUCCGUCCCUAUUCUGUGCACAACAGUAAUUCACUAAUUUGGUUCAUUGUUUAAGUGAUUCUGCAGAAUUCUAUUGCACCUUUAUUCCCUCAACUCUUGUAAUAGAAAUUCAGGGGUUGGGGGUCUGAAUUGCUAUUCAAAAUCACCCGUAAUAACAUUUUUCCUUUUUUGGACCAAAAUAGCCUACCUCUCUUAUUCAUCGUUUUCACUUUCACUUCAGCAGAUUUCUUCCUCGACAUUUAUCCCCAAAGUGAACCCUAGAAAUUAGCUCCUUAAUCGACGACAAAUCAAGCAUUCAUUCGCCAUCUUCAUCUUCAUCUUCCUUCUAGUUGAACCUCCUUAUUUACAGUAAGUGCCUUUGAUUCCUAUUUUUUUUCUCUGAUUUUUUAGUUAAAGUUCUUUCACUUCUUUCAACUGUUCUUUUCCCCUUUCAUAUUUGGAUAUAAACUAGCAAAGCAGAUUGUAAAACCAGCAAAGCAAAUUAUUCUUGGAUGAUUCGGUGAUAAGCAACUAUUUUGGUUCCCCGAAUCCUCCAUCCGACAGAAUUUCAUUCAUCUCCCAUUCACAAAAUUAGUCGAUUGGUUGAUCCUAUUAUUUAGGGAAAUUUAGGGUUAGAAAGCUAAACUUGUUUUUUUUUCGAAUUGUUGGGCAUUUCUGUUUAUUUUCAGGUUGCUUGUCUCAAUAGUAAGGGAUUUCAAUUUCAGGUUGGAAUUUGUUGUUUGUGGAAAAUGGGUUGGUGGAGUUUUGGAUUUUGAGCUUUGAAUCAGUUACAGAGUUUUUAAGCAAGAAAAAGAAAAAGAAAACAGAGGCAGGGGAGAUAAGGAAAUCGUUUUACCAGUAAAUUUGCCAUUGCUUUGCUUUGCUUUUUUUUUUUUAAAAUUUUGAUUCUGAAAUGUUGGGCUAGUUACAGUGUAAGAUGAACAAAGCAUUUCAGUUGAGAAAAUAAUUGAAGUUAAAUUAAAGGGAAAUUCGACAUAUGUGCUAAUAUGCUUUGUUUAUUUUUGAAUCUUAAUGCUUAGAAAAUCAUAAGUUGCAUAGAGAUUUAGCUACUGCAUCGGGUUUUAGAUAAAGUUUUACCAGCAUCAUUAGGUUUUCUUUUAAUCUUAUCAAUUAAACAUUUGAUUGAUAAUUUUAGUUUUUUGGGAUUUUAAUUAAUUGGAUAUUGGGUUCGAACGUUUGAUUAGUUUAAUGUAGCUGUAUAAUAUGUGGAAAUAUUUGGUAACAGCUAUCCUGAAAUUUGAUGUAUCAAUCCUUUGUGAUGCUGAAUGGCCUAUGUUGGGAAUUAGGGUUUUCAGUCCUCUUUAGAAAUUGGAUAGAUUUCUUACCUUGCUGCUUGUCCCUAGUUCCACCAAAAAAAUAUGACCCUAUGUUAGGCCUUUUAUGGAGUUUAGAUGGAAGUUUUAGAUGUUGCAAAAUUAGAUUGCUUUUAGUGCAAUGGUUCUUUUUACUGGAUUUUGUUUAAUGAUGCUUUAUUUGAUACAGUUUAAUGUGCUUUUUAGAUCAUAUGUUUCAGAUGAGAUGGAUCAGAGUGUUUAGAAGAAUACGGUGAGAACAGGGUAAUUUUCCAACUGUGUUCUUAACCUUAAAUGCUACUUUUUCUUCCUCUUCUUUCUUUCUUUUUCUUAAAUUUUGUUAGUAUAAUGUUAUAAGUUGAAAGAAGUAAGAGCAUUUAUUUCUUUGUAUUUUCUGCCCUCUUGGAAUGUACCGUAUACAUUAUGUUGUUGUGGUUAACUUUAACAUUUUAUUGGAGUGUUUUGAAAACUAGGAGGAUAGAGGAUUGGUGGGAAGAAUGAUAGAAAAUGAGAGUACUUUUUCAUUCAUAUGCUCUCUAAGAAUGAUUUAGAAUUGGAAUGCAAGAAAAUGAUAUACCUAUUUAGUUUUUGUCUGUAAUCUCGCCAUCCUUUUUGUUUUGCUGGAUUAAAUAUUUAAGGUUUUAAGCUGUAAUUAGAAGAUGUCAUAGUUAUAAUUAAGAUGUCCUACUGCUGUAUCUUGAUUAAAAUGUAAGUAUUCAUGCUGUAAGUAUUUAUGUUGUCUUAAAACAUUAUCUGAAGUGGAUUAAUUGUUGUAAUUUAAACGGCAUUAAUAAUGAAAUUGUGGUAUCUUAAAACGAUAAAUUGAGAGGAGUUAUAGUUGUAAUUUAUAGUGCUUAGGUGUCGUGGUUAAAAUGUAUAACUCUGGGAUUGAUAUUGAUGAUGUGCUGGUAAUGAAUAAAUCGAGUUUAAUUUGCCAAAUGACAUGUUAUUUUAGAAAUACAAAUUGAGUGUUGCUAAUGGUGAGUUUUCUUUAAACUCCUUUAUUAUUUCCAUGCUCGAAAUUCUUAUCAAUUUUACAUGGAUGAUUCGGCGAUAGUUAAAUAGGGAAAAAAAUUGUUCUUUACAAAUUUCAUUGUUGCUACUGUUUUGUAUUGGUUAAACUUGUUUAUUUCAGAUUUAGUUGUUGUCCAAUUAGUGCAAAAAUUUCCUGUAGCUCAAGCAAAGUAGAUGCUGUUGCUGCUCGUUUUUGUACUUUUAAAGCCCUAUUUAAGUACUGCAAUUUGAAGUGUUUAGUAGUUGGAAAUUGAGAUGUUUUAUUGCUGUAAUUGAGGUGCAUAAAUGUUGUUAAUAGAGAUGUUAAAGUGCUGCAAAUUGAAGUGUUUAAAUGCUGUAAAUUGAAGUGUUAAAAUGUAGCAAAUUGAAGUAUUUAAAUGCUGUGAAUUGAAGUGUUAAAGUGCUGCAAAUUGAAGUGUUUAAAUGUUGUAAAUUGAAGUGUUUUAAGUACUGAGGUGUAUAAAUGUUGUUAAUUGGGAUGUUAAAGUGUUGUAAGGUGAGGUGUUUAAAUGCUGUAAAUUGAAGUGUUUAAUUGUUGUAAAUUGAGGUGCUGAAAUGAUGUAAAUCGAAGUGUUUGAGUGCUGCAAAUGAUAUAUGAUUUAAUAACAUUCUUAAUAUAAUUAUCUCAACAAACGAAACAAAAAAAAAAAAAGAAAGUAAAAUGCUACAAACAAAUCAUGUUAUGGUAAGAAUGUAAUGUAUAUGGAGUUUUAGAUUUUAUUUAAAUAAAAAUAAUAACCGAAUAUUUUAAAAGACAUAAUUUUUAAGAUAUUUAACACACUAUAUACCUAUAAUCGAAUUGAGUUAAUACAAAAUAAAAGAAAUUAAGACCUUAUUUUCUUUUCUCAUAAAAAUUAUUAAAUUCAUACUAUUUUUCUUUCCUUUUACUAAUUUUAACCAUUCAAACAAAAUAAUAUAUAUUUUUCUAUUCACAAUUAUGAAUUCAAAUAAAACAUCAGUUAAUUACAAUGUGAGAUGAAUACAAACUUUUUAAAAGGUAAAUUGAUAAAACACUUUCUUUUCUUUUUUUCUUCUUUUUUGAAUUGAAUACAAACUUUUUAAAAGGUAAAUUGAUAAAGGUAAAUAAAACGUCAGUCAUCAAUUAAUCAAAUUCACAAAAACACAUUCUUUUCUUUUCUUUUUUUUUUCUUUUUUGGGUGAUUGAUAAAGAAAUAAAUUUCAAGCUUUUUACUUGCAAAGAUAGUUUUAAUUUCUAUUUUGUGCUUCGUAAAGAUUCUUAAUAUGUAUUAUUCAUUUUUCUUUGAUAGUGUGUUAUUGCUUCCUCUUCUUCUAUGGCUUGUUUGAUUGCUUCCUCCACGUCACACAGUUGAGCGUCUUGUAUUCACUGAAUCACUAUAAGUUCUUUCGCUAUUAAAUUCUUUGAUUUUAUUUUACUGUUAUUGAAAUUAGUAUUGGAGAAAUGUGACCCUUUUACUACGAUUUGAAGAUAUGUAACACUUUAAUAUCUCGUAGUAAUGACUCGUCUGCCUUUAAUAGUACAAAGUGUGAGGCGUAAAAGAAUUGGUCUUGCAUUGUGUAACACCCCAAACCCGGCCUAGACGUUAUGGCCGUAUCUGGUGUGUCACAUUGAAGUGUCUCUCAAAAUUUAGACUUGUUGAUAAAACUCGUUUCUUAAGUUUGGAAACCUCUUUAGUAAUGUUUAACGGAACACUUAACCAAAUGUUUUUCUUAUUAACUACUAUUAUUAUAUUAAGUUGAUUUAAAACGUGGAAGCAUUUGAAAACUCUAACGUUUAAAGUUUGUGUCUUUCAAAACAAUAAUUAUUUUGAAAAUUCGUUUUCACUUAACUAGUAGUAUAAAAUAUGUAAGCAAAAGCCCAAUUAAAAUUUAAAACCCAAAUUAAAGGCUUUAUUACAAAACAAAACCCAACUUAUAAUUUAAAGUAAAAUAAAAGCAAGUGUGAAUAGCAGCAGUUGUGUGGCCACCUCCGAGCCCCUCGCGGCACCGAAUCGCCUAAGACUGAGGAUUACCUACACAGUUAAAAGGAGAGGGUGAGUUUACGAAACUUAGUGUGAAAUCCCCUAUCAGUCAAUCAAUAUACAACAUGCAGUAGCAGUUUGGGCCUAAGCUCUUUACAGCAACAGCGUGGGCCUUAGCCCAAUACAGUAACAGUGUGGCCCUUAGCCCAAUACAAUAACAGUAUAAUGCAGUAAUGCAACCCAUCCCAAUCCAGCCAACACACCACUCCGUACCACCAACACACCAUGUGGGGAUAAAAUCAACCCACCCAGCCAACACACCAAUAUCGCAGCAAAGCUGCCAGUAAUAGUGAUGCAGCAAAGCUACCAGUAACAGUAACGCAACAAAGUUGCCAGUAACAGUAUAUGUGGCAAAGCCACCAGUACAAUAUACUUCCCCUAUAUCAGAAACCCAACCCGUGUAGUAUGUCAUGUCAUAAAUCGCACGUGUAUACAGUAUGUCAGACUCAGUAACAGUCAUAUAUAUAUUAUAGAGCAAAUCGGUCCUACACAUACUUCAACUCCUAAGGGUAUAACAAUCAUUUUACCCUUUGGGGGUAUUUUAGUCAUUUUACCUUGCUAGGGUAUUUCAGUCAUUCUACCCUGCGAGGGUAUUUCAGUUAUUUUACCCUUUGGGGGUAUUUUGGUCAUUUUACCCUUUGAGGGUAUUUCGGUUAUUUUACCCUUUAAGGAUAUUUCGGUCAUUUUACCCUUCGAGGGUAUUUCGGUUAUUUUACCCUUCGGGGGUAUUUCGGUUAUUUUACCUUUUGAGGGUAUUUCGGUUAUUUUACCCUUCAAAGGUAUUUCGGUUAUUUUAGGCCCAUUACAGCCUAAGCCCAUGAAAACGCUCAUAGAGGCCUCUACAAUCUAACACCGUGUUUCGUGGGCUCGAUUUACCACACGAGAGUUCGCAUGCCCAUAUGGUCUCAGCGCCGUCUUUUUUGGAUUUUUGGCUUUUACCGAUUUACAGUUGAGAGAGGGUGUAAUUACACACUUGUUUGUGAAAAUGUACUAAGAUCCACGAAUACCUAAAAUCUGCAUUCAUACAAGUUUUCCAUUAGUUACAAUCAAUAGGGUUAGUCUCAUUCUUUUGCAUCUUUAACCAAAAAAACAAACUAAUACUUGCCUCAACUGACAAAACUGGCUUAGCCCACCUAAACCAUUGACGAAAGUUGACUGCAAUCUUCUUGACGGAUAUCUGCAUUGCAAACGGAUUCAUUAAAUAAGAUUGUAAAAUCAUGUGGUUGAAAUCCGCACAUGAUAAUUUACAGAACCACAAGAACAUUCGGCCUACACCUAGAAGGAAGGCUAGCCUACCUAUUUACCUUGACCGAGUGAUGAGAGAGAGGUUUCGACAACUAUAAAACACUUGAAACUCCUUCACUCUUCGAGGAAAAUGAACCGUCAGAGAACAGUUGUCAAGUCAAAAUAGAAUUGAAUAGAUGAAGAGGGAGAGAAAGGCAAUAUUCGGCCAAGAGAGAAGAAGAAAGAAAGGCAAUAUUCGGCCACAAAGAAAAUAGGAAAGAACCAAAGGCUAUUCGGCCAAAACAAAAAGGGCAUAAAGGGAAAAGCAAAAAAAAACAAAACGAACAAACCCGAGAGGUACUUUGAAGCCUUUGCAAGAUUCGACACCAAAAGAAAAAGGAGAAAACAAAAAAUGCUCACCCACCGAGGCAGACAGAGAGAAAAAUAAAAUAAAAUAAAAACCAAAAACUCCUCAAAAGACAAAAAUUACCCCCAAAACUCCCUCUAGCCGAAUUCUCAAGGUUGAAUAAUCCCCAAAUGGCACAACACUCCCCCUUAUCAAAUUCUUUGAUUUUCUCCUAAAAACUCUCCACUUAUCCUUCCUUGAUUCACUCCACCUAUUUCUCCUAUACUCCCUCUAUGACCAGUUCAAACUCCAUUUAGCAGUGUUCUAGUCCAACUCCACCACCUACCCAGCUCAAGCAGCAAAAUAAAUACUCCCAUGCGUAACCCAUGACUUGAACCUCUGACCUCAUAGUUACACCACAAGCCACCUUGCCACUAGACCACAAGCUAUUUUUGUGUCAUAAAACCAACACUAAUAUUUAUAAGGCCUAUAUGCCUAUGUUCAGAUUCAUUUAAGAGCAAAACUAAAAAUUAUGCAAAAGCCAAGACUUGAACCCAGGCUCCUCAAACACCCCCAUACACACCCAAAUCACUUAACCAUUAAAGCAAGCAAGCAAUUUGUGUCAAAACAUGCAAAAACUAAAGACUUAAAUUUUAGGGCGUUACACAUUGACAAUAUGGUUGCAAAUGUGUACAGUUGCGAGUUGGUUCUUAGUUACAUUCGGUGCCAUCCAUAGCCUACAUACUUAUAGACCAAUGAUUAGAUCCUAUAUUUUAGAUUUUUAUACAAAACGAGAUUAUGUGAAAAAACUUGUAUAUUCUAGUGACGAGACCUGUAUUGAACAAGUUAGGAUGAAUAGAAUUACCUUUUUUAAACUAUGUGAGAUGUUACAAACUUUAGGGAAAUUGAAGUCGUCAAGGAAUAUGUUUGUUGAUGAGCAAGUGGCAAUGUUUUUACAUAUCAUUUCUCAUCACCUUAAAAAUCGAGUUAUCAAGCAUCACUUUAAUAGGUCUGGGGAAAUCGUUAGCAGAUCAUUUCACAAUGUUUUAAAUGCUGUCAUACGCUUACAAGAUGUGUUAUUUAAAAAGGCAGAGCCAAUUACAGCUAAUUUUACAGACCCAAGGUGGAAACGGGUCAAGGUAUUGGAGUGAGUUCUAUAUAUAGCUUGUACAUAAUUUAGUUGAUUUAGAUUUAAAUAUAGUAUCCUAACUCAAGGUUUUAUACAUGUGAUGUAGAAUAGUUUAGGUGCUUUAGAUGGAACCCACAUCAAGAUUAGGGUUCCAACAGUUGAUAAACCUAGAUAUCGAAUGCGAAAAGGUGACAUGGCAACAAAUAUGUUAGGUGUUUGUACACCUGAUAUGCAUUUUGUUUAUGUUCUUCCUGGUUGGGAAGGUUCUGUUGCUGAUGAACGGGUUUCCAGAUGCCAUUAGUAGGAGAAAUGGACUAAAAGUUCCUUAUGGUAAAGUGCAAAAUUAGAGGACUUUGAAUUAAUCUUUAAGAUCAUACUUUUUUGGGAAAUUAGCCAUGACAAAUAGUUUUUUUAUAGGUUGUUAUUAUCUAGUUGAUGCUGGAUACACAAAUUGUGAGAGAUUUCUUGCACCUUUUAGAGGACAAAGAUAUCAUUUGAAUGAGUGGCGUCACGGUUACCAGCCAAGUACUCCGGAAGAAUUUUUCAAUAUGAAACAUGCUUCAGCACGUAAUGUUUUUGAAAGAUGCUUUGGGUUAUUAAAACUUAGAUAGGGAAUACUUAGGAGUCCAUCAUUCUAUCCUGUGAGGGUGCACAAUAGAAUCAUUAUUGCAUGUUAUUUGCUCCAUAAUUUUAUUCAAACCUAUAUGAGUCUUGAUCCUAUUGAAGUGGAGUUGGGAGAAGGAUUACCUAGAAAUGUGAUAGAUGACAAUGAAUCGAAUAUCGUAAGUAUUCAUCCAUCGGAUGCAUGAGCUACUUGGAAGAUGGAACUAGCCAACUAAAUGUUUGGUGAAUGGCAAGCAUCUAGAAAUUAGUUAGGUUUAGGGUAAAAAUAGUAAACAUUAAUUUGUUUAUGUUAUUUCAUGUAUCUAGUUUAUGAAACUUUGGUGGUGUUUGAAUUGUUUUUUGUAUUGUACUAGACUUGUUGAAUUAUAAUUUAUUUUCUUUUGAUUCAUCAUGUGCUAUAAUUUUGUAAAGUGUUGACAUUUUGAUUCAUAAUAUUGAACUUAAUUUUAAUUUGUUUUUUUCUUAAGAUAGUUAUGUCAGGUUUUUCACAAUCAAGUGUUUCUUCCCAAAAUUCUCAAGGAACCAAAAGGAAAUGGGUUCCAGAAGAAGAUGCUGCGUUGGUUGCUUGUAUGGUCGACUUGCACAAUGUUAGAACCUUUAAUACUGAUACGAGAUUCAAAUUUAGUUAUUUAAAUGAGUUGGAAAAAAUGUCAGAAAAAGUUUUACCCAAUGCCAUGUUAAAGGCUAAACCUAAUCUUGAAUCGAGGAUUAGGACAUUGAAAAGGGAUUGGUCAAUCGUUUAUGACAUGCUUAGUGGAAAAAACAAUAGCGGUUUUGGUUGGGAUGAACAUAGGCUACUUGUUGUUGAUGACGAUGCGGUGUGGAACUCAUAUAUAAAUGUAAGAAUUAUUUCAAGUCUUUAUUAUCUUAUUUUGACCAAAUUUAUAUCUAAUAUGAAUUCCUCAUUUUUAUAGAGUCAUAAAGAAGCCAGUCAAUUCAAACAUCGUAGUUUCCCUUAAUAUGACCAACUUACUGCCAUCUACGCAAAAGAUCGAGCCACUGGAAAGAUGCCCAAAUAGCCGCUGAUAUUAUUGAAGAAAUAGAUGUUGAGGAUGUAGCUACUACAAAUACUCAUGAAGAAAGAAACAAUUUCUAUGGAUGCAAAGCUGAUGUUUCUUUGGAAGACAUGGAUCUUUCAGCUACACAACCGCAACCAGCUAGAAACCAAGGUGAUUCAUCAUUUUCAAAGAAGAAAAAAAAGAUUUCUGAUGCAAGUGAUCAUAUUUCUUCUACUUCAUUUAAUGAUGCUGCCAUUUUAUUGGCGGAAAACAGAUGGGCCGUUGGCAUUGAAAUCAGUGGGAGUAUUGCCUCCGAAGUGCUAAUUCAACAAAAGUCAGAAAUGACCAUUCAAGAAAGAGCUCUAAAAUUAUAUCCAACAUUAUGUGAAGUAGAAGGUUUAACUGAGGAUGAGCGCUAUCGCUCAUUGAGCAAAAUUCCAGAUCAUCUAACGCAAAUGCUCAUUUUCUUUAGUUUACCUUCUUCUGUGCGACUGGAAUGGGUAAGAAGAUUUCUUGCUGACCAUUAAAAAUCAUGGUUGUGUUGAUGAUAUUUUGGUAACUUUUUGUGUUUGUAAUAUUUGGAUGGUAUAAUGACAUGAUAGAAUGUCAUUACAAUGUUGUAACUUUUUGAUGUUGUAAAAUUUUAUAACAUAUGGAUUAUGACAUAUAAACUAAUGAAAUCAUGUAACUUUUUGUUAAUAUAUGAAUAUUAUGUUUGGAUGUGAAAUAUAAUUCUCAAGUUAUUUAUUACUUCUAAUAUUNNNNNNNNNNNNNNNNNNNNNNNNNNNNNNNNNNNNNNNNNNNNNNNNNNNNNNNNNNNNNNNNNNNNNNNNNNNNNNNNNNNNNNNNNNNNNNNNNNNNNNNNNNNNNNNNNNNNNNNNNNNNNNNNNNNNNNNNNNNNNNNNNNNNNNNNNNNNNNNNNNNNNNNNNNNNNNNNNNNNNNNNNNNNNNNNNNNNNNNNNNNNNNNNNNNNNNNNNNNNNNNNNNNNNNNNNNNNNNNNNNNNNNNNNNNNNNNNNNNNNNNNNNNNNNNNNNNNNNNNNNNNNNNNNNNNNNNNNNNNNNNNNNNNNNNNNNNNNNNNNNNNNNNNNNNNNNNNNNNNNNNNNNNNNNNNNNNNNNNNNNNNNNNNNNNNNNNNNNNNNNNNNNNNNNNNNNNNNNNNNNNNNNNNNNNNNNNNNNNNNNNNNNNNNNNNNNNNNNNNNNNNNNNNNNNNNNNNNNNNNNNNNNNNNNNNNNNNNNNNNNNNNNNNNNNNNNNNNNNNNNNNNNNNNNNNNNNNNNNNNNNNNNNNNNNNNNNNNNNNNNNNNNNNNNNNNNNNNNNNNNNNNNNNNNNNNNNNNNNNNNNNNNNNNNNNNNNNNNNNNNNNNNNNNNNNNNNNNNNNNNNNNNNNNNNNNNNNNNNNNNNNNNNNNNNNNNNNNNNNNNNNNNNNNNNNNNNNNNNNNNNNNNNNNNNNNNNNNNNNNNNNNNNNNNNNNNNNNNNNNNNNNNNNNNNNNNNNNNNNNNNNNNNNNNNNNNNNNNNNNNNNNNNNNNNNNNNNNNNNNNNNNNNNNNNNNNNNNNNNNNNNNNNNNNNNNNNNNNNNNNNNNNNNNNNNNNNNNNNNNNNNNNNNNNNNNNNNNNNNNNNNNNNNNNNNNNNNNNNNNNNNNNNNNNNNNNNNNNNNNNNNNNNNNNNNNNNNNNNNNNNNNNNNNNNNNNNNNNNNNNNNNNNNNNNNNNNNNNNNNNNNNNNNNNNNNNNNNNNNNNNNNNNNNNNNNNNNNNNNNNNNNNNNNNNNNNNNNNNNNNNNNNNNNNNNNNNNNNNNNNNNNNNNNNNNNNNNNNNNNNNNNNNNNNNNNNNNNNNNNNNNNNNNNNNNNNNNNNNNNNNNNNNNNNNNNNNNNNNNNNNNNNNNNNNNNNNNNNNNNNNNNNNNNNNNNNNNNNNNNNNNNNNNNNNNNNNNNNNNNNNNNNNNNNNNNNNNNNNNNNNNNNNNNNNNNNNNNNNNNNNGUAAUGAUAAAAUUACACUUUGGCCCCCUUAAAAAUGAUAAAAAUUUGAUUAAUUCUUUAAAAAUUAUAAAGAUAUAGACUAUUAAAAUGGUGAAAUUACAUUUUUACUAUCAUAAAGUAUACAAUUUAAUUCCGCCCUGAAAAGCUUUUCUAAUUCCGCCACUGUUUUAUAUUUAAAUUAAUUACGCUUGAACUAGAAUGUCACAUUAUUCUCUAUAUAAUUAUUUUUAAAAUUUUUAGAUUUAUAAUAUUUUAUAUUUAAUAGUAUAUUUUAUUUCAAAUGUUUCAUAUUUAUACUCAAAGUCAUUUAAAUUUUGGGUUUGUUUCAUAAAAUGGUUUUAAAAAAUAUAAAUAUAAAUAUAAAACAUAAAACUUUUAUAAUUUAAAAUUUACAUUUAUCAAACAAUCUAUUUAUAUUUAAUAAUUAAUUUUAAGUAAUAUAUCAAAUAAAUUUUGUAAUUUAAAUUCAAUAUAUGUAAUUUUUUAACACUUAAUUUUUAAUUUAUUUUUUAUCCAUAUUUUUCUUCCCUUAUUGUGGGAGAUUCGGCCCCACCUUUGAAUAUUCAAAUAUUAUUGUUAUCAUAUAAUAGUUUAUAAUUAAACUGUUGUUGAUAUAAUAAAUUUAUGUAUUUAUAUUCCAACUCCAUUAUAUAUUUGAAGUAGAAAGGGGCAUCCAUAUGCAUGUGAGGCAGAGCAAAUAAAACCUUUCUGCCAAUUUGUUUGGCUUCCAACAUGACACGUGCCAAUUAGGAAAUACGUACGUAAACGAAAGAUAGAAAACAACAGGUUGCGACUCUUUACCAUUAGAUCAGACCAUUGCCACUAUGUUAUGUCUUUUUAAUUAAUCAAUUUGAAUAUAUAUCAUAAUUAUUCUCAAGUUAAGAUGGAUAAAUGAUGGACAAAAUCGGCUGUCAGCGUGUUGUAAUGUUCUAUUAAUGCUGAGGCUAAAGUCUUUGUCGUAUUGAUGGAGUUUGUCCUUCAUUGUCGACAAUGGAUGUUUUUUUUUCUUUUCCCCAAAUUGUAUGAUCCCAUUUAUGGAAUAAAUUAAUGAAAUUUUCCUUUCAAAUAAUAAUAAUUAAAUGUAGAGGUAGUUGCAUCGGGUGUAACACCCCAAACCCGGCCUGGACGUUAUGAUCGAAUCUGGCGAUGUCACAUGAUAGUGUGUUUGAAAACCGAUGCUCGUGUUGAAAAACCGUAACUUUGCUUAAAACAUUUUCCGUUUAGAUCUCGUCAUUAUCUUUUAUUAAUCCUAAAAUAGUGAUUUUUAUUCAGUCGUUAGUUUGCAAAAUAUUAUAUGUUGCAGAAGCUUUUUAAAGUAGUUUGUGUCCUUGCGGGUAUUUUGCUAAAACACAUGCAUUUCUUUUAAAAAUCCGUGUUUUAUCUACCUCUAGCAGAUAUAAAACAUAAAGCAAUAUAAAAUCCAAAAUUUAAGCAAAAACUCAUAGCGGCCAUUAUUACAGAAAAAUACCCCAAAUAAAGCUUUAAAAUAAUAAACCUAAUUAAAUACGAAACAGUAAAAAGGAGUCGUGUGGCCACAGCUGAGUCCUCCGCCGCUCUGAUCCGCCUAAGUCUGGGGAUUACCUGAACAGAUGAAUCAGAAGGGUGAGUUUACGAAAACUCAGUGUGUAAUCCCCACAUAAACAAUCAGACAUUAUGCAAUCAUACUUUGGGCUUAAGCCCAUUUCAGUAACAGUUUCAGUUUCAGUUAGGGCUUUAGCCCAUUACAAUACAGAAGCAGUCGUGCAUUUGGGCCUUGGCCUAUUACAGUAUCAAUACUCAGUACAGUGACAGAUAUGCAGUGUCAAAUCCUACCCAACCAGCCUCUACACUCCAGCUCUGUCCAACCCUACACUCCAUGUGUUGAUAUUAUCAACCCACCCAUCCCUACACUCUAAAAAGUACCAAAUGAUGCACUGGACAGUAGUUUACAGUUGAGCUGCCAGUAAUUUAGGCUCAAGGCUUUUCAGUACACUUCUUCUGAACAAUAUAACCCAACCCCUAUGCAAUGCAAUAUAUAUAUGACAUGCUAAAACAUAAUAUCGUGCAUAAAAUCAGGGCAUACAGUAUCAAGCCAGUGGGACAUCAUCAUGCUUAAUAACAUGCAUAAUCGUAUCAGUCAUACAGUUAUUUCAGUCAAUUAGGGGUCUAGGUAAGCUUACCGACCCUACAGUAGGUCCACAGUCGACUUGGGCGACCCGUGUAAACUUAGUAGUCAAACAGUGAAAAUGGGUCGACGGCCCAUGUUGCAUGCCCAUGUGGCCCACACGGCCUAAAAUGGCCUUGGCCGUGUGGAUCUCACGGCCUGGCCCAAUAUUCCUACACGCCCGUGUAGUUCACCUGUGUGGUCCACACGACCUAAUUCAGCUCGGCCCAUGAAUCGUACAUGGCCAACCUCGUCGAUCACACGCCCAUAUUCAAUCACACGGCCUACCACACAGGCGGCCGCACGCCCGUGUGGCGUCGACAAUCACAUUUUUUGGCUUUUCACUAAUUUCUGUUUUCAGAGUUGCGUUUACACACCUGGUUUCUAUUCACUGAGAAGGAAAACACCGAGCCUUUGAAACCUACAUUUGACCAAACAAUCACCAAUUAAUCACUUAUACCCUUACUCAAUCAAAAACACACGAGUUGACCAAGUGUUAACUAGCAACAAUGUUACAUUCAAUCGAGUAAAGAGGGUUCGCCCACUUAAUCACCAAUUAACGAUCCUCCACCCCUCGAAUAACUCCUAGGCACCAACCAAAAUCAGAUAAGCAUUGAUUCAUUAGGCAAUAAGAUAACAAUAUACUAUCUACCCUUACCAACAACGUAAGAAGAGUACCAAUUACGAAGUGCAAGAACUUAUUAGCAAGUAGAGAUUGAUAACCAGAAAGACAGCACAGGAAAAACAGUCAGCUGCAAGGGAAAGAAAAGAAUCGAAAAAAAGAAAUGAAAGGAAAGUAUGAAAAGAGGGGGAAGACUCGGCCAAAGGAAGAGGGGAACGUUUGCUUACCUUUUUUCGAAUAGUAAAUAUUUUGGAAAGCCAAAAGAGAGAGACCACAAGAACACUAAUUCGGCAGAAAGUAAUAAGAACAGAAUCAACACAAUGAGGGUAGAAAAGGAAAUCGGCAAGGAAGAGAAACUAGCAGAAGUUUCAGCAGAGAACUUUCAGAAACAAAAAGAAAAUUUCAGUAAUGGGGAAACAAAACAACAGAGGGAAAAUUUUAAAAAAUGAAAGAGUGAGGGGAAAGUCAAACUUGCAACUACUUUGAAUGCUCUCAAACUCCUCACUCCUUAAUUUUCUCACCAUAUCUCUUAAUCCUCUCCCUCAACCACCUAAUUCAAAUUCCACUCAAACUCUUCAGUAUUUCGGCUAAACUAGAACACCCACAUGGGACAAGCAGCAAAAUAAAACACUCCCUUGCACACACCAAGACUCAAACUCAAGACCACCAACACUUUGCCACUCCAUUUAUCCACUACACCAGCAAGCCCAUUCUAACAUUUUUCACCAACAUUUAUUUAUAAGCCUACUGAUUAGAGAUAGGAGUUUAUUCAUUUAAGAACAAAAAUUUACUCAAGCUAAGGGUUGAACUUAGGACCUCCCAAACACUCCCAGAACACUUAAUCACUGAAGCAGACAAAUAUUUAUGUCACAAACAUACAAAAAUAAAUAUAUAAAUGAUUUUUGGGGCGUUACAUCGGGUAUCCCCGAACUAUGAUUCUCAUUUUAAUUUGGUUUCCAAACUUCAAAAACGCUUUUAAUUACAUAUUCAAACUAUCAAUGUUAUAUCAAUCAUGCCCUUCUAUUAUUAAAAUCAUUAAUUUAAUCAGUAAAGGACAAAUCUUAUGUGACAUAAUUUAAAAUGGAAGUUUUAAAGAAAAGUAAAACAUCACCACAUAAAUUUUUAAAGUUAAAACUAAAAAUAAAGUAAAACCGGAAAAAAGAGAUAGUGAACAAUAAAGCUUUUGUAAAAGUUUCAAAAACCUCAAAAUCAAGAUUUUUACAACAUCCAUUUUUACAAUAUUCAUUUUUCUUUAAAAAUUUCAAUUUAAUCUAUGCCAUAUAAUAUUUGGUAAUUAAUUUAAUGGUUAAAUUAACAAUUUUAGUAAAAGGACCUUAUUGAUAUAACCACAAUAGUUUGAAGAUGUAUUGAGUGUUUUAAAGUUUGGGGACCAAUUUAGAAUAAAGGUUCUAGGUUGAGAAUAUAUGGUAAAAUUAACUCUUAAAUGUAUUAACCUUCUAAAACAAUUGAAGUAUAUUUAAUAUUAUUGAUUUGAUGUGUUUAUUUAUUUAAUUUAUUUUUAUUCAAGAUCUAAACUAUUUUUUAUUUUAGUUUCGUAGAUAUUACAUAUGGGGUAUUAUUAUUAGUUUCAAAACUUACGUUUAAUAUUCUUAAUAUGAUGUAAUUACUUAUUUAAAUUUUAUUUUACUUUCAAUUUAAACUAAUUUUUAUUUUAACUUUGUACAUGUUGCUAUUAGUUUCAAACCUUACGUUUCAUUAUUUAUUAUACAUUAUUUUUUUAACACAUACGCGUGUUCUAAAUGCACAGUUUCUAUGCACAUACAUGUUCUAGGAUAUUAUAAUCGUAUUUAAAUAUAUCGUGUCUUAUUUAUUAUGUUUUAAAGUUUAUUAAAUGUAUUUUAUUUAUAAUUUUAUAUUAUGUUUAAAGUUGGGUGAAAGUACCUUUAAAGUCCCUAUAUUAUAGAGUUUGGAUCAAAUUAAGCCCUCUAUGAUUAAAUAGAUCAAUUCAAUUAUUCUACGAUUAAAAAGAAUCAAAUAAGGCCAAAUUGGAACAAAUUUAUAAUUUAUUUUUUAAAAAAUGACAUAAAAAUAAUUUUUUUUCAUUUAUAGUUCAUCUUGAAACAAAAAAAUUUUCAUCUAUAAAAUCAUAAGAAGCUUUCAAAAUAUAACUUUGUUAAAUAGUAAAUGACAUCUUUUAAACAAUAAAUGUUAAUUAUGUUCCAAUUUGGCCUUAUUCAAUUUUUUAAUAGUACAAAGACUAAAUUGAUCCAUUUAAUAGUAGAGGGACUAAUUCGAUACGACCCCUAUGAUAGAGGGACCUGCUAGAUACAUUUAGCUUUAAAGUUGUGACUUAGCGAGACUAUUUCGAAAACUAGUAUCCUUUAAAAUAAUGUUUCUAUUCCACGAUCUAACUUGAUUAAUUAGUUAACAUGACCCGUCAACUGACAAUAUACUAGUGUCAUAGAUAAAUGAUAGAAAUAUUCAUUCCAAUAAAAAAAUUAAUUUUAAAAAUGAUAAAUACACAAUAGUUACUUAUAUUUAAUAGAAAAUUUAUUGAAUUACUUUUUUUCUUUUAAGAUUAUACCAUCCUUUUAAGGCAGUAGCGGAGCUAAAGGGUUGGCAGGCCCCUGCCCCUUACAGUGGGAAAAUUUUCAUUUAGGCUCUUUAUAAUUUAUAAAAUUUUAAAUUAGUAAUGAUAAAAUUACACUUUAGCCCCCUUAAAAAUGAUAAAAAAUUGAUUAAUUCUUUAAAAAUUAUAAAGAUAUAGAUUAUUAAAAUAGUGAAAUUACAUUUUUACUAUCAUAAAAUAAACAAUUUAAUUCCGCCCCGAAAAACUUUUCUAUUUCCACCACUGCUUUAUAUUUAAAUUAAUUACUUCCUUUUAAGAGCUUGAACUAGAAUGUCACAUUAUUCUCGAUAUAAUUUUUUUUUUUACUUUUAGAUUUAUAAUAUUUUAUAUUUAAUAGUAUAUUUUAUUUCAAAUGUUUCAUAUUUACACUUCAAAUGUUUCAUAUUCAUACACUUCUCGAUAUAAUCUAUGCCAGCCCAUGAACAACAAUCAACGCUUAAUUGAGGAUUCCAAUUAUCAACCUUAGGGUAAGCACACAAACCAGCAACAAAUGCUUGCUUCUCGAUGAUGCAGCAAAGCAAGACGCUCAUCGCUGUGACAAAGUACUGCAGGCUGCUUGGACAAGAAAGAAAAGGCAGUAAAUUGGAAAGAGUAAUAUUGAAAAGAAAGCAUGCAAAUGCAAAAGAGUAAUAUAUAGAUGUUAAAGUGUAAUAAACGACAAUAGUAGACAAAAUUAGAGUAAAAUUCUUUUUUACUUUGGGGUGCCGGCACCAGAAAUUAAAAAAUAUAUUUUUUUUAUUGUAAAAGGGUUGUUGACUACUUAAGUGCCGACAUUAAAAAAUAAAAAAAAAUAAAAAAGGGUGUCGAUCAUCUGCUACACGGUAACACGACACCAAAAAAUAAAUUUUUUUUAAAACCUAGUAUUACACGUAUUAUAUAAAAUACUUAUGAAAAAAAAUACACAUGAGUGUCGACCAUUGCACUGUCGACACCCAAAAAAAUAUUUUUUUAAUCACAGUUCCAAUCAUCAUGUUGUUAUUUGGGGAUUGGGGACAUGGGUGUCGGCCAUGAGGGUGCCAUAACCCUAGGACAUUGUUCCUUUCAAGUUAUUCCCGUAAAUGUUUUUGAACCAAAGUCAUUUUUAUAAAUGUUUAAUUGUUUUGGGUUAUUUUAUCAAAAUAACCCAUUUUUGUGGAACCAUGUAAGAAACACAGAAGGCAAAAAAGGAACAACAAAAUCCCAUUGCACAUAGAAUAUUUUACCAAACUAACCCAAAACAAUUAAAUAUUUAUAAAAAUAGCUCAAGUUAUAAAAUAUUUACAAGACUGACUUGAAAGCAACAUUGUCUGGGGGUUAUGGCACCCUCAUGGCCGGCACCAAAGUCAUCAAUCCUUAAAUUUUUUUUAAGGUGUCGACCGACACCUAUAUGUAUUUUUUCACCCGUAUUUUGUACAAUACAUAUAAUAUCCCCAUUUUUAAUUUUUUUGGUGCCGGCACUAUGUUGGUUAGUACUCGUUUUUAGUAAAAAACUGUGAUAAGCUUGCAAGAGAGAUUUUAUUAGAUAAAGCAAAGAUUGAUCGAAUGAAAAGGACUAAAAUACCAAAAGACGCAAUUUUUAGAAAAAAAAUUACAUAAAUAGGCAGAAAUUUUGAAAAUUUAUAGGAAUAGGCCGAUUUUUGUAAAAUGAUUGCGUUUUCAGGGGAAACCCAAAAAAAAUGCUUCCAAAAGCGUCUUUAGCAUAUUGACAGAAAAACGCUUCCAGCUGAAAGAUUUUUGCCACAUCAACACUAAAAGUGGAAGCACCAAUUUUUUUAUUUAUUUUGGUGUCACCUAUUAAUGUGAAAAUAAAACUUACAAAACAUGCCUUUAUAUAGACCCAAAGUCUCAUUUCCCCUUUUUUUUAAAGCAAUGUGAGAUAUGAGACAUAUGUAUAUAUAGACUCAUGAAUAGAUUUGUAGCUUAUUCCUAAAUUGUGAUAUAUAUAGAUAAUGUGUAUAUAUUGAAUCAUGAAUAGGGGUCUUCCACCACUUUGCCUAAAUUAUUAUUUUAUUUAGAUAAAAACUCAAAUUAUUUAAUUUAAAUCUUUUUUUUCACCAAUUUUUGAGUAUCACAGUUCCAAAUUGUUUAAAAUAAUAAUAUGUAUGGACAAAAGCAAAGAUAGUAGGAGGGCCAUACUCUUCCAAAUUCUUUAGGAUUUGGAGUAGCAUGGCCCUCCUACUAUCUUUGUUUUUGUCCAUACAUAUUAUUAUUUUUUUGUUAAAAUAGAUUGAAGUCCCUGUAUUCUUGAUAAGUUUGGAAUUUAGGCCUUUUAUUUUUAUUUCAAAUAAUUUAGUUUCUCUAUUUUUUUAAUUUAAAAAUACAAGUCUAAUUGUUAACAUUGUUAAAAUCAUUUUGUUAAAUUUAUUGGUGUGACUACGUGACACCUUAUAUCCAACCCAGUUGUUGGAUCCGAAUAUAAAAUGCCACAUUCCAUUGUCGAAGCAACUUACUUUUCUAUUUUACUCUUUUUUUUUAAAAGGAAACGUAGUGGUAAAAUUAUUUUACAAAAAUUUCGGCAACAUUUCUACCUAUUUUGCAUAAAACCCAUUGCAAAAUUUAGAUUUCACAAAAUAUCCACAUUCAAAUAAUCUCCCAAAUCAAUUCACAAAACUUUGAUUUCUCAAAACAUAUCCAUAAACUAGAUUUCAACGCUUUACUGUUUCAUCAAAACAUUAGUUAUAAAGUACUAGCAAAGAAAAUAUAAUAAAAAUAUUUAAAUUUUGUUUACGACAUAAUAUUAUAUAUAUACAAGCCUAGGUACAUGCCAUUUACAUCAAUUAUAAAGUAAACUUUUCACCAACAUUAUUUGAGCCGAGCUUCGGUUCUUCGGAUGCUGCUGGAACAACCUAACGAAUCUAACUACCUGCGCACGGAAAAAUAGACAAAUUGUAGGCUGAGCAAUUUUUAUGCUCAGUGAUGCUAAUAUCAUAUAAAUUAUUACAUAAGUAUUGAACAUAAAUUAAUUGAUAGAAAUAAAUUAAAACAUAAUUAUAAAUAUCAUUAAAUCAUAAUUAUAAAUAUCAUUAAUAACAUCACAAUAAAAGAAAGUUUUAAUAGUAAUAAACUUUAAUAUUACGAUAUUGACAAAUCGAAUAAAGAAAAUAAGUUUUUUUAAUCUAAUUCAAAAUCGUGUAAUUAAUUUAAUUCUCAAAAUAUGGAAAUUUAAAUAAAUUCAACUUGUGUUUUUACUUUUCUUUCAAUUUAGACCCUGUCCUAAAGUUUAGUGACAAGUGAUAAUAGUAGCAUGCUUUAAUCUCGUUCUUAAGAGAAUCAAAUCUCGCAUGCUACCUCCUCUGUUAGGAAGCCUGUUUCCAUCGAAGAGUCCGGUAUCAUGGUCUACCUUCUUACAGCAUCGAUACCGAGCUUUGGCCUACCUUUCUCAAGCCUCUUCCCGUUUCUAGAGAAAGGCAGUCCCGUAAGCCUUAGGAGAGAUCAGGAAAAGCUAUUAUAGUAGCCCCCUAUCCGGGCUUUAUGACUCUAUAUUCAUAUUCAUGUGAGCAACUUAGUCCCUGUGAUCCUGGAAGUCAUGCAAGCGUGUUCUUAUCCAAUCAAUCCCUAUUGCUCAAUCCAGUGGCAUCGAAAGUCUUCUUCUUUCGUUCCUUGGGCUGUUGGAGGCAUUCAAAAGGCGUCUUCAACAAUGAAAGUGACCUUAUCUUUGUUAAAAAAACCAUAUUUGGUGUGGAAAGCUCUCCCCCCUCGUACGCAUCAUUGCAGAAUCCUUCAGAAGAUUGCGAUAUCUUAGAUCAAAAGCCUAAUAGUUCAGUGAAUCAUGGGGAAAAGCCCUCGUAUAAUCGUAUAAGAAGAUGCUCACACGUAGAGAAACUUUUCUGAGAGAGGAGGAUCCAUUCAUGGAAUCGGAAGAGGAGGCCUUUGUCAUGGUGAGUUUUAUUUGCUUGCUCCUAUGAUAAAGGGAAUGAGAGAGGUGGGGUGAACGAAUCGGAUCUUAGAGAAGUCUCGGUCUUCGUCCACACCUAGGACAGGGAAGAAUGAUCCAUUUGAGAAUUUAGCUAGGGCUACUAUUUGAAUUAAGCCGAAGCCGGGGGAGAAAUCGAAUCCGCAGACAGGUCUUGUCUAAUGACUUGGUUUCUCCAAGAAGAAUUGAAUCAUAAGCAUGGAAUCGGGAAAACAUUGGAUUUCCAACAGUAAAUAUUCUUUCUUUGAAUGCUGUCCCUUUCUGUAGAAUCCCCUGCUUUUGAAAAGGCUAAGGCUUGAAUGGCGCUCUUAGAAUGGCUUGUGCAACAAAAGUCUGGAAUGCCAAGUGCGGGUAUUUGACAGUUUGCAAGAUGAAGAUCUGAAUACUCAUUUGACUAACUUUCUAGAGAUUUGUGACACUUUCAAAUGCUAAUAAUGACUCCAUACACUCACGGUUCUUCCCAUUCUCUUUGAGGAGCAAGACAAAAUGGUGGCUGAAUUCAUUGCCACGAGGUUCUAUCACUACCUAGGCGCAAAUGAGUGAAAAAAUUCAGUUGAAGUACUUUCCAACAGUUAAAACAACUAAGUUGAGGAAUGAUAUCUUCUCUUUUGCUCAAAUUGAUUUGGUGACAUUAUAUGAUGCAUGAGAGAGAUUUAAGGAUCUGUUGAGAAGGUGCCUCAUCAGGGGUUACCUUUAUGGUUGCAAGUUCAAACCUUUUACAACGGUUUGCAUCCCUCGACUAGACAACUAAUUGAUGCAGUAGUUGGUGGAACACUGAAUAAUAAAACACCCGAGACAGCUCAAGAGUUUAUUGAGGAGAUGAAAUUGAAUAACAAUCAAUGACAAGUAAUGAAAACAAAAUUGAUUAAAGCAGCUGGUAUUUUUAACAUCGAGAGAUUAAUAAGUUAUUCACAGAAUCUUUUCAUGAAUGAUUAAGCCAAACGAUAUGCAAUUGAAGCUUUCAUUGACAAAUAAUAAUGUUUUCUCAUAACAUUUAUAAUUACUCAAUUUACUUUCGAUACAAUAGAUUUGGAGUGGGAAGGACGUCAAUGACGAAAUUAAAUGGCUUUCUUAAGGUUCGAAUAGAGUAGUAAAAAGAUAUAGUGUCGUCCUUAUUAAUGGAUUCAGAUUUUAUACAAAAUAUCGCAAGAGAUUGAGGAGAACUCAAAAUUGUGGAAUAGUUGUUAAUUCUUCAAUUACAAGUUAUGCUAGUGCUUGAGACAGUAAUCCUGUUGAGAGAAAUGUGGAGUAUUAUGGACUUCUUACUGACAUUUUUGAGCUGGAUUACUAUGGCAAAUGGAAAGUUGUCUUAUUUCGGUGUGAUUGGGCUUAUGUUAAAACUAUUCGCGGAAUUAAAACAGAUCAAUUUGGUUUUACAAUGGUGAACUUAUCUCGAUUGAUUCACACUGGACAACAAUUAAUAGAUAAACCGUAUGUAUUUUUUUCUUAAGUGAAACAAGUUCUUUACAAGAAAGAUCCAACUGAUGAGGGUUGGUACAUUGUACUCCGUAACACCCCUAAAGACUUGUUUGACAUGGGCAAUGGAAAUAGAGAUGACAUCGAUGAAAGAUCAGAAACUUUGUCUUUUCCAGAACAAAACUUAAAUGAAAAUAUCCCUAGUACUAGUACACAAUUUCAAUGGGUUCGCCAGGAUGUUGAUGAAGAUAUUUACGAAUUAUGAUGUAGUAAGAUUUUACGAUUUUUUAAUUAUAUGUAAUAUCAUAAUUUAAAUCUUGGUCUUGUUAAACAUUUCAACUAUUUUAUAUGAACUAUUAUUGUUGUAAUUAGUUACUAAAAUUUCAACUAUUUUAUGUGUAUUGCAGAUAAAAUGCCUAGAAGAAGAUUGCGAGAUCUAAGUAUUGUUCAAAAUACUCCAAAUUCGGAAGAAACAAAUAGUGAACAACAUACUGCUAUUGGAUCUUCGAAUGUUUCGAAUACACCUGACGAACCUGCAGAAAUUCAAAGUAAUGUUAAAUUUAAUUUACAUGCGUGUUGACUUUUAUUAUUAAUUUCUUUUUCAAAUUCUUAUAUUAUAAUAUACCAUUUUUCAGCUGAAAGUGGUGGGAUGCGCAAAGGUUGAGGACGUACACUACUUAAAGAUUUAUACGAGUUAAAUCUUGUCGAGCGUGUCAAAGUAUCUAGAAAUAAUCUUGGUCAGCUUGUUGGAUCAGAAGCUUAAAUUUGAGCAGGAUAUUUGGGCAUUAUAGCACGAAAUGCCAAUAUGUUGCCUACCAACUACGAGUCAUGGCAUCAAAUGCCUGAUAGUAACAAAAACGAAGCUCUCGAUAAUAUUAAGGUAACAAAACGUGAAUGUAAUUUAUAAUACUUUGGUUUAAGUUUUAUUUAUAUUUACUUUCUAAACUUGUGUUUUUUGUAGGAGAGGUUUGCUUCAGAUAAUUAUGUCAAGAAGGCAUUGGGAAAAAAAUGGAGAGACCAUAAAAGUACUUUAAAGAAAGAAUUUUUUUAAAAAAAAAUAUAAGCCUCGAAGAGAAAUUGCGAAAUGUCCCGCCGGGAAUGCUGAGGUACCAAUGGGAAGAUGUGGUUAGAUUUUGGAAUUCAAAGAAAGGAGAGGUAUUACGUACUUCCAAACUCUUAUAAUUAUUUCAGUUUAUAGUACUUACUAUAUACGUAAUAAUAAUUUCAUAAUGUAGGAUCGUGAACGAGUUGGAACAAGCAGAAGGCAAAAACAGAAAUUCACUCACAUAGCUGGGUCAAAAAAUUAUGCUUGUGUAGCUGAGGCCGAGGUAUUUUAAAUUAUGAAUUGUUUCAAAUAUUUAUUACUUUCUAUUAAAUAAUAUUUUUACUACUAUAUUGUAGGAACUGUCAUCUGGUCAAAAAGUUGGACGCCUUCAGCUUUUUGACAUUACACAUAGGAAGAAAGAUGGAUCUCCUAUGACUUUUGAAGCUGCAGAAAUUAUGGUAUGUUUACUUAAUAAAAUUUGAAUUAUUUUAAAUAUUUAUAUGGUUUAAUUAUAAAGGUUUAAUUUGUCGUUUGUAAUGCAAAUAAUGUUAAGUUAUGUUGCAUUUGUUUUUAUUAUAUAUUUUGUUUCUAGCUCUUUGAUUGAUUUAUUAGGAGAAACUAAAGGAUAAAAAGGCGGAGUAUGAAGCGAUUGCUUCAAGUGAUAGUUCUGUUAAUGUUGAAGACAUUGAUAACUGGAUUAUUACUUAAGUUUUGGGUCCUGAAAGGUAUGGUCGGGUUCGAUUUCAAGGAUAUUUUGUUAACCCAACCGGAUAUUUUGGAUCCAACUCGCAAUAAUACAUGCCUUCAGGGAGUUAGGCUCAAGCUAAAGUUCAGAGGUUAAGAGACCAGAUGGCUCAGAUGCAAGAGAGAACAGUUGAGCAAAUUGCUCAACUUAAAGCGGAGGCAGCAUCGAGAGAAGCUGUGGUUCAAAGAAAAUAUGAAGAACUCCAGCUACAAAGUAAAGCGGAGGCAGUAGUGAGGGAAGCAGAGCAAAGCAGAAAGUACGACGCACUCCAGCUACAGCUUCAGAAUAUGAUGAAGAUGUUUCAGCAGUUGCAAAAUCCUCCAUCUUAGACAUUUGUUUUCUUAUUGUAAGAAUAUUUUUAACAUUGUAACUUUUAACAUUAUUGUAAGAAUAUUUUGAAUUAUACUUCAGUUAUCAAUUUAUAUCAUAUAUAUUUCGUUGAAUUUGAAGUAUCAUUUAAAUUUGCUGUUUUUGGUUGGAUUUCAUGCUACAGGAAGGGUUGUAUAUGGAUGAAAAUUGAAUGUUACAAAUCUGCCAAAGUUAGUGGCAUUUUUUCAUAAACGUCGCUAAAGAACGAUGCUUUUAGCGACGUUUGUGAAAAAAAAGCCGCUAAAAGUCAUUCUCUAUAGAGACGUUUGUGAUAAAAGCGCCACUAAAGGUUAUGCUCUUUAGCGGUGUUUGUGAUAAAAGCGCCGCUAAAGGUUAUUUUCUUUAACGACGUUUAUGAUAAAAGCGCCACUAAAGGUCAAGUUCUUUAGCAGUGUUUGUGAUAAAAGCGCCGCUAAAGGUCAUGUUCUUUAGCUGCUUAAAAGCGCCGCUAUAGGCCUAAAAAAAACCGCUAAAAGCCUGUUUUGCUGCAGUGAAUUAGUUACAGAGUUUUUGAGCGAGAAAAAGAAAAAUAAAAAGAAAACAAAGAUAGGGGAGAUGAGGAAAUUGUUCAAGGCGCUCUUGAAGCUAAUAUUCAUUUCGUCAAUACCUUGUAAUUUUUUCUUUUUUUUUCCCUUCCUUGAUUUUUUAUAGAUGAAUAUCAUUUUUUUUUCUUUUUGUAGAUAGAAAGGGAUUUCAAUUUUAGGUUGGGAUUGUAUCUGCAAAGACUACAAUAUUUUUCUAUUCGCUAAUUGCUCUAUCAGUGCAUCAAUGAUUUCCCUUUGGAUUUUCUCUUAAUUUGGGGUUUCUUUUGUUUUGGUAAGUUUAAAAUUUCAUUUUAUCUUUUUUUUUGUUUGUUUUGAGUUUGAAGUUAAAUUUUAACAAUAAUGAAGUUCAUUACUUUACUGCUUGAAUUUACUUGUUUGCAUAUUUGUUAGAAUGAGAACCGGAUCCAAAGGUCAAAUGUGUUCUGGUUGAGGGAAGCUCAUCGCGUGCGUUUUGUGUAAGUACUUGAAGAAAUAUUAAGCCUUCUUCUUUAGUUGGGAAAAGAUACUUGUAAAUAUCAUUUCAUGUUUGAAAUGAAAAAUGUGUAUAGAUAUCAUUGUAGCCUAUGUUUCGUUUUACUAGUGUUAAGGGAGUUUUGGGGGCUAACUAUUCACGAGUAUCACACGAAUGGAUAUUAAAUGUGUUGUUGCUAAAAUCCAGAAGGACAGAAACACUCCUCUUGCGCCAAAGGUUUUUCUUUUUCCUUUCCAUUUGUAAAUGCAUACUAUCUAAACUGCAAACUUCUUGUGCUUAGUUGUUUUUCUCUGUUAUAAAUAUCACAAACAUUUGCAAUUUGCUAAAAUUAAGCAAACAUCUGUAAAUGCAUACUAUCUAAUCAAGCAUUUUCUCUUUUACCAUCUUUUAUGGAUGCGUUCCCCAUUGAUUUUUGCUUCUUGAUAUGCCAAUAAUAUUUAUUAUAAUUCAAACCCAGUAUGUAGAAAAUAAAAAAAUAUAAACAAUAAUUUCUAGUGAGCUGUGUAAAUGCAUAAUGUGUAUGUAUUAUUAGUAAUUACCUUGCCUAAAAUGAAAUUUAGUAGCAAGUUUGUGUUACAUAGACUUUAAGUAUUGUAUUGAAGGGUAAAGGAUGCUGAGGCAUGCAUAUCUUAUUGACUAUUAAGUUCAGCUCAUCAUAUGCUGUGGAAAUAUAUUAAUAUGUUUCUACUGUGGAAAUAUAACUCAUGGUUCAUGCUCAAUAUCAUUUCAGGUUCAAGAUAGUUUCUCUGAAGCAGUUGUUGCUGCUGCACCUUGCCUCUUCUUUUUUUUAUGAAUUUGAUUCCAUUACCCUUAAAAGAUGACAUGACAACAUUGGAGUAACUGUUCGAGUUGUCAACCAAGUUAGUAUCUUUUUGCUUGCUGCAUUUUAUUAUUUUGCCUUAACUUUUGAUGUCUUUCUUAUUGUUAUUUUGCUUUCAAACAAUUCCUAACUAAAUUAGAUGGUUUUGAAGUUUUGACUGGUGUAUUUGUGUUUGUUGCAACAAGGUUAGUUCUCAUGGAAUCUGUAACACCCCUUACCCGUAUCCAACACCGGAAUAGGGUACGAGGCAUUACCAAAACACAUACACUUGUAAACGUAUUUAAACGAGUUAUAAAAUUUCAUCAAUAUUAAAACUUUCAAAAUAAUUAACAUGUUUCUAUAACUUUUCACAAUAUAUCCUCAAAAUAUUAUAAUCAUAAUAAUUAGGGCCUGCGAGCCCCGAUACAUACUCAUGCAAUUUAAUGCUUCAUUUCCAUUUCAUUCAAUUCGCAAUUUCUCAUGCUCAUAAUUUAAAUCAUAUCACUAGUAAUUUCCAUUUAAUUCACGUACAAUUCAAUGACAUCAAAUUCAAAACUAAUACGUAUUUACCAUUUAACUCAAUGUUUAUUGAUUAUACCAUUCAAUAACACAUUUAUGAAAUUCUCAAUUUAGCAAUGAAAAUAUCACUUUAGUUUGAAUAACAACAUCGUCCUGAUAUAAAUACACUACCACUUAUCCAUUUACUUUAAUUCUUUUGGGCCCAUUUGUCACUUACCAUCCUUAAUCAAAUUAGGGAACGGUCACGGAAAAAUUGAGUACUUCACUUUCACUUUGCCAUAGUAUAACUAUGGUCUUACGUAUGAUCACUUAUCACUUGUCCCUGAUCAGAUAAGUGUAGCCACCUAUCACUUUGUUUCUUGAUCAGAUAAGUGUAGCCACUUAUCACUUUGUCUCUUGAUCAGAUAAGUGUAGCCACUUAUCACUUUGUUUCUUGAUCAGAUAAGUGUAGCCACUUAUCACUUUGUCUCUUGAUCAGAUAAGUGUAGCUAAAGCUAUUACUUAUCACUUUGUCUCUUGAUCAGAUAAGUAUAGCCGAAGCUAUCACUUAUCACUUUUCACUUGUCACUUGAUCAGAUAAGUGUAGCCGAAGCUAUCACUUAUCACUUUCCACUUUCCACUUGUCACUUGAUCAGAUAAGUGUAGCUGAAGCUAUCACUUAUCACUUUGUCACUUGAUCAGAUAAGUAUAGCCGAAGCUAUCACUUAUCACUUUGUCACUUGAUCAGAUAAGUAUAGCCGAAGCUAUUACUUAUCACUUUCCACUUGUCACUUGAUCAGAUAAGUGUAGCUAAAGCUACCACUUAUCACUUUGUCACUUGAUCAGAAGUACUCAAAUCCGGCGUUCCGCUCAAUUUGAUCAUUUAUUCAUAUAUCAGGCUUACCAACAUGUGUUAAUUCAUAAACCAUUCAUGGUAUUAUUUCAUGCCAAAUCAUAUACUGAAUAUACCAUACACACAUACUAUGAAACUUUAUUUUCACACAUGAGCUUAAACCAUGACCAAUAAUGCACAAAAAUAAGCAUCAUUCAUAUUUCAUCGUUUAUGAGUUAUAAUCAAACAUAUGACCAUUUAUACACGAAUCAUUCAUAUAUUUCCCAAUUUUCCUCCUCCUCCUCUCCAUUCCACAUCCUUAAUGUGUAUAACACACUUAAACAACAUUAACCAUAAUUUCAAUAUUCACUAACAUGUAUAUUCAAAGCUGUUUAUCCGAGUCAGAGUCACUAAAUUAUUUUUAUCUGGAGCUACAGAGCUCCAAAUUAAGAUCCGUUAAUUUUCCCUGAAACUAGACUCACAUAUCUUCAUACCAUAAAAUUUUCAGAAUUUUUGGUUGAGCCAAAUAGUACAGUUUAUUCUUUAAAUUUUCCCCUGUUUCGCUGUCUGACAGUUCCGACCACUCUUCACUAAAAAUUAAUUAUCUCAUUGUACAGAAUUCGGAUAAUAUUUUCUUUUGUUUCUCAUAAAAAUAGACGCAUUAAGGAUUCUAACCAUAUAAAUUAUAACUCAUAAUAAUUUUUGUACAAUUUUUAAUGAUUUUUCAAAGUCAGAACAGGGGAACCCGAAUUCAUUCUGACCUUGUCUCACAAAAUCUAUUAUAUCUCAUGAUUUACAAUUCCAUUGCUCACACAAUUUAUUUUAUAAGAAACUAGACUCAAUAAGUUUUAGUUUCAUAUUUUAUUCAUCCUCUAAUUCAAUUUCUACAAUUUUUAGUGAUUUUUCAAAGUUACACUACUGCUGCUGUCCAAAACUGCUUUAGUGCAAAAUGUUGAUUUCCAUUUUGCCCCAAAUUUCACAGUUUAUACAAUUCGGUCCUUUCUCAAUUAACCCCUCAAUUAAUCUAAUUUUCUCAAUUAAUACUUUACCUAGACAUUAUAAGCUGUUACACAACUAUUGGAAUUCAGAAUUUCCACAUAUAACUCUAUCUUCAAACUCUUUUACUAUUAGGUCCCAAACAUUCACUUUCUAUUCAAUUCUUUCAAUAAAAUCAGCAUAUGAACAAUUUAAAGCUCUAAUUUCAUGAUAAAUCAUCAUAUAGUUCCAGCACAUAUUCAUAUAAACUUUCAACUUCUUUCAUAAAAUUAAAAACUAAUGAAUUUAACAAGUGGGCCUAGUUGUAAAAGUCAUAAAAAUACAAAAAUUUCAAGAAAUAGUCAAGAAUUGAACUUACUUGUAAUAAAAAUAUGAAGAACCAGCUUGAAGAAGCCUUUCCAUGGUGUUUUAGCUGAUGAGAAUUCAGAAAAAUGAAGAGAAAUCUAGAUAAUUCCACUUGGGUCCUAACUUUAUUAAGCAAAUUUUGCAAUUUUCCAAUUUUGCCCUUAAUUCUCCUCAUGCCUCUGCCGUCCAGCCCAAAUAGACCUUGGGUCUAUUUGUCUUUUAAGCCCUCUUCCUUUUAUCAUUUAAGCUAUUUAAUCAUUUCCCAAAAUUUUGCAUUUGUUACAAUUUAGUCCUUUUUGUUCAAUUAAUUAUCGGAACUUUAAAAUUUCUUAACGAAACUUUAAUACUAACUUUUUAACACUCCAUAAAUAUUUAUAAAAAUAUUUAUGGCUCAGUUUAAAAUCCCCGAGGUCUUGAUACCUCAUUUCGAUUCUAAUUAUUUUAAUAUUUAUUUCUAGUGCACUAUUCACUAUUUCAAAAAUUUUCCUAACUUCAUAUUUAACUUAUACUUACUAAAUUAAUAAUAUUUUCUACCCAUUUGUCGAAUUUAGUGAUCUCGAAUCACCGUUCCGACACCUCUGAAAAUUCAAGCCAUUACAUUUUUUUUUUCGUCGGAUUUGUGGUCCCGAAACCACUGUUCCGACUAAGCCUAAAAUCGGGCUAUUACAACUCUCCCCCCCUUUAGGGAUUUUCGUCCCCGAAAAUCUUACCAGAUGGUAGGUUAAUGAUUUACUUCCACAGUAUAUUUCAAAUUCACACAUGAUUUUAGAUUUUCAUAUCUUUUACAGAUAAUCACAUAGAUUCAUAAGAAAAUCAGGAUAGCGAUAUUUCAGCAUCUGAAGCUACACAAAGUAUCGAAAAAUUACAAUCCAUAUAGAAUGAUAUCCAUUUUGAUAAUCUGAUUAGUUUUCAGAACUAUCAAAUAUUUCUCUCUUUUUAUAUUGUCCUCAUUUUCUAAUUCAUUCACUUUUCCGACCACAUUAUUAUUCUCCCGUACACGAACUUCUGUAACACUACACUCGUAAGCUUAUUCAACCAAAAUCUCACAAAUUUCAUUGUAACAUUUUACUAAUAUGGGGGUGAGUGUAGUAAAGCCUCAAAUUUAUCUUACACAUAAAUGCGCAUAACACAUACCAUCACAAAUAGCCAAUUCAUUACUAAGUUCACAUUCUCAAAGCAUUUAAUAAACAUUUGCUUUUAAUCACUUUUGUUCUCAACACAAAAUUCUAACUCAAAUCACUAAUUCACAAUCAAAAUUUCUAUAUAGCAUCAUAAUCCAAAUAUCAUAACUCAUAUGCUUGUAUAAUUAUAACAUUCAUCAAUAAAAAAAAUGUUUUAUUCUUUGAUCCAUACCUUUAUGAGUUUCAACUCAUAAUCAAUACAUUUUCACUCAAACAUUUUAGUAUUUAUUUCUAUACUAUUAGAAUUAACUCAGUUGAAAAACAUAUAUGUCUCAUCAAGAUAAUUUUCGUCAUAGAACAAUACUGAUAAGGGGGUGAUGGUGAAGUCAUAAAUCUUUCAACUUGCUCUCAUAGAUACAUAUAUAUAUAUAUAUGAUUUUGUAUUCAUCAUCAAUGUAAUACCAUCAUAACCACGUAAUUCAUUCCAAGCAAUUAACACAUCUAUUUAUUACAAAUGUUUUCUGUCACUCACAAUUUCACACAACGAAUUUACUUACUCAAGCUCAAUGUUAAUAUCUAAUUAAAUUCCAAUACUUGGCUUCUAUUUUACUUACCGACAUUCGCCAAAUUAGAGAACGUCUUACGGAAUUGAGUACUUCGUUUUCUCGAUGCCAUAGUCCAACUAUGGUCUUACACGUAAUCACAAAUCACAUACCGAUGCCAUAGCCCAGCUAUGGUCUUACACGGAAUCACAUAAUCACAUGUUCACAUGUUGCCAUGGUCAAACCAUGGUCUUUUCCGUCAAUUCAUCACAUAUCACUGAACGAAAGUACUCAUUCCUGCGUUCUACUCAAUUUGACUUCCAAUUCAAUUUUUCAUACUAUUAUAAUAUUGAGAAUACGUACGAGUCCGUNNNNNNNNNNNNNNNNNNNNNNNNNNNNNNNNNNNNNNNNNNNNNNNNNNNNNNNNNNNNNNNNNNNNNNNNNNNNNNNNNNNNNNNNNNNNNNNNNNNNNNNNNNNNNNNNNNNNNNNNNNNNNNNNNNNNNNNNNNNNNNNNNNNNNNNNNNNNNNNNNNNNNNNNNNNNNNNNNNNNNNNNNNNNNNNNNNNNNNNNNNNNNNNNNNNNNNNNNNNNNNNNNNNNNNNNNNNNNNNNNNNNNNNNNNNNNNNNNNNNNNNNNNNNNNNNNNNNNNNNNNNNNNNNNNNNNNNNNNNNNNNNNNNNNNNNNNNNNNNNNNNNNNNNNNNNNNNNNNNNNNNNNNNNNNNNNNNNNNNNNNNNNNNNNNNNNNNNNNNNNNNNNNNNNNNNNNNNNNNNNNNNNNNNNNNNNNNNNNNNNNNNNNNNNNNNNNNNNNNNNNNNNNNNNNNNNNNNNNNNNNNNNNNNNNNNNNNNNNNNNNNNNNNNNNNNNNNNNNNNNNNNNNNNNNNNNNNNNNNNNNNNNNNUAAUCAUCAUAUAGUUCAGCACAUAUUCAUAUAAACUUUCAACUCUUUCAUAAAAUUAAAAACUAAUGAAUUUAACAAGUGGGCCUAGUUGUAAAAGUCAUAAAAAUACAAAAAUUUCAAGAAUAGUCAAGAAUUGAACUUACUUGUAAUAAAAAUAUGAAGAACCAGCUUGAAGAAGCCUUUCCAUGGUGUUUUAGCUGAUGAGAAUUCAGAAAAAUGAAGAGAAAUCUAGAUAAUUCCACUUGGGUCCUAACUUUAUUAAGCAAAUUUUGCAAUUUUCCAAUUUUGCCCUUAAUUCUCCUCAUGCCUCUGCCGUCCAGCCCAAAUAGACCUUGGGUCUAUUUGUCUUUUAAGCCCUCUUCCUUUUAUCAUUUAAGCUAUUUAAUCAUUUCCCAAAAUUUUGCAUUUGUUACAAUUUAGUCCUUUUUGUUCAAUUAAUUAUCGGAACUUUAAAAUUUCUUAACGAAACUUUAAUACUAACUUUUUAACACUCCAUAAAUAUUUAUAAAAAUAUUUAUGGCUCAGUUUAAAAUCCCCGAGGUCUUGAUACCUCAUUUCGAUUCUAAUUAUUUUAAUAUUUAUUUCUAGUGCACUAUUCACUAUUUCAAAAAUUUUCCUAACUUCAUAUUUAACUUAUACUUACUAAAUUAAUAAUAUUUUCUACCCAUUUGUCGAAUUUAGUGAUCUCGAAUCACCGUUCCGACACCUCUGAAAAUUCAAGCCAUUACAUUUUUUUUUUCGUCAGAUUUGUGGUCCCGAAACCACUGUUCCGACUAAGCCUAAAAUCGGGCUAUUACAGAAUCCUAUUGUAUUAUUUUGAUAGUAUCUAUCCUUAACCUACGAUUAAUCCCCACAAUGUUGAGUUUGACUCGUUAUUAUCUUCACGUGAUCGAUUUUGACAUGAGAUGCAUACCCAAAUAAGAUAGUUUUUCAAGUAGCACAAAAUUUUUAAAAGAGAAUACAUUUCUUGAUUUCAAGGUUUUCCAUAAAUAUAUGAGUUUCUUAUUUCAUGGUUUUUCCUUAUGAGUUGCAUAGCUAUAAUAAAAAUUUACUUGAAUUCUUCUAUAAGCAGUAGACCAGUUUUGCUUGAUGCUGCAUUGCUGAGACUAGGUAGGCUUGAUCGCCUCCGUUUAUGUGAUUUUCCAUCUCCGCGUGAAAGGUUGGAUAUUCUAACCUUUCUUUCAAGAAAGGUUAGUGAUAUUGUUUUUAUGCCUCAGUUUUCUACGCUCUCUUUUAUUUUUUUUGUUUCAUCAUAGAAACCGGAGGUAUAAAACUCUUCUUCAAGUCUCUUUUAUUUUUGUUGAUUGUUUAUUUGUAUGGUUGAUUAUUUUUUGUUUGUGUUCAAUGGAUAUUUGUAUUGAUUCUGCAACUUCUGUGUGUAGGGGAACCUACCAGUCGUAUUGCAGGUCUCUUUUUGAGGAUCUUUUGCUAGAAUGCUUUGAGCUCGUUGAUGAUUUCAAUUUUCAAGGUUUGUGGAUUAUCUUUCUCUAUGUUUUAUAAUUUGACAUUGGUCAUGACUCGAAUGCAUUAAAUUGGCUUUGGAUAGGUUAUUUUGUAUGGUAUGAGUUAUUGAAUUACUUCAUUAAAGAACUCUAUAAGGGGAGGGUGUCAUAAUUUGAUAGAAACGUGCUUCUUUGUUUCAUGUUGUUUUCUAUGUAUGUUAAGACAUUUGAUGUUGUUCAACUUGUUUUAGAGGAGUUUGGUCAAAGCAUCGGUGAAAUUUUUUAGAAUUUUGAUGUAAAUCCUCUUGGUUCUGCAUCAAUCGCACAGGUAUUACUUUUUCAUUUCUUUACCUGGCUUGAAGUUUUAUAUGAGCAUGCUGGGAAGGGUAUAGGUUUAUGUAUUUAAACAUAUAAAAUCUUUGAAGGCUAAACAUUUAUAUUAAAUAAGCUUCAUGCUUGCCAACAUACAAUAGGAUAUGACACAUUUGCUGUUUUAAUGCUACCAUAAAGUUUAACAGUUUUGUGGGCUUCUCGAGUUCCAAAAAUAGGAUAAUGCUUACAAGAACCGAGUGGAUAUACCUUAACAUAUGUUCGUAUCUGAAUUAGGUUUAUCGAGUAGGAUUGAGAAGUGAUAAGAUCGAUGUUGUUGUUAAGGUAAGUCCCUUUGAAAAUGAUUUUAAAACCUCAUAUGUCUAUGUGAUUUUGACCAUUCAAGUUUAUGGCAGGUGCAACAUCCGGGAAUCCAGGAUCUUAUGAUAACUGACAUCUGUAACUUGCAAGCAUUUGCACUAUAUAUUCAGAAGAAUGAUAUCAAAAAUAGGUAUAUGUAUUCACACUGAUGUUCCUUGCAAAACACAUCUAUCCUUCUUUUAUGUAAUUUUCAGAUUAUGUAAAUUGAGAGUAUCGUUCCACUUGGAUUUGGAUUUCUUUUUUCUUCUGCAUGUCGUUAAUUAUUUAUCCUUUGUGCUAAUUAUUUAUCCUUUGUGUUGUCAAGAUCGGAUAUGAGUUUGACUUUCUAAGAGAAGCCAAUGCUAUGGAGAGAAUUUGCUAUUUCUUAGACGAGAAUAACAUAAAGAACUAUAAGUUUUUGAAUAACAUAAAAUGAGGAAUGGCUUUUGAGACAGGGAUUACGAAUCUCAGCUCCUUCUGUAUUUAUGUCGAGUUUUCUUCAUGUUUUUGAAUAACAUGAACUGAGUUUUUAAAUGACAUAAAAUCAAGGACUAUGGUUUUUGAAUAAUAAAGGACUAUGACUUUUGAUUUUUUAUUUCACAUAUGAAAAGAACUAAUGUUACUAAAAUUUAGUAAUUUUUAUGUAAAAUUUGAAGGUUUUUAUUUCACCAAAAGAUUGCUAUAAAUAAUUAAUUUAUUAAAGAGUAUACCUUCUAAUUAAUUGUUGUUAUCAUGUUAUUAUAAAGGAUAAAAUAAAAUAUUAAAAAAAUAUGUUUUCUAUUAAAAUUGACUAUUAAAAUAAAAUGUUAUUAGAGGAUUAUAAUAUCGUAUGUUAAACUCAUUUUUAUAUUGGCGAUUGUGACCUAAGAGAACAGGUGAGAGGCUAGAUUAAAGCAAAUAUAUUAGGCAUUGAAAUAUUCUUAAUAAUAAUUUUAUAUUAAAAUUAUUAUUAAAUAUUAUUAAUAAUUAUAUUAAGAAUGUUAUUAAAUUAUAUAUUAUUUUAUUAAAUUGUAUUUAAUAAUAAUUAUGUUAAAAUAUGAUUAAAUUAUUUAUUUUUAUUUUUAUUAAAAUAUAUUUAACAAUAAUCAUAUUAAAAUUUAAUAACAAUAAUCAUCUACCUACAAAAAUUCUGUUAAGGGUACUUUGGUCAUUUAAGCCUUUUUCCUUAUACUAUUACAACAUCUAUUCCAUUCAACCAAACAUAAGAAUUCUAUUACAACUUUACUGCAUUCCAUUCAACCAAACAAUUGAAUUACUGAUUACAACUAUAUUCCAUUACAACUCCAUUUUUUACAGCUCUAUUCAAUUACAAUCCUAUUCCAUUACAGUGAACCAAACGUACCGUUAGAGAUAUCAUGCAACAAAUAUACGAAAAUAAAUUACAAUAGUUUUACAACUAAACAAAACUCGAAAAAUUAGAGAUAUCAUCUCAAUUUAACACACUAUAAUAAUAAAUAUAGAUAACUAAUCAAAAUCCAUUAAAGAUUUAGAGAUAAAAUAUUCAUACCUGAAACCACUAACCAAAUCCGAUCUCUUAUAAUAAACUCCUUAAAUGGAGCAAUAAUUGCCGUCAGCUUUAUCUUGUUUAUCUCUAUCCCCUCACUUUCUGUAUAUAAACGUCACAAGUUAGGAAGGAAUAAUCAUACAUGGUAUCUUCAAUUUUCACUAGCUACUUGACUUCUUUGCUUAAUUAUUAUUUGCAGAAAGAUGAGUUCAAUUAAAUCGCAUGCAGUAUGUCUUCCAUUCCCAGCACAAGGUCAUAUUAACCCCAUGAUGCAACUGGCCAAGCUCUUGCACUCUAGAGGCUUCUAUAUAACCUUUGUCAACUCCGAGUUCAAUCAUAGACGGUUGAUACGGUCUAGAGGGGAAGAAGCUGUUAAGGGUCUGCCUGAUUUCCGGUUCGAAGCCAUACCCGAUGGGCUGCCACCUUCCGAUUCCGAUGCGACUCAGUGCGUUCCAGCAAUAUGCGAUUCCACACGAAAAAAUUGUUUGGCUCCAUUCUUGGAGCUACUAUCUAAGCUUAAUUCAUCACCCCAACUGCCCCCUGUUACUUGCAUAGUUUGUGAUGGAAUCAUGAACUGUGGUACCAAGGCAGCUCAACUCAUUGGGGUGCCUUAUGUUCAACUCUGGACUUCUUCAACCGUUAGCUUUCUGGGAUUUCUGCACUACAAAGAACUAGCUCAAAGAGGCAUUGUUCCAUUCAAAGGUUACAAAUUUUAUGUUUUAUUUGUGCUUUAUGUUCAUUCAUAAUAAUCUCUUUGAGGUUCUAUGUGUUACACGCACGUCCAUGCAUAUUCUUUUGCAUAUUGAAACAAAAAUAUGCUUUUUAUUUUCCUUGUAGAUGAAGGCUUUGUUAGUGAUGGGACACUUGAGAUGCCCAUUGAUUGGAUCCCUGGUAUGCCUAACAUGUGCCUCAAGGACCUUCCAAGCCUCAUAAGAACCACCGACCCCGAAGACACCAUGUUUAAUUACGUCAUGGAAGUAUCACAAGAAUGCUUAAAUUCAUCUUCAAUAAUCUUCAACACAUUCGAUGAGUUCGAGAAAGAAGUGCUACAAGUAAUUGCUUCCAAGUCCCCUAAUAUUUAUGCAAUUGGUCCACUCACCUCCCUAAGUAGGAACCUACAUAACUCACUAAAUUCAAGCCUAUGGAAGGAGGAUACAAGUUGCAUCGAAUGGCUUAACACAAUGAAACCCAAGUCGGUGGUGUAUGUGAAUUACGGGAGUGUAGUAGUGAUGUCGAACCAUCAUUUGGAAGAAUUUGCUUGGGGACUUGCAAAUAGUAAAUACCCGUUUUUAUGGGUAAUUAGGCCUGGUAUUGUGAUGGGCGAAUCAGCUAUUUUGCCAAGAGAAUUCAUGGAGGCAAUAAAAGGAAGGGGCUUCAUAACAAGCUGGUGUCCCCAACAGCAAGUGUUGUCCCACCCAGCAAUUGGCGUUUUCUUGACACAUUGUGGAUGGAAUUCUUUGUUGGAAGCUGUAUCCGAAGGAGUGCCUUUAAUAUGUUGGCCUUUCUUUGGUGAUCAACAAACGAAUUGUCGAUAUUCGUGCACCACAUGGGGCAAUGGAAUGGAAAUCAACACUGACGUAAAGAGUAAGGAUGUGGAGGCUCUUAUUAAAGAGAUAAUGGAAGGAGAUAAUGGGCAAAGGAUAAGACAAAAGGCAUUGGAAUGGAAGAAAAAAGCUAAAUCUGCCAUUAGCGUUGGAGGAUCUUCUAUUACCAACUUUGAUAGAAUGAUCAAGGAGGCCCUACGUCAAGGUUGAACAUUAAAAUCAGAAUACUGUUGUGUUGUAUGUUUUGUGUAUGUUUUUCUUAAUUUUAUAUUACACUAUUAAAUAAAUGGGUUAGCAUUUGAUAAAUCAAUAUUAUACUUUUUUUAAUUCCACAAGUAAACUUAAAAAAAUUGUUAUGUGUUUGGUUUAUUUUAUAAAUUUAUUUUUUAAUAUUUAACUAUAAGUUAUAGGAUACUUAUCAUUACUCUAAACCUACUUCUAAAGUCCAACAACCCAAUUAACCCUGUACAAAAUAUCUCCUUAAAUAUAAAUACAAAAUAAAUUAUCAAAUGUCAAGAUGAAUCCAAAAAAUUUAAAUUUCUUAAAGUCUCAUGCCCAAAAUCUCAUUACCAAAUAUCAUAAUUUAAAUACAAGACAUUUCACCUUCUAUAACUAUUGUUAGGAAAAUCAAGGAAAUAUCUCGUCAGGUUCUAACAGUCAAGUUCCAAUUCGUGAAUAGGGAACGGAAUAAGGUUGCUAAUUGACUAGUCAAAUAAUGUCUUCCUAAGAUGUUAAUUUAUUUAUGUUGAUGUUCUUACACCUUAUGUGAGGAGACUAUUUUUAGAAGACAUAUUAGGUGAUUCUCAUGUAUAAAUAAUUUGAUUUAAAACCGUGUAUUACUUUCUUUUAUCUAUAAAAAGAAUAUAAGACAUUUAAUAAAUAUAUCAUUCUAUAUUAAACAUAUUAUAAUGUUUAUUGAAAAGUAUUAUUUUUUAAUAUAAUGUGCCAAAUUGUAGAUCAUAAUGGGAUUUCCUUUGUCGCUUCACCUGUUACUUUUAUUGCCUCACUUUUAUUUUUUAUUUGUCUUCUUUUUCUUUGUUUUUCUUUUGGGUCAAAGAAGAAACCAAACAUCAUAAAGUUCUCUGUAGAGAGAAAAACAGAUAAAAUAUAUAUAUAAUAAAUCUAUUGUAUUAUAUUAAAUGUAUUGAAUUUGUUGGGAAGGCGAUCUUGGAGAGAGGUUUUAAAGUGUUAUUUAUCGGAUAAUUAACUCAAAUUUUAACAAUAGUAAAUAUUAUUUUUGUGUAGUAGUUUUGUUUUUUUUCUCCUCCGAGACUCUUGAAAAAUACAAGAGUGAACACCUCAAUUGGUAGAGAUACAAUUUGUUUGCAGUUUGAGUCCUCCAACUCUCAAGUGUAUUUUAUAAUUAAUAUUACGCAUUGAUAAUUAUCCCGUGAGCAUUGCAAGUUGUAUUUCCACCAAAUGGGAUGUUCUCCUUUUAUAAACUCUUUAGGAUCUUUGAUAGAGGCGAAAGACGAAACCUUACUGAGAAUAUUACUAACCAUUAUUGAAAAUUUAACUAUAUAUGCCUAACAAGUGAUGCUUGGAAUACUUUUUUCGAAAAAGUUAAAAAGGUUGUUCAACAAUAUUGAAUUUAAAGAUACUCUAUAAUAGGAUGAAAAAUAAUAGUUAUAAUGUUUUUAUCUAUAUUGUUUUUAUCCCUCAACAAAUUAUAUGUAUUUCACCACGUAGGGAGGUUUGAUAAUGGGUAGCUCAUGAACUUGCAAGGGUUGGAAUGGGUAUGGAAGGGACUCUCUGUUGAGCUCCAUUUUGCUUUUGGUAAUAGCAACACAUUGUUUGAUGUAACGUUUUAUCAAUAUUAAUGAAUUUAUUUCUUUUAAUAGUAAUAAGGGUAAAUUACACUAGUAAUCACUUAAGUAAUAGUAAAAUUUUUUUGUCAUUCAAUUAUAAAGGGUUACAAAAUUGACAUGAUAACAACUUUAAUCCUCAACAUUUAUAAAUUAUGUCCAUUUAGUCUUUAUUUUAAAAAAAUUUAACCCUAAACAACACAUUGUGUAAUUUGAUCUGUUUUUUAUUAAUUUUUUGUAAUUUUGUGACAUUAAGGUUUAAUUUUAAAAUAAUAAGAUUGUUGUAACAAGUAUUACACACACAUACAUAUAUUUCCAUCGAGGUUAUAACUUUUUAAUGAGUUUCUUAUUUGCUCGUUUAUGAAUUUAUGAACCUUUAUGUAUUAGCAUAAGUAAAGAAGUUGUAGUUUAUUUCAUUUCUUUAUAAUAAUGCCAAAUGUUAUUUGAGAAAUAAUAACAUUAUACUAGGAGGAUAUUAUUUUAACUUUGAAAGUGUUUGUAUAUAAAAUUCUAUUUAUAAUAAAUAAAAAAUGAUAAUAUUGUUCCAAAUAAUAUUUUUAUUUUUAGUUAAUUUAUAUGAAUUAUAUAAUAAAUAUUUUUAUUAGUUAAUCAGAUAAAAAUAAUUCUAUGUAUUUAUUUUUAAGUAUUUAUGUAUUAUAUAAUUAUAUAAUUACUUUUAAAACAAUUAUAUAUAUUUAAAGUAAAUUUUAAGACAAAAAAAAAGGUAAAAAGACCGCUCCAGUCCUCAAUUUCAAUAUUGAGCAAAUUGGUCCCUCUAAAAAAAUUGAAGUAAUUUAGUCAUUGUGAAUUUCAAAAGUAAACAACUAAGGAUAAUUUAAAAUUUUUUAUUGCCAAUACGAGAAGGGAUUGUAUGAACUGUGAUUUCCUUAUAUUUAUCUAAUUGCAUAAUGAUAAAUCAGAUUUUUUCUCUUGAUUUUUAAUUUUUUUCUUCCUAACAAAAAUCAAAUCCAAUUAAAAAUGCUAAAAAUCAAGAAAAAAAUCUAAUUUAUAAUUCUCCUAUUGAAAAGAGAUAAAGAUGACAUGAAAUCACAACUUUAUACUAUCCAUCCUCUUGCGAUUGCAGUAACCUAUCAAAAUUCUUGAGAAGCAGCUGAUAUUUUCUCAGCCUCGUCCAUGAGGACCAUGACAAUUAUUUUACACCACAAUUGCCAACAGCGUUAUCCUGUUUUUCUUUAUCCCCUCCACAAGUUAGGAAGGAAUACUCAUAUAUAGUAUCUUCAAUUUUCACCGGCUACUUGACUUCAUUGCUUAGUUAUUAUUUGCAGAAAGAUGAGUUCAAUUAAAUCGCAUGCAGUAUGUCUUCCAUUCCCAGCACAAGGUCAUCUUAACCCCAUGAUGCAACUGGCCAAGCUCUUGCACUCUAGAGGCUUCCAUAUAACCUUUGUCAACACCGACUUCAAUCAUAGACGGUUGAUACGGUCUAGAGGGGAAGAAGCUGUUAAGGGUCUGCCUGAUUUCCGGUUCGAAGCCAUACCCGAUGGGCUGCCACCAUCCGAUUCCGAUGCGACUCAGUGCGUUCCAGCAAUAUGUGAUUCCACACGAAAAAAUUGUUUGGCUCCAUUCUUGGAGCUACUAUCUAAGCUUAAUUCCUCACCCCAACUGCCCCCUGUUACUUGCAUAGUUUGUGAUGGAAUCAUGAACUGUGGUACCAAGGCAGCUCAACUCAUUGGGGUGCCUUAUGUUCAACUCUGGACUUCUUCAACCGUUAGCUUUCUGGGAUUUCUGCACUACAAAGAACUAGCUCAAAGAGCCAUUGUUCCAUUCAAAGGUUACAAAUUUUAUGUUUUCUUUGUGCUUCAUGUUCAUUCAUAAUAAUCUCUUUGAGGUUCUGUGUUACACGCACGUCCAUGAAUAUUCUUUUGCAUAUUGAAACAAAAAUAUGCUUUUUAUUUUCCUUGUAGAUGAAGGCUUUGUUAGUGAUGGGACACUUGAGAUGCCCAUUGAUUGGAUCCCUGGUAUGCCUAACAUGCGCCUCAAGGACCUUCCAAGCUUUAUAAGAACCACCGAUCCCGACGACAUCAUGUGGAAUUAUGCCAUGGAAGUAUCACAAGAAUGCUUAAAAUCUUCUUCAAUAAUCUUUAACACAUUCGAUGAGUUCGAGAAAGAAGUGCUACAAGUAAUUGCUUCCAAGUCCCCUAAUAUUUAUUGUAUUGGUCCACUCACCUCCCUAAGUAGUAACCUACUUGAAAUCCAACAUAACUCACUAAAUUCAAGCCUAUGGAAGAUACAAGUUGCAUCGAAUGGCUUAACACAAUGAAACCCAAGUCGGUGGUGUAUGUGAAUUAUGGGAGUGUAACACUGAUGUCGAACCAUCAUUUGGAAGAAUUUGCUUGGGGACUUGCAAAUAGUAAAUACCCGUUUUUAUGGGUAGUUAGGCCUGACGUUGUGAUGGGAGAAUCGGCUGUUUUUCCAAGAGAAUUCAUGGAGGCAAUAAAAGGAAGGGGCCUCAUAACAAGCUGGUGUCCCCAACAAUAAGUGUUGUCCCACCCAGCGGUUGGCGUUUUCUUGACACACUGCGGAUGGAAUUCUAUGUUGGAAGCUAUAUCCGAAGGUGUGCCUUUAAUUUGUUGUCCUUUCUUUGGUGAUCAACAAAUGAAUUGUCGAUAUUCGUGCACCACAUGGGACAAUGGAAUGGAAAUCAACCCUGACGUAAAGCGUAAGGAUGUGGAGGCUCUUCUUAAAGAGAUAAUGGAAGGAGAUAAUGGGUAAAGGAUAAGGCAAAAGGCAUUGGAAUGGAAGAGAAAAGCUAAAUCUGCCAUUAGUGUUGGAGGAUCUUCUGUUACCAACUUUGAUAGAAUGAUCAAGGAGGCCUUAGGUCAAGGUUGAACAUUAAUGUUGUGUAUGUACUUUUUUUUAAAAUUUUUUAUAAUACACUAUUAAUAAAUAGGUUAAUAUUGUGUAAAUAAUUGGUAAUAUACUUUUUUUUUAAUCCCGUAAGUAAACUUCAAAAAUUGUUAUGUAUCUAAUUUAUUUUAUAAAUUUAUUUUUAAUAUUUUAUUAUAUUUUAUAGAACACUUAUAAUCACUCUAACCCUACUUUGUAAAUUGUAGAUCAUAUAAUCGAAUUUGCCUUAUUAUCUCACCUGUAACUUUUAUUGCCUCACCUUUAUUUUUAAUUUUUCUUUUUUUUUUAGUUUUUCUUUUGGAUCAAAGAAGAAACCAAACAUCAUAUAGUCCCCAUGUAGAGAGGGAAACAGAUACAAUAUAAAUUAACACAUGAACUUACUUAAAUAUGAUUCUAAAAUUAAUCUAUAAUUUUUUUCUGCUUUUAUAUUCUGAUUGAUUUAAUUCUUGAUCCAUAUAAUUUACAAUGAGAAAAUUUUCAUUUAGGCUAUUUAUAAUUUAUAAAAUUUUAAAUUAGUAAUGAUAAAAUUACACUUUGGCCCCCUUAAAAAUGAUAAAAAUUUGAUUAAUUCUUUGAAAAUUAUAAAGAUAUAGACUAUUAAAAUGAUGAAAUUACAUUUUUACUAUCAUAAAAUAUCCAAUUUAAUUCCGCCCUGAAAAACUUUUCUAUUUACACCACUGCUUUAUAUUUAAAUUAAUUACUUCCUUUUAAGAGCUUGAACUAGAAUAUCACAUUAUUCUCUCUCUAUAUAUAUUUUUACUUUUAGAUUUAUAAUAUUUUAUAUUUAAUAGUAUAUUUUAUUUCAAAUGUUCCAUAUUUAUACUCAAAGUCAUUUAAAUUUUGGGUUUGUUUCAUAAAAUUUUAAGAAAAAAAUAAAAAUAAAAAUAUAAAACAUAAAACUUUUAUAAUUUAAAAUUUACAUUUAUCUAACAAUCUAUUUAUAUUUAAUAAUUAAUUUUAAGUAAUAUAUCAAAUAAAAUUUAUAAUUUAAAUUCAAUAUAUGUAAUUUUUUAACACUUAAUUUUUAAUUUAUUUUUUAUAGAAACAUUUUAAUUUUUUUUAUCCAUAUUCAAAUAAAUGUGUAAUUGGAUUUAUGAACUUUGAAACUUGAAUUGCACUUCAUAUGUAUACAUAAAGCUUUGAUUGUAUACAUUUAAAGAAAUGAAUACAUACAUUUAUUUUCAUAUUGGAUUAAUAUUGUUUUUUUGUGCAUGCAAUAUAUCAACAUAAAAUUGUGUUAAUUCGAUAAUAUUAGUCUAUGGUUUGUGAAUUUUGAAUAAAAUUAAAAUUUCAUGUAUAAAAUUAUACAAAACAAAAGCUUAUGUAUGACAUUGCACAUUGGAUCAAAAUUCAUGUAAAGCUUUGAUAGUUUUCCGUAAAAAUUAUUUAGAGAGUGCGUUUGGAUGGGUUGUAAGUAGUAAUAUUAAUUAUUGUAAUAGUAAUAUUAGUUACUAUAACGGUGAUAAUAUAUAUGUUUGGAUUUAAUCAUAGUAGUGAAAGUGGGGUAAAAUAUAAUAAGAAGAAAAACUGAUUAUUAAACACAUAAUAUUAAAAUUUAUAUGUAAGAGAAUUUUUGAAACUAUUUGAUAUUUGUAAAGUUAAUAAUUAUAAAUUAUUAAGUUUUUUAUAUAAAUAUUUUAAUGAAUGUUGUUGACACCAUUUUUUGGAUGAAAAACGGGGUCGACUUGGGUUUUGAAAACGAAACGGGAGUCGCCACCAAUCCUUUUUUAGGAGGUGUGAUUGGGUCACCUUGAAAAAGGGUUGUUUUUAAUAAAUGAUUUGAUUUUAUUAAAACAACGGUUUUGGUCCACGAAAUUUAGAAAAAACGGGUUCGGGAGUCGGUUACGCACGAGGAAGGAUUAGCACCCUCGAUACGNNNNNNNNNNNNNNNNNNNNNNNNNNNNNNNNNNNNNNNNNNNNNNNNNNNNNNNNNNNNNNNNNNNNNNNNNNNNNNNNNNNNNNNNNNNNNNNNNNNNGUCGAAAAUUGAGAACUUUGAAGAAUUUUAAAAAUACGAUCCUUGUAUUAAAACAUUGAAAAUUUUCAAGAAAAGGGCAUAUUUCACGUUAUUCGAGAAAGAGAAUCAUAUCCAGUAAGUUAAGACACAAUGUCUCAAAUUCUCGAUACGCGAAUAAAAAAUGCUUAUUUAAAAUAUAUUUAGUUAUCCCGGGUUUAGAAAAGAGAUCAUGCCCAGUAAGUAAGGACACGAUUUUUUAUUAAUUCUCGAGAUCGUUUAUAAACUUGAGUUUGAAAAUAUUCGUGUAUUUAGAUUUAUUGUGAAAAUCGAAACCCAGUAAGUUAGGGUACGAUUUUUCAAAUAUCUAAACACGAGAUUUAAUUUAUUUGAAACGGAUUUUGAUAUAUCGGGUAAAAUGAAACACUAUGCUAAUAUGUAUUGCAAUAUAUAUAAAAAACAUAUGUAUAUAAAUUAUAAAAUAUAGAAAAUACGUGAAAAAAAAAUAUAGAUUUUGAAAUAUAAAUAAUAUGUAUAAGUAUAUGUAUAUAUAAAUAAAAACACGUAUGUACAUGGGUAUGUGCAUACAUAUAUAUUACAUAAAAAUAAAAGAUAUAAGUAUGUAUAUCGUAUAAUAAAACAAUGUAAGUAUGCAUAUAUAUAUAUAUAUAAAAAGACGUAUAUACAUAUAUUUUAUAAAAAUGAAUGAUGGAUAUAGACAUAUAUGUAUGUACGUAUAACAAAACGUAUGCGUAUAUAAGCUAAAAAAUGUGUUUAUAAAGAGAUAUAUAGAUAUAUAUAUAUAAUAAGAUAUAAAGAUAUAUAUAAAUAGUUAUAAUAGUAAUAAUAAUAGGACAAAUAUAUUCAAAAUUUAAAUAAGUAAAUAUAAAUAAAAUAUAACAAUAACAAUGUAAAACUAAAUGGUAUAAUAAUGGUAACGUAAAUAUACAUAUAUAUAAUGAGAAAAUAUAAUAAUAAUAAUAAAUUUAUUAAGAAAAUAAACAAAAUAACAAAAGGACUAAACUAAAAAUUUAAAACGAAAUUCGGGGUUAAAUCAUAAAUAAAUUAAAGGGAAGGGACCACAUUGAACACGCGAAUAAUAUAGAGGGGCUGGAAGGGAAAUUUUCCCUUCUCCUCUAAAACGCAUAGCUUUAAAGGGGAUUAAAUUGAAAACUAAAAUAAACUAAAGGGAUAAAUUUAAAGAAAUAAAAAACUAAUUGCGGUGGCAAUAAAAAGCGAAGGGGCUAAAAGCGCAAAUAGCCCCUCCAAGCAUAACACGCGGAUCCUGACCGCAUUUGGGUCGGGUCAAAUGCGGGUCAGGGUAUUUAAAUCACAAUUUUUCAGAAAAAAACAUUUUAAACACCAUUUAAAAAAAAACUAGAAUCCCCUCUUCUUUUUCUCUCAAACUUCCGACUCUUGGGGUUCUCUUCGCGCCGCCUUAACGCUCGCCGCACCGCCACCGCUUCCGACGGCCGAUGAAGCGUCAGAACGGGCGUUCAAAGCCCUGGCAGGUGAGUUUUUCUUUUACUUCUUUAUUUUCGUUAAAAAAUAAAAAUAAAAAAACAAUGAUAAAAAUAAAUAAAUAAAUAAAGAAAAACGAAAGAUUGCAAUCUAAAAACCAGGAAAUCACCUUGGUUUUCUUUGCUUUUUAUUUCUUUGUAUUCGAAAAAAAGGAGAGAAAAGAAAUCGAAAAAAAAUGGCCUUUAUAGCCGAGUAUUACAAUCGUUUUCUUCUCUUUUUUUUCAUUUCUCUGUUGUUUCUUCUUUUUGCCCCUGGUUGUUGCGUGUUUGGUCUUUGUUUUGCAGGUGCUGCAGGUGCAAGUGGGUGAGGCGACGUGACCGUGGCGGUGCUGGUCAGAGGCGGCAGUGGCAGGGCAAGUGGGCUAGGUGCGGCGGCUAGGGUUAGGGGGCUAGGGUUUUCUUUUGUUUUUUUCUGAAAAUGGAUAUUGGGUUUUUUAGGUUUUGGGCCGUGGGUUAGUUUGGGCUUGUUUUUGGGUCUGUUUGGGUAGUGGUUAAUUGUUUUUGUUUUCUGAUUUGGGCCGGAUUGGGUUAAUAUUUUUGGUACUAGGCCCGGGUAAAAUUGGGUCUGUACAAAUGUAAAAUAUUAAGAUGGAUGGUAUUGUUUCAAAUAAUAUUUUUCAUCAUUUUUAUAUAGUUAUUUAAUUUAAUAAACUUAUAUUAAUUAUAUAAAUAAAUAUAGUUUUGUUAGUCUUAUCUUAUAAAAGUAUAUUUGUAUAUACUUUUUUUUAAUAUUUACUUAUUAUAUAAUUAUUAACUGAAAUAAAGUAAUGAAAAAAAUUAAUAUCACGAGAUAUAUAAAUACUUUUGUCUUAAAAUAUUUUCUUAAAAAAAUAAAAUGAUAAAAGGACAAAAAACUGAAAGGACGUGAUUGGAAAAACGGAGGCUGCAAUGGAGAUGAAAAUUUUUAAUCUUAUAGUUGAUCCCAAGGACCCUAAAUUAAUUUUAAGUAAAUUAUUCAUAUAGUCACUCUAAAACUAUUUCUUUUUGUCAAUUAAUUUUUUAUCAAUGAAAGCUAUUGACACUAUUUUUUUGAUGAAAACGGGGGUCGACUUGGGUUUUGAAAAAUGAAAUCGAAUGUGGGAGUCGCCGCCAAUCCUUUUUGAUAAGGUGUGAUCGGAUCACCUUGAAAAGUGGUUGUUUUUAAUAAACGAUUUGAUUUUAUUAAAACAACGAUUUUGGUCCACAAAAUUCAGAAAAACGGGUUCGGGAGUCAGUUACGUACGAGGAAGGAUUAACACCCUCGUAACGCCCAAAAAUUGGUACCUAGUUGAUUAGUUAAUGUCUUAAUGUUGAAAAUUGAAAACUUUGAAGAAAUUUUAAAAUAUGAUCCUUAUUUUUUAAGAGAAAACUUAUAUAAAUCAAGUUAUUCGUUAAGACCUUUUCGUUUCAGAAAGAGAAAACAUCACACCCAAUGCGUUAGGGCACGAUAUUUUACCUCUUCAGAAAUAAGUUUGUCUAAAAACUCGCACAAUAAAAUUUAAAAGGGUAUUCAAUUGUUUAAGUCAGAUAAGAAAAAUCGCAGCCCAAUACGUUAGGGCACAAUUUCUCAAAAUACUAAACAUUGAAUAUUGUCUAUAUUAUUAUUAUUUUUUUAGAAAAAUCCUUAUAUCGAGAAAACAACGUGUCAUAUCCAAUGCGUUAGGACACAACGUAUUGAAUUCCCGAUAAUGAGCUUUUUGAUUAAAGAGCAUUAUCGAUUAUUUAAAUUCAACGAAGAAAAUCAAAACCCAAUACGUUAGGGCUCAAUUCUCUCGAAGAUUCCAAAUACCGAGUAUUACUUAUAUUUUUAAAAAAAUUUUUGUUUUGGAUCUGGGUAAAAAUUGAAAUAAUGGAGUGACAAUUACGAUGAUGUAAGCAAAAUAAUGCAAGCAAGGGCUAGAAAAUAAAAUAAAUAUAAAGACAGUAGACAAUCACAAGCAUAUAAGCAAUAAAAUUAAAACAUUCUUUCAAAACAAAUAAUGAAAAUGUAAAUAAAGAAAUAAACAAAGAAAAUGUAUAAACUAUAAAAAUAUAUAUGUAUAUACAUAAAAUUAUGGAAAUAUGAAAAAUAUAUGUAUGUACAUAUUUUAAAAUUAUUAUAUAAUAUAUAUAUAAGUAAGCAUAUACAUAUAUACGCAUGUAACUAUCAUAAAAUAUAAAAAGUAUAUAUAUAGAUAUAUGUAAAUCAUAAAAUAUAAAGAACAUAUAUAAAAUACAUAUUUAAAAAUAUGAAGAAUAUGUAAAUAUAUAUAUAUUUUUAUGAAAAUAAAAUACAUAUAUAGACAUGUAUAUAGAUAUGUAUAAAAAUUAUGAAAUAUAAAAAUAUAUAUAGGUACGUAUAUGUAUAUACAUAUUACAAAAAUGUAUGUAUGUUUGUAUAUAUAAAUUAUAAGUAUAAAAAUAUAUAUAAGUAUGUAUAUAUAUAAAUCAAAGGUAUGUAUGUAUAUAUAAUUAAAUCUAAAAUUAAAAAGGUACAAAUGAGUAACUAAUAAUAAUGAUAAUACAAGAUAAUAGUAACAAAUUUAUUAAUUUUAAUAAGGAAAUAACCAAAAUAAAAAGGGUAAAUUGAAUACUAAAACAAACUUUUGGGGUCUAAAUCUGCAAAUAAACAAAAGGAGUGGUGCAGGACCGAAAAGAGGUACGUUUAAGGAACGAGGGACCAACUAGGAAUAUUUCCAGCCCUCAGACGCAACGUUUCGGCCUGGACUAAGAUGGAACACGCAGAAAAUUGAGAGGCCAAAUUAAAAAAUAAAAAAGACGAGAUUGCACAACAAUACAAAAGUGGAAGGACCAAAGAAGUAAAUAUCCCAGAAUAAAAAAAAGCGCGGAUCCUGGGGCAGGCAGGUCGAGUCUUCGGGUCUUAAGUCAAAACAACGCCGUUUUGCCACGACCUCGGCUCAAAACGACGCCGUUUAAUGUUGCUAUAAAGCCCAAAUUUUUUUAAAAAUUUUCAUUUUUCCUUCUUUCUCAAAAUAAAACAGACAAAAGAUCUCAAAUUUCCUCUCCCCCUCUCUAGCACUGCCCAGAAUCCGGCGAGGAGAACCGCCGUCAACGCCGUUGCGCCGGCCACCGGGAAAAUUCGAAGGUAAAUUUUUUUUUACUUCUAUAUGUUAUUUAUGUAUAUAGUUUAAAAAUAAAAGAAAAAUAAAAAAAAUCGAAUACAAACAGUCGAAAAUCGAAAACAAAGAGAGAAAAAAAAUAAUAAAAAGAAGGACCUUUCGUAUUGCCCUUGUUUUUGAUCUCUUUUUUUUUGCUGAUUUGCUUGAAUCCUUGUUUGAAAGUGUUAUGUUUUUAUUUUUUGUUCAUCAAAAGGGAAAAAAGAACCCCCCAUUACAGAUUUUUCAUGGCUUUUAUAGCCAUUUUUUUUACAACGUUUUUAUAUUAUUUUUUGUCAUUUCUUACAGGCCACUUGAAGGCGGUGGAGCAGUGGCGGUGAUGGCAGAGGGCAGGUGAGCGGCGAUGGGACGUGCGGCGCCUGGGGCUAAGGGGCAGAAGGCUGCGGCGCUAGGAGCGGCGGUGGCAGGGCAAGUGGGCAGAAAACCUCUUUUUAACUGUUCCAACUCACCAAAGCAAAAUACAAACUAAAUAUGAGCUUCACAUGCAUACCUCACACAACUGCAUUCACAGAAAUAGAGACAUUGAAUGAUCCCCAUUCAUUAUUUAAGUAAUUCCCCACUGACAAUAGUAUUUCCAGUUAACCAUGUUUGAGAGCUUCCUUAACAAAUCUGUCGAAAUCAAUAUAAGAUGAUCCCCCAACUUCAACCGCUUCUUCCGCUUUCUUCUUCCAUUCCAAUGCCUUCUCUUUCUUUUUCUUUCCUUCCUCACCUUCCAUCAUUUCCUUAACUAAAAACUCUAUGUUCUCUCGCUUCACAUCAUGAUCCACCUCCAUGCCAAUGCCCCAAUGAGUGCAAGCAUAUCGACAAUUGGUUUGCUGAUCAGCAAAAAAUGGCCAACAAACUACUGGCACACCUCCUGAUAUGGUUUCCACGGUAGAAUUCCACCCACAGUGUGUCAAAAAAACACCGACUGAAGGAUGUGAAAGGACCUCAUAUUGGUUGCACCAGCUUGUUAUCAGCCCUCUUUCCUUAAUCUCCUUCAGGAACUCUAGAUCCAGAAUUGCAGAAUCACCCAUCACGACAUCUGGUCUAACGAUCCAUAAAAAUGGGUGUUUAGAGUUAGCCAACCCCCAUGCAAAUUCUNNNNNNNNNNNNNNNNNNNNNNNNNNNNNNNNNNNNNNNNNNNNNNNNNNNNNNNNNNNNNNNNNNNNNNNNNNNNNNNNNNNNNNNNNNNNNNNNNNNNCCUUCCAUAGGCUUGGGUUCAUUGACUUGGAGGGAUCGGCAUGUAGGUGCCUGGCAACCAAAUGAAGUGGUCCUAUUGUAUAAAUUCGAGGAAAUUUGGCAGCGAUGGCGUCGAGCACUUCAUGUUCGAACUCUUCAAAUGCGUUGAAGAUUAUUGCUGAAGCUUUUAGGCAAUUUUGAGCUUCGGAUCCUAAAUAAUCAAACAAAAUGUCAUUCGGAUCGUUGGCUCUGACGAAGCUUGGAAAAUCUCUGAGGCGAAUGUUACUCAUUCCAGGGACCCAGUCAAUAGGUUCAUCGAGAAAUGUUUCACCUGACACGACAAAGAGUCAAAUUUGAGUUCCUUUUAGACAAUUUUCUUAGCUAUAAAGUUAUAAAGUUGAAAUAAGAAAGUACUUACUUUGGAAUGGAAUAAUGCCUCGUUUAACCAGUUCACUGAAGUGAAGAUAUCCCAUGAAACUACAUGCUGAGGCAGUCCAAAACUGAACUUCUGGUAUGCCAAGUUGUUCAGCAGCCUUAAUAGCAAAGCUCAUAAGUCCAUCAGAGAUUAUGCAAGUAACAGUGGGCACUUGGGGAGAGGAGUUUAACUUAGCUAGUAGAUCUACGAAUGGUGCCAAGCAAUGCUUUCGUAUCGAAUCACACAGAACUGGAAGAUCCUGUGUUGCAUUUCGAUCGGACGAUGGCAGCCCUUCCGGAAUUGUUUCGAACUGGAAAUCAGGCAGACCUUUAACGAAGUCAGGGCCUUUGGACCUGACCAAACGCCUAUGGUUGAACUCAGUGUUAACAAAGGUUAUGAAGAAGCCUCUAGAGUGUAAGAGCUUAGCAAGUAGCAUCAUGGGGUUAACAUGACCUUGUGCUGGAAAUGGGACGAUUACAAUAUGGGGUUUACUGGUUUCAAGUGAACCCAUCUUUGCAAAGCAAUAACAAAGUUGUAAAAUUAAGGUGUUUGCAGAGAAGCUUUCCUUGCUUUCUAGCUUCUCUAAAGCUUGACGAGUAGCAACAUGCAAUAUAUAGGAAAAGGAUGGCGUGAAAGAGUUCAUUUGUAUUCCUUUUUCAAUAGAGAAACUGUCAGAAAAUUCAUUAUUUUUAAUUAUUUUUUGUUUUAUUUUCAAUCUAAACCAUACAUUUAUAAAUAAUUUUAUAUUUUAUUCUCAAAUCAAUAUAUAUCUAUUGGAGAAUUUUAUUUAUAUUUCUUAUAUUUUUUUAUUUUUAAAUGAGAUAUUUAAAAUGAUUUGUUUGACUUGGGUUCUUUUUUAAGAUAUUAGCUUUUAAUAUCACAUGCGUGCGUUGCAUUUAAUUUUACGCAUUUAAUAUUUAAUUAAUUUUUAAAAAAUAUUGUACUUAAUUACAACAAUUACCAUCAAAUAAUAUUUCUUAUUUGAAUUUUUGAAUAUAACUAAAAUAAUUAAAGCAUUUUAAAGUGGUAAUUAACAUAAUUAACUCUAUUAUUAAUUAAGUGAUAAUUAAUGUGCUUAAAAUUCUAUUCAAAUAAUAACUCUAUUUUAUAUCAAGAAAAUUAGCACAAUUUUUAAAAAAUGAUAUUAACAUAAUUAUAAUUAUCACAACUUUUUUACGCUAUAUUUUAUGCUUAGAGUUAUUUUCAAGUAGAGGUUUUCAUGGGUUGGGCUACCCGGCCUGGCCCGACUGCCCGCCCAAAAAAUGAGAGGGUUCGGGUAAAAAUAUAGGCCCGAAAUAUGAGUUUGAGAAAAAAUGAGGCCCGUUUAGAAAACGGGCUGGGCCUCGGGUAAGAUUUUUUUAGCCCGGGCCCGGCCUGAAUUAUAUAUUAAAUAUAUAUUUUUAUUUUUAAUUAUAUAUUAAAUAUAUAUAAUUUUAUUUUUAAUCAAAUAUACUUUUUAUUAAAUAUAUAUAUUUUUUAGACUUUUAAUUUGAAUUAUAUAAUAAAUAUAUAUUAUUUUUAAUCAAAUAUGGGCCGGGCCGAGCUCAGGAUUAGCAAUUUUCUUUCGGGUCGGGCCAGGCUCGGGCCUAGAAAACGGGCCUAAAAUUUGGUCUUGGCCCGGCCCGACCCGACCCAUGAUCACCUCUAUUUUCAAGUAAUCAUUUUUAUUAAAUUAUAAUUAUUUUUAAAUGUAUAAUUAUCAAAAUUUAUAUUUUAUUUCAACUUUUUUAACGAAUAAUUCUAAAUUAAAUAUUAUUUUUUAAAAUGUAAAUUUAAUAAUAUGAUGAAAAAAAUAAAAGAUAUUCAUCAAUUAAACAGUUUUUCUAAACUCGUAAUUUAUAUAUAUUAUAUGUAUAUGUAUGAUAGAUGUAAUCUACCUGCUAUAAUAAAAACAUAAAUAUUUUUAAAAUUAGAGUUAAUUUAAAUUAUUAUUUUAUUAUUGAUUGACUAUAAGUGGAGUAAUAAUGGACAGUGUUCAAGUUUGAAUCUGUUGGACAACUUCCAUCCCUUUUAAAAACAAAAGAAGGAUAAUCUUUUAAAUGUUUUGAUAAAAUCCAUUCAACCUUUAAGUCACGUCAUUAUUAAUUACUCCAUUUUUAAAUUUUUAAAUAAUAUAUUUAAUGGGUAAUUCCCUAAGUUAACAUAUGCUUAAUGGUUUAGUAUUCAUACCCAUCCAUCCUGGAAGAAAGUUUUAUUAAUGUAAAAAGAGAAAAUAUUUGGUACACUGUAAUUAGAGCUUCUAGACUCUACAACAAGAUCAAGAGUCGAUAAAUAUUUUAUAGGAGUAUCGUAAAAUAUUAAAAAAAAGACAUGACAAAUUUUUAAAGUUGCUUGUGGAAUAAAAAAAACACUACUAUUAUGCCAAAUACUAGUACAUGUAAAUAAAUAAUUAUCACAAUUUUUUUAUCUUAUACAAUAAUAUAUAAUUCCAAAUUAGUUAGUAUUAAUUAAAUAAUUAUGGGGGAGGGGAUUAAUGAAAAACAAGGUUUUACCCUUUAAAUAGGUACUAAGAUUAUUUCUUCUUUUUUAUGGCAAAAAUGUUAAAAAAAGAUCAUUUCUUUUUGGUACUAAGAUUAUUUGUUUAGUUAUUUCUUUAUUUGAGAAUGACAACAUUGACUUGCCUUCAAUGUAAUAUAAGUCAUGGAUUCAUUUGAUAAAUGGUAGAAAUAUUCAUUCCAAUAAAAAAAAUUAAUAUUGAAAAUGAUAAAUACACAAUAGUUACUUAUAUUUAAUAGAAAAUUUAUUAAAUUACUCUUUUUUCUAAGAUUAUACCAUCUUUUACAAUGGGAAAAUUUUCAUUUAGGCUCUUUAUAAUUUAUAAAAUUUUAAAUUAGUAAUGAUAAAAUUACACUUUGGCCCCCUUAAAAAUGAUAAAAAUUUGAUUAAUUCUUUAAAAAUUAUAAAGAUAUAGACUAUUAAAAUGGUGAAAUUACAUUUUUACUAUCAUAAAAUAUACAAUUUAAUUCCGCCCUAAAAAGCUUUUCUAAUUCCGCCACUGUUUUAUAUUUAAAUUAAUUACGCUUGAACUAGAAUGUCACAUUAUUCUCUAUAUAAUUAUUUUUAAAAAUUUUAGAUUUAUAAUAUUUUAUAUUUAAUAGUAUAUUUUAUUUCAAAUGUUUCAUAUUUAUACUCAAAGUCAUUUAAAUUUUGGGUUUGUUUCAUAAAAUGGUUUUAAAAAAUAUAAAUAUAAAACAUAAAACAUAAAACUUUUAUAAUUUAAAAUUUACAUUUAUCAAACAAUCUAUUUAUAUUUAAUAAUUAAUUUUAAGUAAUAUAUCAAAUAAAUUUUGUAAUUUAAAUUCAAUAUAUGUAAUUUUUUAACACUUAAUUUUUAAUUUAUUUUUUAUCCAUAUUUUUCUUCCCUUAUUGUGGGAGAUUCGGCCCCACCUUUGAAUAUUCAAAUAUUAUUGUUAUCAUAUAAUAGUUUAUAAUUAAACUGUUGUUGAUAUAAUAAAUUUAUGUAUUUAUAUUCCAACUCCAUUAUAUAUUUGAAGUUAUUGUUUAAAUUUAAGAUUUUCUUUUUCAAAAAUAGUUUAAUAAUUUUUAAUAUUUCCAGGAAUUAAUUUAUGAACCAUUUUAAUUUUAGUUGGAAUAAAAAAAAGAAAAAGAAAGAAAAAACUAUAAUAUCUUCUUUCGUAGCUAAUUUUUGUACCUAUUUUUUUAUAGAAUUUACAAUUAUUUAUACUAAAAUAUGUCACAUGUACGUGAAAACUAUUAUAUAAUAAAUUUAUUAAAAUUGAUAUGAAAAUUAAAUAUUGCUUGGAGUAAAUUUGAUGAGAAUUUGAGUUUAAAUCCCAUUAUAUAUAUAUUUUUGGAUUCUAUAGAAAAAAGAUAAAAUCCUUAAAAUAUUAUUUAUUAUUUUGUUAAAAUAAUGCUCUUUAAGCUAAUUGAGUUGAGACCCGAUUGAACAGUUACACCAACUCAAAUAAUUUUUUUUAUAAAUAAUAGAAAUAUAAAAUCAUACUCAAUAAUUAAUAUACAUAAAGAUUUUUAUUUUCAUUUAUGGAAUAAAAAACAUACUCAAUUAUUGAAGUUCAAUGAAUUUGGUGUGAAGAAAGUAGAAAGGGCCGGGCUGCCUCAAAUAAAAUUUUUCUGCCAAUUUGUUUGGCUUCCAACAUGACACGUGCCAAUUAGGAAAUACGUACGUAAACGGAAGGUAAGAAAACAACAGGUUGCGACUCUUUACCAUUAGAUCAGACCAUUACCACUAUGUUACGUCUUUUUAAUUAAUCAAUUUGAAUAUAAAUCAUAAUUAUUCUCAAGAUAAGAUGGAUAAAUGAUGGUAUUUGUCAUCAUAAACUUUCACUUAUCACUAGUGUCAAAACCGUUUUUUGAAAACAAAAAUUUAGUUCCCGACUUUAAAAAUAAAACUGGAGUCGCCAUCGAUCCUUUAUCAAUGUGUGAUCGGCUCACCUUAAAAAUCAUAUUGGUCUACGAAUUUUGAGAAAACGAGUUCGGGAGUCAGUUACGCACGAGGAAGGGUUAGCACUCUCGUAACGCCCAAAAUCGGUACCAAAUUGAUCAUUUGUCUUAGUGUCGAAGGUUAAAAAGAUUUUAAAAUCGGCUCAAAUGAUGAAAUUUGCAAAAGGAUAAUCAAUUGUUCAAGUUAUGUAAAGAAACCCAAUACGUUAGGGUACAAUUUCUUAUAAUUCCCGAACUUUGAAUAUCACUUUUAUUUUAUGCGAAAAUCUUCAUUUUGAGAAAGUAACAUGUCACACCCAAUACGUUAGGACACAACAAGUUAAGUUCCCAAAAAUGAUUUUUAUACUCAUGCAUUUUGAAUAAAGAAUAUCUUCGGUUAUUUAAAAUUAACAAAGAAAAUCAGAACCCAAUACAUUAGGGCUCAAUUUCUCUCGAAAAUCCCCAACUUCGAAUAUUACUUUUAUUAAAAAAAAAACCCGUUGAAUCAAGAAAAUAACCUUGAUGUAUAGUUAAAACCAAAAUGUAUUUUCUAAAAGGAUAUGUUAAAGUUAAUGUACAAUAUGAAACAAAAACUUUAAUGUAAAACAUAUAUGAGUAUGUAUUUACAAAAUAUAUAUACAAGUACAAUAUACAAGCAAAUUCGAAAAUACGAGUGGGCACAUACUUAGCACACAAAUAUAAGUGUACAUAUAAAAAGGGUAAGUGAAGAAAUAUAUACAACAAACUUAUAAUAAUUUCUAAAAAUAUGCAUGUAUUUAUGUAAUGAAAAUUGUAGAAAUAAAAUAAAAGUAUGAAAAUAUGCAAAUGUGUACAUAUUUACAAAGGCAAGAAAAAUGAAAUGUAUAAGUAUAUAUACAUAGGCCAAUCGUGAAAAUUCACAUACGUAUAUAUUCAAAUACAUAUAUACAAUAUGUAUAUAAAAUAAUGGGAUACAUGAACUGAAAAAAUAUUUAUAAUAAUUUAAAAAUGAAAAGUGUAUGUAAAAAAAAAUCUUUUAAAAAAUGUAUGUAUGUAUAUUUAUAUGUAUAAAAAAAUGAAAACAAAGUAAUAAUACAAUGUGCAUACAAUAGAUAUAUAUAUUUAAAAUAUUAAAGUAUAUACAUACUAACAUGCAUAUGCGCAUAAUAAUAUAUAGUAGUAAAUAAAAUAAAACAAAAUAAUAGUAUGGCAUAAUUGUGAUAAAAACUAAGAAAUGGGUCAAAUUGAAUUAAAAACGAAAAAAUGGGGGGAUUUAAAAGAAAUUAAAAAAAAUAGGACCAACUUGAAUGCGUGUGUAACAGUGGAGGACCAAAAGGAGAAAUAUCCCCUCCUUCCAAAACACUGCGUAGCACGGGACCAAAUUGAAACAAAAAUAGAAUAUGCGGUCCAAUUUUAAAAAAAAGCAAAACGAGUUUAAUUAGAGUGCGCUGCAAAAGGGAGGGGCCAAAUGUGCAAUUAGACCAUCAAAAGUGAAAUGCGCGGAUCCUGGAACCGGGUCAGGUCGACACGCGGAUUCCCCCAAAACGGCGCCGUUUUACAACUGUUAUAAAAUCUAAAUUUUCCUAAAAAAAUUUCACUUUUCUCUUUGUUUCAACAAAAAAGGCAGAGAAACCUUCUGCUAGGGUUUUUUUUGAACCCAUUUGUGCGCCCCCGCCACUGGGCAACCCCUCGGCCUCGGACGACACCCCCAGCCUCCGAUUGUGAUGGAGAGGGGACACCGCGACGGCACCAGGUAAAAUUCUUUCUCUUUUUCCCUUUUUAUUAAGCGAAAAUAAUGAAAAUAGAGUAAAAUUAAAAGAAAACGAAACUAGGAAUCAAGAACUCCAAAAAACCACCUUUUGUAUUCGGAAAUCAAUAAGUAAAUCUCUAUUUUCUCUCUGUUUUUCGUAUGUCUAAACUGUAAUUCCCCCCCUUUUGUUACAGAUUUUCCUCCUUUUUAUAGCCGAAAAAAACAACAAAAUAAGCAAAAAACAUAUUUCCCUUUCAAUAUUCGUUGCGUUUUUUGCUAUUACUCUGCUAUUACUGCGCUGUAUGCCCCUUUUUCGCAGGUUCGGUGGCCAUGGAGUGCGCACGUAUGUGGAAGCGCAAAUCGCGCGGAGGAAGGAUUCUGGCUCCGCAUCGUGCGGCGACUGGAGUUGCUGGAGGCUGCCACUAGGGUUUGGAGAAUGUGGGUUGCUAGUUGGGCUAGGUUUAGGGUUAUUGGGCCAGGAUGUUAUUGGGUUUGUUUAUUGGUUUGGGCCCGGGAAUUAUUGGGCUUGUACAACUAGUAAUUCUUUUUCGAAAAAUGGGUUGAUCGUAGAUAUUCGAUUAGUGACUUUUUGUCAACUUUUUAAUUUAUUUCUAUUUGAAGAGUUUUUUAAAAUAAUAAAUGAUUUCACGAGUCGAUUUAAACUCUGUUGUCUUUUAAGUCUUUACCUUUGAAAGUUUUGUCUUAUCUUGUACAAGCUUUUUAGUCUUGCUUUUGCAAGUAAUUUUAGAAAUGAUUUUUCGUUGUCCUCUCCUGUUUGGUGGAUGGUCGGUUCUUUUGUUGGUUCUGCACAUCGCUUUGGACCAUUGGGGGUUGAUUUCCUUAUCCUGAUAGUUGCUUGCAAUCACUUCAAAUAUGCCGUGCUUGAGUUGUGACAAAACCGGUUGUCAGCGUGUUGUAAUGUUCUAUUAAUGCUGAGGCUGAAGCCUCUGUCGUAUUGAUGGAGCUUAUCCUUCACUGUUGACAAUGGAUGUUUUUUUUUUCUUUUCCCCAAAUUGUAUGGUUCCAUUUAUGGAAUAAAGUAAUGAAAUUUUCCUUUCAAAUAAUAAUAAUUAAAUGUAGAGGUAGUUGCAUCGGGUAUCCCCGAACUAUGAUUCGCAUUUUUAUUUAGUUUCCAAACUUCAAAGCGCUUUUAAUUACAUAUUCAAACUAUCAAUCUUAUAUCAAUCAUGCCCUUCUAUUAUUAAAAUCAUUAAUUUAAUCAUUAAAGGACACUUCAAACCCUAUGUGAUAUAAUUUAAAAUUGAAGUUUUAAAGAAAAGUAAAACAUUACCGCAACUUUUAAAAGUUAAAACUAAAAAUAAAGUAAAACCGGAAAAAAGAGAUAGUGAACAAUAAAGCUUUUGUAAAAGUUUCAAAAACCUCAAAAUCAAGAUUUUUACAACAUCCAUUUUUACAAUAUUCAUUUUUCCUUAAAAAUUUCAAUUUAAUCUAUGCCAUAUAAUAUUUGGUAAUUGAUUUAAUGGUUAAAUUAACAAUUUUAGUAAAAGGACCUUAUUGAUAUAACUACAAUAGUUUGAAGAUGUAUUGAACGUUUUAAAUUUUGGGGACCAAUUUAGAAUAAAGGUUCUAGGUUGAGAAUAUAUGGUAAAAUUAACUCUUAAAUGUAUUAACCUUCUAAAACAAUUGAAGUAUAUUUAAUAUUCUUGAUUUGAUGUGUUUAUUUAUUUAAUUUAUUUUUAUUCAAGAUCUAAACUAUUUUUUAUUUUAGUUUCGUAGAUAUUACAUAUGGGGUAUUAUUAUUAGUUUCAAAACUUACGUUUAAUAUUCUUAAUAUGAUGUAAUUACCUAUUUAAAUUUCAUUUUACUUUCAAUUUAAACUAAUUUUUAUUUUAACUUUGUAUAUGUUGCUAUUAGUUUCAAACCUUACGUUUCAUUAUUUAUUAUACAUUAUUUUUUUAACACAUACGUGUGUUCUAAAUACAUAGUUUCUAUGCACAUACAUGUUCUAGGAUAUUAUAAUCGUAUUUAAAUAUAUCGUGUCUUAUUUAUUAUUCUUUAAAGUUUAUUAAAUGUAUUUUAUUUAUAAUUUUAUAUUAUGUUUAAAGUUGGGUGAAAGUACCUUUAAAGUCCCUAUAUUAUAGAGUCUGGAUCAAAUUAAGCCCUUUAUGAUUAAAUGGAUCAAUUCAAUUAUUCUACGAUAAAAAGAAUCAAAUAAGGCCAAAUUGGAACAAAUUUAUAAUUUAUUGUUUAAAAAAAGGCAUAAAAAUAAUUUUUUUUCAUUUAUAGUUCAUCUUCAAACAAAAAAAUUCAUCCAUAAAAUCAUAAAAAGCUUUCAAAAUAUAACUUUGUUAAAUAGUAAAUGACAUCUUUUAAACAAUUGAUGUUAAUUAUGUUCCAAUUUGGCCUUAUUCGAUUUUUUUAAUAGUACAAAGACUAAAUUGAUCCAUUUAAUAGUAGAGGGACUAAUUCGAUACGACCCCUAUAGUAAAGGGACAUGCUAGAUACAUUUAGCUUUAAAUUUGUGACUUAGCGAGACUAUUUCGAAAACUAGUAUCUUUUAAAAUAAUGUUUCUAUUCCACGAUCUAACUUGAUUAAUUAGUUAACAUGACCCGUCAAUUGACAAGAUACUAGUGUCAUAGGCCGCACAAAUAAGCCGCGACCAAGGCACACUCUAAUGUUCCCUCUUGUUCAUUGGGGGUCAUUCGACCCGAUAAGACUGACUUAUUGCUUGGAAGAGAUUUAAGGCCUAUCUACUUGGAUCCUGGUUAAAUUGUAAACAUUGUAUUUUACCAAGGUAAUUAUUGUAAAUCCUAAAGGAUAAACAUGUAUAGGAUUUAAAUCCCUUAGGAUUCUCAUAUUGUAGAUGGAAGAGACUAAAGUUCUAACCCUAUGACAAUGGUACUUUUUAGGCUUUGUCGAGUCGACAUUGUGAGCAUAAGCUGAUAUUGUUCUCUUUAGAUACUCCACAAAUUCCUCAAGGUUUUUCCAUUUGAAGGUGCAACUCCUAAAGUUCGAACCUAGGACCGUUAUAUUAUAUUCCUUUCUGCAACCAUCUUAGCUUGAUUAAAUGGUAAGAUGGUUGUGAAAAAGGAUGGGGAGGUCUUAGGUUUGAAUUUGAGGAGACACACCUUUAGGGACAAAGACUUGAGAGACCUAUGGCGGGUGCCCAAAGAGGAUAAUACUAACUUAUGCUUACGACUUUGGCGAUUGAUGGGUUGUGACAUUACUAGGCACACUACAAUAAAUUUUUAUAUUAGUGGCGUCUAAUGUCAUUAAAAAUUAUAUUCAAAUCACUAUUUAUAUUUGGUGACGUAAAAUUCAUUGUCAUGAUGUUCCUCCUGUUAAGUGUGUCACUAAAAGUUAAGAGAAACAUUUAUUAUUUUUCACUACGUAUUGUCAAGAAUAUGGUGAUGAUAUUGUAUAAUGUCACAUUUUAAUUAAUAUUCAAUGACAACUACUAUCAUCACCAAAUUAUAUAAGAUCUCAUCAUUGGUUAUUUGUAUCGUCAUCAAUAAUGACGUAACAUUCUAUAUAUAGGUGACGAAAGCAACAUCGUCAUGGUGUUAAUGACGUACUAUAUCGUCACUUAAUAUGAUCAAAUAAUAGCAUGAAUGGCGAUAAUCAGUAGUUGGUUAUAGUUGAUUUCGUCACUAAAUCAUAUACAUAAUUGACAUUGGUUAUAAAAAUUAUCACAAAAUAAGCAUCGUUGCAUAGUUAAUGGCGUAAUAUAUCAUCACUUAUAUGCUAAAAUAAUAUGCAAAAAGGACUCCUAUAUGGGGAAGUCUUGGGUUUGAACUUGGGGCCCAAGUCCAGGGGACAAAAUCUUGAGAGAUGACAAAAAUAGGGUAAUCUCUUGAAUUUUAUUGAUAGACCUCAAGGGUAUAUAUAUACAAUAAUAGUUAUGUUGGAAUCAAAUUGCUAAAAGAUAAUAUCCCAUAAUAAUAUUCUAUAGGGGUGCUUAAAGAGGACAAUACCAACUUGUGCAUACGACUUUGGCAAUCGAUGGGUCGUGACAUUACUUGAUAAAACUCUAGAAUAACGUACUUUUAUGUAUUAAUUAUGUAUUUAUUCUGAGUAUGAUCCUGCUAAUUUGAGCUAUUUAUGAUCUUUUAUCUCAUAGGGGUUAAAUUUGAGGCAAAAGCAAAAUUAAGGGCCAAAAGCGUGAAUUUAGAGAUAAAAUGGGCCAAUGUGCGACACAAGGAAAAGUUGGUGCCAAAAGUGCAAGCAUGGAGGAAACAAGGGUUGAAAUGCAAAAAGAAGAGAUUUUAUUCUAUCAGACUCUAUUUUAAUUAUAUUAGGAUAAUUAAUAUUAAGAUAAUUAUUAAGGAUUAUUUAAUUUUAGGAUUUUAUUUUAUUUAUCUUUAUUUAUCUUCAAUUAAAUGUAUUUAUCUUUUAGGAGUUUAAGUAGGAUUAGACUAUCUCCCCUAGCACUAUAAAUAUGGGGUGAAGUGACUCAAGAGGCAUCCAUCUUUUUAUGUAAACACUCUCUCCUUAAAAGUCUAGGCUUUUGUUCUUCUCAUAUUUCCUUUCAAUAAAAUCUCCAUUUUCAUUUUAUUUAUUUUCUUUUCCACCACAACCACGAGCCACUAAACCCAUCUAGCCAAAAGUUGUCGAUAUUCCCCAAAAAGGGUUCUUGAGGCUUAGAGUCCGUACUUAGCCUCCUCGUUGAGUAUUCAUCGUUUCUCCGCACUACGGGGGUGACACUUCCAUCCAUGUCCCUUAAGAAGUAAGCUUUUCAACGUAUGCAAAGGCAGUUUCUUUGUAUGUUUUAGGAAGGUUGCACAAUCGGUUCGUUAGCUUACUGCGUCAGAGGUUCGUGAGCCCAAGAGACAAAAUGGCGUGGGAUUCGCCAUUGAGAAGCACUGAUCUAGCAUAAGACGAUCCCACAGAAGCCAUUGUUGGCUAGAGUCAGGUUCCACUAAAUCGUAAGUUUAAAUCCUUGAGCUGGUAGUCAUAGGCAUCCUCUUCCACUAUAAUUGGCUUAUUCAGUUUGGGAAGGAUCAUCAAAAAGCCGAGGAUUGAACCCAAGGUGGAACGAGACAACUAGAGGCUGGAAUCUCCCACAAGAAUUUUAUUUCUCUUAACUCUAUUUUUAAUUUCUCAAAUUUUUGAUUCAAUAUUCUUAAUUCUGUUUUUAUUUUAUUUUAUUUUUUUAGAUCCAAACCUUUAAUUUUUUUAUUUUAUUUUUUUCCAGGAACGCAGGUUUUCUUGGGCAAGAUUUUGCUUGGGAUUUCACGGAACAAGAUAUUGUGCAAGUCUAGUCCUUAAGGAUUUUACCCUACUUCCAUUUUACUAUUAUUUUUCAUUAUUUAUUAGGGAUAGGAUAUUUUUGGUGCUUUCAACGACCGCAUCAAAUUUUGGCGUCAUUGCCGGGGACUUGUUUGUGCUUUCAACGACCGCAUCAAAUUUACUAUUCUUUUUUCAUAACUUGUUUUUUGUUUCUUAUGACCAGAUCUGAUCCAGGUACUCUUACGUUCGAUUCAGAAAUUGAGAAGACUACUAGAGCCAAUCGCAAGGAGACAAAGUUACGGAAAAAUCAGUCAGCGGUGGUUGGAACUCAAAGUAACCCACCGCCAGAAAUCGAAGUCGACGACGAAGCUGAGACUAGGGUUAACGAAAACCCUACUCAAACACUUGAAAGAAAAAAAAGCAGAAGUUGACUCACCAGAAGAAGUGCUUAACGCUAGGGUUAACGAAAACCCGAAUCUAGCAUACCAACCAAUGGCUCAAACGAUUCGGCAACUGGCCGAAGUUUCGACAGAACAACCGCCAUUGUGCAUCACGUAUCCUACUGUGGAUACCAAUUUUGAGUUGAAGCCAGGUUUAAUCCAGUUACUGCCAACUUUUCGUGGGUUGCAAAAUGAAAAUCGCCACAAGCAUCUGAAAGAGUUCCAUAUGGUUUUUCUUAGCAUGAAACCUCAGGGGGUAACUGAGGAUCAUAUUAAAUUGCGUGCUUUCCCUUUCUCCCUAGAAGAUUCCUCUAAGGAAUGAUUAUUUUAUUUACCCCCUGGAUCUAUUACAACUUGGGUUGAUCUAUCUCAUUUGUUUCUGAACAGGUUUUUUCCAGCGUCUUGAGUAGCUGAACUAAGAAGAGAGAUCGUUGGAAUAAGGCAAAAAGAAGCUGAGUCCCUUUACGAUUAUUAGGAGCGGUUUAAAAAGUUGUAUGCAAGCUGCCCACAACAUGGUAUAACGGAGCAAUCUCUCCUCUAAUGCUCUUUCGAAGGUUUGAAGCCCAUGGAGAUGAAUAUGGUAGAUGUCGCUAGUGGAGGAGCAUUGGUCAACAUGACUCCCCAACAUGCGAGAGACUUGAUCUCCACGAUGGUUACAAAUUCUCAGUAGUUCUGAGCCAAUUCUGAACCCCUAGAAGGGUUCACCAGCUAAGUAAUUCAACCUUAGAGGAUAAAGUUGAUAGACUUACUAAUAUGAUGAACUCUCUUAUUAUAAAAAAAGCGAAGACAACCCGGUUAUGCGGAAUAUGUGCUACACCUGAUCAUGCAACUAAUGCAUGUCCCAAUUUGUAUGAUGAUACCAUGGCCCAUCUGGAUACUGUGGGAAAUUUUCCUGGGCCGCCAUAAAGGCAAUACGACCCUUACGCUAAUACCUACAACCCAGGGUGGAAGGACCAUCGCAACUUAAGUUAUGGCGCCAAUCCACGAAAUAACCAGCCAUACCAAAAUCAGUUUCCGCAACAAUCGUAAGGUUCAGGUAAUUUUCUAAAAACCAUGGUCAAUAAGUUAGCAGCUAAUGUUCUUGAUUUUCAACAACAAACUCUUAAUUUCCAAAAAGAGAGGAAGGAUUUCCAACAGAAAACUGAGACGUCCAUCAGAGAGUUGACCACAUCGAUCGAGAAAUUGACCUCUCAAGGGAAGCUGCCGUCACAAACAGAACCAAACCUAAGACAAAAUGCAAAUGCAGUGACGUUACGAAGCGGAAAGGUACUGGAACUGAUUCCUGACAGGAAUCUUGACCAAGAAAUCGCCCAGGAAAAACUAGAGAAAGACGAACAGGUCCGGUCGAAGCCUCCAUUGCCUAAAAUUCAACUUCCAUUUCCAGAAUGAUUCAACUAGUGUCGAAGAGGUAAAGAGGACAAGGAAAUCCUCGAAACAUUUAGGAAUGUCGAGAUCAACAUUCCGCUGUUGGACGCCAUCAAGCAAAUACCGCGGUAUGCUAAAUUUCUUAAAGAUCUUUACACCAACAAGUGAAAAUUAACAGGUAAUGAAAGGGUGAAUAUUGGUGAGAAUGUAUCCGUAAUGUUACAGCGGAAAAUGUCGGCAAAAUGCAAGGAUAGGGGCAUGUUUGCAAUACCACGCAAAAUAAGCCAUCUGGGGAUUAAGAAGGCUAUGUGUGAUCUAAGGGCUUCUAUAAAUGUAAUGCCAUAUUCUAUUUAUGAAUCACUUAACGCGAGUUUUUUAAACAAAAAUAGGUGUUAUCAUUCAAUUGGCGGACAUGUCUGUUGCGCAUCCAGAAGGAGUCCUUGAGGAUAUUCUGGUAAAAUUUAACGAGCUUAUUUUCCCUGCAGAUUUUUAUGUGAUCAAAAUGGAGGAGGAUAGCACUCCUGGAUCUUCAGAUCUCCUGUUGGGUCGACCGUUCCUUAGUACAGCUAGUACUAAAACCGACGUUCAAAGUGGAACUCUCACGAUAGAGUUUGAUAGGGAGAUCGUAAAGUUUAAUGUCUACAACGCCAUUAGCCAUCCAAGCGAAAUCUUGAGCGUAAAUUAUAUUGACAUAAUUGACUCUUUAGUGGAAAAGAAUUUUGAGUCAAUUUAUGGAGAUAAUUAUGAACUUGAUAAAUUUGAAUUUGUUAAUGAGUUAUUAUCUCCAAAUACUAAACUGUUACCUUCUGUUAUAUAGGCACGAGAGUUGGAGUUAGAACCCGCAGGAAAGGCAAGGAAAUUAGACAUCCAAGAGUUAGAAGAAAUUUGUAAUAAUGCCUACGAGAAUGCUCGCAUUUAUAAAGACAAGACAAAGUUGUUUCACGAUAAGAGAAUAGCUCAGAAGCAUUUUUCGGUAGGACAAAAAGUUUUACUUUAUAACUCCGUGUUAAAGUUAUUCCCAGGUAAACUUCGAUCACGAUGGCAAGGACCUUUUAUUGUUACUGAAGUGUUCACACAUGGAGCGAUUGAAAUAGAGAGUAAAGAAUCUUCAAAGCAGUUCGUAGUCAAUGGCCAGCGGUUGAAGCCAUUUUAUGAGAAUUUUCAAGCCCACACGGUUGAGAAAAUUCAUUUGGAACCACCAUUGAACCAAUAACGGCGUCGAGCUAACGACGUUAAACAAGCGCUUGUUGAGAGGCAACCCAAUUUUUAUUUUUAUUUAUUUUUUAUUUUAUUUUAUUUAUUUUAAUUUAUUUAUUACUUUAUUUUAUUUUAUUAUUUAUUACUUAUUUGGAUAUUAAUAAAUUUCUCUUCUUUUUCUUAGAUAAAACAAAGCGAAAAUGCGAAGAAAAAGGAAAAAGCUAGAAAAAUAGAACCAAACAACCCUAUCCAUGGUACCAAACAACAUCUAUUCCAGAUACUAUUCUAGGCCAGAAUGCCUGCAGCCAAACUACCCUAUUCUUGCAGCCAACCACCCUUAUCCCUGCACCCAAGCACCACCCCUCAGCACAAAUUAACCCCCCAACCCUAAAAUUUUAAAACAUUUUUUUCUUUCCUUUUCCCACAAAACCACCCUAGCCGCCGCUCUUCCCUUCACGAUUCUCCCUCACCAUCGAUCGCCACCACCAUGGUUUGGACAUGUAGCCGUGUCGCCGCCGAGCCCUCCUUCACCAUGAACCCACGACGGUUCCGUUUCUCCGCACCUCAGCCAUCAUAUACGAUCGACAGUAACAACACGGGAAGUUUUUCUAAACUUUUCUACCUAUUUAUUUCUUUUCGUCCACAUUGAGGACAAUGUGCUUUCAGUAGGGGAGGUACUCUUCUUUAAAACUGUCAUUUUCUGUUGUAAUUUUGGUUGUUGUUGCUGUCACUGUUGUUGUGAUUAUUUUUAGCUGGUGUUGCUGCUUGAGGCUCCAUUUUGUCCAUAUUUGUUUAUUUUUUUUAGAAUCUCCUGCCUCUUUUCAUUCUUAAGAUUUUUACCAAGAAUUGCCUACUGUUUGACCUACAAGCAUGAUUUUUAUUUUCUGAGGAAAUAACGGAUUUUCCAUAAUUGAUGCCAUCUCCACUAUUUUAUUCUUAUUAGGCUAAAAAUAAUUGUGAUUCAUAAAGUUAACUUUAUCUUGCUUUUCGUAAAAUUAAUCAAGUUUAAUACAAAGUGGACACUUAAUAUGUUUGCAUGCUAAAAUAUGUUUAUGACUAUUAAGGUAAUUACUGAAACUUAUUUUUGACACUUGAUUUUUUCUCUCUAAAGUCCUCAUAAAAAAGUUAUUAUUAAAAUGUUGUUUAAUAUUUUCGUGGUUAUGAGUGCAUCUUAAAAACGUGACUGACUAAGUAACCGGGGUAGGGUGCUUGGGUUGUCAUCCUAUUUCACUUCAAAAGGUUGUGUAACAUGUUAGGUAAAACUUCGCUAACCGGAAUUAAUUUUUAAGAACAUGUUGGGCUGAGUAACCGGGGUGAGGUGCUUGGCUGUCAUCUCUCUUCUCGUCAAAAAGUUCGAUGUGUUCUUAAGAAAAAAUUAUAAUAAAUUAGGAGUCUGCUGGGUUGAGUAACCGGGGUGGGGUGCUUGGCUGUCAUCUCUCUUCGCGUCAAAAGGUUCAGUAUAUUCCUAAAGCAUAAAUAAUAUAAAUAAUAAAUAAAUAAAAAUCAAAAUAAAUUAAAAAAGGGAAAAAAAAGAAAAAGAAAAAAAAUAAUUUGGGGACUAAAAGAGGAAACAAAUAGGGUGUCUUGGUAGGUUUGGUAAUUUACCUAAUUUUCAUUAAAUAAUUCAAGUCGAUUCUAAUUUUUUUGUGUAUUCAUUGGAAAACUUUUUCUGUUUUACUUAAAGCAAGCUUAGGGUUCUAUUUAUUUUUCAUAAGCAUUUUGACUGAUUUUUAUAAAACUUUGGAGUGGUAUUUCUUUUAUGGCAGAAUCUAACUUUCACAGUAGAAGGAACCAUACUUGAGGACAAGCAUGGGCUAAGUAGGGGGAAUUUGAUAACACUCUAGAAUAACGCAUUUUUAUGUAUUAAUUAUGCAUUUAUUCUGAGUAUUAUCCUGCUAAUUUGAGUUAUUUAUGAUCUUUUAUCUCAUAGGGACUAAAUUUGAGGCAAAAGCAAAAUUAAUGGCUAAAAGCGUGAAUUUAGAGAUAAGAUGGGCCAAUGUGCGACACAAUGAAAAGUUGGUGUCAAAAGUGCAAGCAUAGAGGAAACAAGGGUUGAAAUGUAAAAAGAAGAGAUUUUAUUCUAUCAGACUCUAUUUUAACUAUAUUAGGAUAAUUAAUAUUAAUAUAAUUAUUAAGGAUUAUUUAAUUUUAGGAUUUUAUUUUAUUUAUCUUUAUUUAUCUUCAAUUAAAUGUAUUUAUCUUUUAGGAGUUUAAGUAGGAUUAGACUAUCUCCCCUAGCACUAUAAAUACGGGGAGAAGUGACUCAAGAGGCAUCCAUAUUUUUCUAUAAACACUCUCUCCCCAAAAGUCUAGGCUUUUGCUCUUCUCAUAUUUCCUUUCAAUAAAAUCUCUAUUUUUAUUUUAUUUAUUUUCUUUUCCACCACAACCAUGAGCCACUAAACACAUCUAGUCGAAAGUUGUCGAUAUUCCCCAAAAAGGGUUCUUGAGGCUUAGAGUCCGUACUUAGCCUCCUCGCUGAGUAUUCAUCGUUUCUCCGCACUACGUGGGUGACGCUUCCGUCCAUGUCCCUUAAGAAGUAAGCUUUUCAACGUAUGCAAAGGCGUUCGCUUUGUAUGUUUUGGGAAGGUUGCACAGUCGGUUCGUUAGCUUACUGCGUCAGAGGUUGGCGAGCCCAAGAGACAAAAUGGUGUGGGAUUCGCCAUUGAGAAGCGCUGAUCUAGCAUAAGACGAUCCCACAGAAGCCAUUGUUGGCUAGAGUCAGGUUCCACUAAAUAUUAAGUUUAAAUCCUUGGAGCUGAUGGUCGUAGGCGUCCUCUUCCACUAUAACUGGCUUAUUUGGUUUGGGAAAGAUCAUCUAAAAGUCGAGGAUUGAACCCAAGAUGAAACGAGACAACUAGAGGCCGGAAUCUCCAAUAAGAAUUUUCUUUCUCUUAACUCUUUUUUUAAUUUCUCAAAAUUUUGAUUCAAUAUUCUUAAUUCUAUUUUUAUUUUAUUUUAUUUUUCAUUUCCAGAUCCAAACCUUUAAGUCUGUUAUUUUUUUAUUUUAUUUUUUUCAGGAACGCAAGUUUUCUUGGGCAAGAUUCUAACUAGGAUUUCACGGAAUAAGAUAUUAUGCAAGUCCAAUCCCUGAGGAUUUAACCCUACUUCCCUUUUACUAUUCUUUUUCAUUAUUUAUUAGGGAUAGGAUACUUUUGGUGAUUUCAAUGACCGCAUCAUUACUAGACAUGGAAGAAACAUUUCAAUUUGUUAUUUGCUCAAAUAUCAACUACAAAAAAGUUUUAUAGUCAUAUGACCCUGGUUUCGAAAAUUGAAUUUCUCUUUAUUGAGAGCUCAUCCUUAGGUAAUUUUUAAGCGAUAAGGGAAGCCCUAGGAUGCUUUUAAAGAUCGAAAUAAGAAUGGUAGCACCAAACCAAAAAGGAGUUGGUCUUGAAUUAGGAGAUUUUGAUUUUGACUUGGGAUUAAUUUAUUGGCAAUCAUCCUUAUUAUGAAAAGUCAAAGAUAUGAGUAUCAAAUAUUGGAAAGUCAAAGAUAUAGGUAUCGAAAUAUUGGCAUAAGAAACCUGAGAUAUUUGCAAUAUUUGGUCACUAAUUGUAUAGUGACUUUGCAAGUUGAUCCCUAAACCACAACUAUAAAUAGGCCUAACCAUAUCUCAUUCAUAGUAUCCUAUAUUUGCCAUUCUCUACUUAAGGCAUUGUUCUCUCUCUCUCUCUCUUUGUAAAUUUUCACUUGUAUUUUGGAGUGAAAUAUAUUUGGUAGUUCCCAAGGACAUAGGCAAAAUUUGCUGAACCUCGUUAAAAUUCUUGUGUUCUUUAUGGUAUUAUUCUGCAUAUUUUGUGAGUGUGAUUGUAGUGAUUUAUUAUGCUACUAAAUUACGAUUGAGGGAUAUUCUGGCUAGGAAAGACCUGGUACUAAGCGAUCAUUGUGAUCCACCUCUCUUUCUUGGGAAUUGAACUUAGUGUAAUUUUUUAGUACAAUAAUUUUACUCAUUUACACGCUUUUGCACAAUAAUUGGUAUCAGAGCUAGAUUCGUACUAGGGGAAUACGAUUAUUCACGACACUAUUCAUGUACAGUAGUUGGGAUUGAGGAGAAAAAUAGAAAAGGCAUCGUCAUCAGCAAAGACUGCUGUGACCAAUCAAAAUUUGAAGUAGAGAAAUUUGAUGGUACCAAUAAUUUUGGUAUGUGGCAAUGUGAGAUCGUGGAUGUCUUAUGUCAGCAAGAGCUGGACAUAGCCCUUGAAGAAAAAAUUGACAAGAUGGAUGACAAGGAGGGGGCCAAGAUCAAUAGACAGGCAUGUGGAACAAUCUGCCUAUGUUUGGUCAAAGAGUAGAAGUACUCUGUCAUGAGGGAGACAUCAGCGAAGAAGUUGUGGGAUACACUGGAAGAAAAGUUUCUAACAAAAAGUCUUGAAAAUAGGCUUUAUAUGAAAAAGAAACUUUAUCGAUUCACGUAUGUACCCGGUAUGUCGAUGAAUGACCAUGUGAACUAAUUUAAUAAAAUUUUAGCAGACUCGCUAAAUUUGGAUGAGAAAUUUGAAGAUGAAGGCAAGGCAUUAUUGUUGUUGAAUUCUCUUCCUGAUGAAUAUGAUCAUCUUACCAUCAUAUUGCUUCAUGAGAAGGAUACGAUCACAUUUGAUGCAGUCUGUAGUGCGUUGUAUAGAUCUGAGACUCGAAAGAAAGAUAAAAGAGAUUACAGAGAUACAACUGCAGAAGUCUUAACAGUAAGAGGUCGUUCGCACAGCAACAAAUCUGGUAGAAAGAGUAAGUCCAAAGGGAGACCUACCAAAGAUGAAUGUGCUUUUUGUCGUGAGAAAGGGCAUUGGAAAAAGAAUUGUCCUAAUUUACAAAAGGGCAAGGGUAUUUCUGAUGCAUGUGUAGCAGAGCAUGAUGAGGAGCCAGACUUUAGCUUAGUUGGUAUUGCAAUGGCAUGUCAUACAGAUGAGUGGAUUUUGGAUUUUGGAUGUACUUACCAUAUGUGUCCUAAUAAGGACUGGUUUUCUAGUCUUAAAGAAUUGGAAGGUGGAGUUGUUUUUAUGGGCAAUGGCAGCGCUUGUAAGACAAUGAGAGUAGGUGCGAAUCACGAUGGCUCAAUUCAAGUCUUGACAGAUGUUCGCUACAUACCUAGCUUGAAGAAAAAUCUCAUCUCAUUAGGGGUCCUAGAAUCUAAAGGGCUCACAAUCACUUUGAGAGAUGGAUUACUAAAGGUAGUAGCUGAGGUAUUGAUGGUGAUUAAAGGCACAAGAAGGAAUAACCUGUACUAUUUAAAUGGAAGUAUAGUUAUUGGAUCAACAUCAAUAGCAUCUGCGAAAUAUACAGAUUUAGAGGCUACCAGGUUAUGGAAUAUACUGAAAAAGCUUUGCAGAGUUUGACGAAACAAGGCUUGUUGAAAGGUGCAAAUUCUUGCAAAUUGGAAUUCUAUGAACAUUGUGUUCUGGGCAAGUAGACGAGGAUAAAAUUUGGUUCAGCAAUUAACAAUACAAAAGGAAUUCUGAACUACGUUCACAAUGAUGUGUGGGGACCUACUAAAGUGGCUUCUUUGGGAGGUAUGCAUUAUUUUGUUACUUUUUUUGAUGAUUAUUUAAGAAAAGUAUGGGUGUAUCUAAUGAAAAGAAAAAAAAUGAAGUUUUGGAUGCAUUUCUGAAAUGGAAGAAGAUGGUGGAGACCCAGACUGGUCGAAAGGUCAAAUAACUUCGAUUAGACAAUGGUACUGAGUAUAAGAAGGAUCCAUUUCUACAAGUAUGUCAAGAUGAUGGCAUUGUGUGACACUUCACUGUUCGGGAUACACCACAAUAGAAUGGGAUGGCAGAACAUAUGAAUCAGACUAUACUAGAGAAAGUUUGAUAUAUGUUGUCCAAUGCUGGAUUGGGCAAGGAAUUUUGGGCUGAGGCAGUUACAUAUAUGUACCAUCUAAUUAAUCGGUUGCCAUCAGUUACAAUAAAUGAAAAAACUUCUAUGGAGAGGUGGACUGGUAAACCUGCCACUGAUUAUGAUUCUUUACAUGUUUUUGGUUCCACUUCAUAUUAUCAUGUAAAAGAAUCUAAGUUAAAUCCAAGAGCAAAGAAAUCAUUAUUCGUGGGUAUAACUGGUGGAGUAAAAGGAUACCGUCUCUGGUAUCCUGAUACAAGGAAGAUUGUUUUCAGUAGAGAUGUGACUUUUGAUAGUAGAAAUGUGACUUUUGAUGAAUCAAUCAUGACGAAGAACAAGGAUUCACAAAAUGAUGACAAAACCAGUAAUACUUUGCAGCAGGUGGAGCUUGAAAAGGUUAAUGAUGAUCCAGCUAAUAUUGAAGGAACAAAUGAUGAAGAAUUUUUGACCCAAGAACUUCUACAGCAAAAAUAUUCAAUUGCAUAUAGGAGGCCAAAAAUAUAUAUUCGUAUGCCUGCUCGCUUUGAUGAUAUGGUGGCCUAUGCACUUCCAAUUGCAGAUGAUGAUGUUCCUUCUACUUACACAAAAGUAAGAAGUAACCCUGAUGGUGUAAAGUGGAAGCAAGCUAUGAAUGAAGAAAUGCAGUCUCUUUAUAAAAAUAGGACUUGUGAGUUGGUGACACUUCUUAAAGGAAAGAAGGCAAUUGGAUUCAAAUGGGUAUACGCAAAGAAGGAAGGAUUUUCUGGUAAAAAUGAAGUUCGAUACAAGGCUAGAUUGGUAGCAAAAGUUUACGCUCAGAAAGAAGAAAUAGACUACAAUGAAGUGUUUUCUCUAGUUGUGAAGCAUUUGUCUAUUCGGAUUUUGCUAGCCUUGGUUGCGCAAUAUAAUCUUGAACUAGUUUAGCUCGAUGUGAAGACCGCAUUUUUAUAUGCCGAUUUGGAAGAUGAAAUCUAUAGGACUCAGCCAGAUGGAUUCAAGGUUGCUAAUAAAGAAAAUUGGGUUUGCAAACUGACAAAGUCACUUUAUGGAUUGAAACAAUCUCCGAGGCAGUGGUACAAGCGAUUUGAUCAGUUCAUGAAAGGGCAAAGGUACACAAGAAGUAAAUUUGAUCAUUGCGUGUAUUUUUAGAAGCUACAUGAAGGAAUUUUCAUAUACUUGCUCUUAUAUGUUGAUGAUAUGUUGAUAGCAUCUAAGAGUAAAGUUGAAAUUGAGAGAUUAAGACUCAACUCAACCUUGAGUUUGAGAUGAAAGAUCUAGGUGAAGCUAAGAAGAUUCUUGGCAUGGAAAUAUGUAGAGAUAAAGCUCAUGGCAGAGUUAGUUUGUCUCAGAAGCAAUAUUUGAAGAAGGUACUACAGAAGUUUGGCAUGAACAAGUAGACAAAAGCUGUAAGUACCCUGUUGGCUUCUCAUUUCAAGCUUUCUGCACAACUAUCUCCUUCGAUGAAUACGGAACAAGAAUACGAGUUACAAGUUCCGUAUUCUAAUGAACUAGGUAGUUUGAUGUAUGCAAUGGUGUGUACAAGACCCGACAUUUCACAGGCAGUUAGUAUAAUGAGCAGGUAUAUGCAUAAUUUUGGAAAAGGACAUUAGCAAGCUGUGAAAUGGAUUCUACGAUAUAUUCAGAAGACCAUGGAUAUUGGAUUACUGUUUAAGCAGGAAACUACACUUGGUAAAGGUGUUAUUGGGUACGUUGAUUCUGAUUAUGCCGGUGUUUUGGACAAACGAAGAUCAACCACCGGUUAUGUGUUUACACUUGCUGGAGGACCAAUAAGUUGGAAGUCUACAUUGUAGUCUACAAUUGCGUUGUCAACCACAGAAGUCGAAUACAUGGCUGUAACAGAGGCUGUAAAGGAAGCUAUUUGGUUACAAGGUAUAGUUAAAACAUUGGGAUUGGUUCAGGAACAUAUUAACGUGUAUUGUGAUAGUCAAAGUGCUAUUCAUUUAGCAAAGAAUCAAGUCUAUCAUGCAUGUACAAAGCAUAUCGACGUACGUUUCCAUUUUGUACGAGAAAUUAUUGAUGAGGGGAAAAUUCACCUUAAGAAGAUUAAGACUGCAGAUAAUCUCGCAGAUAUGAUGACUAAGGUGGUAACAACAAUCAACUUCGAACAUUAUUUGAACUUGAUCAAUAUUCUGCAAGUUUAAUAGUUGAAGAAGGCACUAUCAAGUGUUGUUGACAAAGGCAGAGAGAAUUGUGUGAAGAUAAGAUUAUUCGAAUCAAAUCUUCAAGGUAGAGAUUAUUGCCAAUCAUCCAUAUUAUGGAAAGUCAAAGAUAUGGGUAUCAAAUAUUGGAAAGUCAAAGAUAUGAGUAUCGAAAUAUUGGCAUAAGAAAUCUGAGAUAUUUGCAAUAUUUGGUCCCUAAUGGUAUAGUGAAUUUGCAAGUUGAUCCCUGAACCUCAACUAUAAAUAGGCUUAACCAUAUAUCAUUCAUAGUAUCCUAUAUUUCCAAUUCUCUACUUAAGGCAUUGUUCUGUUUCACUCUUUUUAUAAAUUUUCACUUGUAUUUUGGAGUGAAAUAUAUUUGGUAGUACCCGAGGACGUAGGCAAAAUUUGCUGAACCUCGUUAAAAUUCUUGUGUUCUUUAUGGUAUUAUUCUGCAUAUUUUGUGAGUGUGAUUGUAGUGAUUUAUUGUGCUAUUAAAUUACGAUUGAGGGAUAUUCUGGCUAGGAAAGACCUGAUACUUAAGCGAUCCUUGUGAUCCACCUCUCUUUCCUGGGAAUUGAACUUAGUGUGAUUUUUUAGUACAAUAAUUUUACUCUUUUACACGCUUCCACACAACAUAAUUUGAAAAUUGGAAAACAAGAAUUGAAAAUCAAUAUAUAAAUUAAAGGAAUUCAAAUUGAAAGAAAGGAGAUUCGAUGAGAAAAUUAUAAAAGUCCUUGAAUUAAGUAUUCUAAUUUGAGGACUUAGAUUUGAAGUAAACUGAGUCGAAUUUGAACGAAUUUCCUUCUUGUAAUUCUAAAAUUUUAAAGAUAAAUAGUUAGAGCAAUUCAAGAAAAUUCAUAAUUAAAUAAUUGAGAUUGAAUAUUGGAGAAGAUAAAUAAAAUAAAUUGUCCUACCGAACCCUUUGAAGAUGAACUCUCCAACAAAUCCAACAAAAUGCUCUAAUCAAUUCUCUAAAAAAAUAAUCUUAGUAAAUUAAAGACUGAAGACUCCCACCACAAAAUAUUGAGGGCUUGUUAUUCAGUGCUUAAAAAAAGCACUUCAGACUCCAAAAUUACUUUUGGAAGAAAAUCUGUGCAGAACAAGCUGCUUUUAGCUGAAAGCACUUCUGAAAAGGAGAAGCUAAAAAUUUUAGCUUUUCCUCUCCCAAAAGCAAUUUUGGUGCUUAAUUACUUUUUCACCCCUCCAUUAACAUAGUACUUUCCUUUUUUUUUGGUGCAUAAUUACAAAUGUGUUAAAAUCAUUAAUUAAAAAUAAAAAAAUAUUUUUUAAAAUACUAAUUACAAAUAUUUAAUGGUUAUAUUUAAAUAUUUAAAAUAUAGUUUAUAUAUUCUAAUUAAAUUUUAUAAAUAAUUAAUAUUUAUUGCUUAAAAAUAUUUAAAAUUUAUAUUUCAUAUAUUAAAAUAUUAACAACAAGUUAUAAUAAAUUUUUUAUUAUUCUUACUAAAAUAUAAUAAUAUUAACUAAUUUAAAUAUUAUUUAAAUGCAUAUUUGUUACUUGAUAAUAACAUGUCUAAAAUGAACAUUUUAUUUCUUAAAAUCACUUUUUGACAGCAAUGCUAAACACUCAAAUUUUAAACCAAACUUUUCAAAAGCACUUUUUCACAUCACUUUUCAAAAACAUUUUUCAAAAGCAUUGCCAAACUAGCCCUGAAUCUAACUUCUGAAAAUUAAUAGUAAACAAAUCUUGUAAACCUUGAUGUGGUAGCCACAUAUACUUAGUGUGAUGCCACCAUGUUAACAGCUAAAUUAAAAAUUAUAAUUUUUAAAAAAUAUAUGAUUUUUUCUAAAUAUAAAAUUUUUUAAAAACACAUUCAAAGUUUCAAAAAUUAUAAAUAAACUAGUUUUCUUACUCGUGCGGUACACAGCUUAAUUAGUGUAUAAAUUAAUUAUAUUCUAAGGGCUAUGAAAAUCUGUCCAAAUUUGAAUCUAACAAUAAGUUAUUUAAUAAGUAAAUUUAAUGAAAAAUAGGGAAGAAUAUGUGAGUGUUCUCUAAUCAACGUGAGAUUAAAAUUAACUUUUUAAUUUCUUAAUCUAUAUCUAAAAAUAUAUAUUUUUUAUCUUAUUAAUUUAUAUGUAAAUUAAAAAAUCUAUUGAAGAUGUCAUCAAAACUUAAGUAUGCUUCUUUUUAUUUUAUUAAUUUAUUUUUAAAUUAAAAAAUUAAAAAAAUAUUCUAUUGAGUAUGCUUAUAAUAACUUUUUAGACUAAAAAAAAUAAAUAAAUGAUAGUUGUAGGUUAUUUUCGAACCAAUAAAAAUAUUAUUAUUUCUCUCUUUCCUAUAAUAUAUUAUUUUAUAUAAAUAAUUUUAAACUAUAAACUCUUUCUCAAAAAAUUAUUCAAAGAAAGAAACUAUAAAGAGUUUACGAAAAUAGUAAAAAAAUUUAUACUCAUUUAUAAUAUAAGUGUGAGCUAUAUGAGUGUUCUCUAGUCAAUGUGUGAUUAAAAAUUAGUUAAUAAAAAAUUGGCACAUAUCAAUAAAAUGAAUAUGCCAUGUGUUAAAAUAUUAUACUUUCAUGUCAGUCGAGAGUCCAAGACCUUAUAAUAUAAUAUAUAUAAUUAUCAAAAUUAUAAAAAAUCAAAUACAAAAAAUUAAAAAUAAAAUAAAUAUUUUGAAUAGUGGACAAAAGAAUUAAAUUAGGAUAAAUAUAAAAUGUAUUAAUGUGGGGUUUUGGUUUGAUGAUUGAGCUUGUCUAUGCUUUUAUGUUUGACUCUGUUUUUAUUUGUUGGGUUUAUUGGAAACUCAAAUUGUGGAAAAAGAAAUAUGAUCCCAAUCUCUUUUUGAAUUAUUUAACAUACUGACGGUUGCUUGUCAUGUCAGCUUUCCGAUAGUCCUUCCGGUGGGUCACAAGACAAGACAUAUCACUCAUUUCUUCAUAGGUAUGUCCGGAUGCUUUCUCCUCCCUUUGCUUCUAUCUUGUCUUUACAAUGAGGGUGGGUUUGGAUGAGCGAUUGGGUGCGGUGCUUUUAGCUUACUUUUUAUCUCACGCUACAGUAUCGCUACACUAUCUAAUCUUACCAUCACCGCUAUUUUUACACUAAACAUAGGUAAACGCACCGCCCAUCCAAACUCACCCUGAAAAAAAUUUUCUCAACCUUAAGCUGGACCGAUGGUUGCGACUUGCAAGUGUUGCAUUGUGCAUGUUAAUUUUCUCAGCAACAAGACAAGAAAUGUCACCCAUCACUUUCCAUCAUUUGGGACAUUCUCACCCUCCUUUCAAUUUUAUUAUUUUUAUUGUAGGUAUUUGGUUUUUUUUUUGAGUGAGUUCAGUAGCUAAUCAUUUGCAUUCUAUAGUUUCAUCUAUUAAAUAAUAUAUUUUUAUAAUUUUAAAAAAUAUAUUUGUUAAUUAAAUGAGUAUUUAUCUAAUUUAUAAUAAAAAUCUAUUAAUUUUAAAAAAUAAUUUAGAGAAUAAAAUAAAAAAUUUAAGUAAAGAAAAAAAAGAAACAAUCAAUAAUAUAAUAUUAAAUAAUUAGAUAAAAUAAUCAAUAGUUAGCAACAUAAUAUUAUUAAAAUCACAAAACAAUGGUAAACAACAUUAUUAAUAAACAUUGCUUUACAAAGAAUUAUUACUUUUAACAUAAUAUUUUACAACACAAUGAUAAAUAAUAUUUACAAUUAUAUAAAUAUUAUUAAAACAAAUAUUAGCAAAUAGUAAUGAAAAUCGUAUCUUUUUUUUUGAUAGAAACAAACCCUAUCUAAAACAAUUUUUUUCAAUAAUUCUUGAGACGUUAUUUUGAACAAAAAUAAUUUGUUAAUGGAUAUAUUUAUAGUGCUAAAUAUUAAAUUUAAUUGAUAUAUAAUUAUAACAUUAAUUAAGUGAUAAUUAAUCUAAAAUAACAUAUGUACAAUCAACACCAUAUUUAGUACUGAUAAUGUGUUAAAUAUAAACACCAUUCAUUUCUUUCUUUUUUGAGAAUAUUUUAAUGUUUUUUUGUUCAGUUUCAAAGUUGACACAUGUCUUGGACAAUCCAACACAACUCUAAGGGUCCGUUUGUUUGACUAAAAAUGGUUUCUGAAAAAUGACUUGCUUUUAUGAAAAAGCUAAUAUUUUCUGGUGUUUGGAUGAAUGUAUAAAAUAUUUUCUGUUGUUUGACAGAUUUCCUAAAAAUAUUUCAUAAAAUCUGUUUUAAAUGAAACAAACAUACAUUUGAGAAUUUAUUGUCUUUUUAUUGUUUAAUUGAGUUUAUUUUAUAUCUAUUAAAUUUAUAUUUUAUAUUAUUAUUAUUAUUAUUAUUUUUACAUAUUUUGCAAUGAUAUAUUUAUAAAUAAGUACAUCAAAUUAAAUAUAUAACAGUAAUCAAUUUUUUUAAAAAAAAUAACAGUAAUCAAUUAUUAAGCAAUAUAUGGGCCAUUAUUGCUCUUUAGUCUAUCAACUAAAGUCCUUCCGAGAUCCUCUAUCUCUUUCGCCUACUGGAGAGCCUCAUAAUUGGCUCGGCACCUUAGCCUUUGAAUGGAGUUUGGAAUGUCAUUAUUAGCAAGCCUUGAAUAUGUAUGCGUGAACUUCAUCACCUUGUGUCGCUUUAGUAACGGGAGCACUUCCCUCAUGUAGUAAUUAGCCUGCAAAUGAAUCAAUUUAAGACACCUUACCAAAAAAAAAAACCAAAUGGAAUAUCACCGUUUAUUUAACACCAAAAUUUGAUCAUUUCAAUACCCUAGGCCAGAAAACAAGGGCCUUUACUAGGGGUUUUAUUAUUGAGUACUUAAGGGAAGAUACCCAACAAUAUCAAUAUAAUCUUUGAGUACAUUAAUUAAAUGCCUCCAAUAAAAAAUAUCCUUGAAUUCACUGUGCACAACGUAUUCAAAAUGUAUUCAAAACAUUAAUGAAGAGUUGGCAAAAUAGGUUGAGGUGCACAGAUAUGCUUGAGUGUUGCAUAACUAAACCCCUUUGGCCCUAUAGAAAAUCUCGUCUGGAACCGAUGCUGCUCCACUUGUCACGCUCACUUUUCGAGUUGGAAGUGUCUUUCUAUCAAAUAAUUCAAGGUCUAUUUAUAGAAAAUAAAUGCUAUUCAUCUAAUAGAAACAUAGCAUAUACAUACAUCCCAAUUUAACAGACAAUAACAUUAAAAUAUCCCUCCAGAUUGAGUUUCACUUAUCAUCUAAAUCAGAAAUUAGUUGACAAAAAAAAUUCCAACAAUAGUAUCUUAGAGCUAGCGCAGGUGUAUAACUAUACAACCAACAUAGAUAAGCAUGCUAACCAUUUAAUAAUGGUAAUUUAGCGAGUCAAUAGAAAACCGCUUCCAUUGCAUGUCUCUAUUUAAGUAAGCCACGAGAUCCAUAAGUUGCACAAGGUAUCUUUCACUUUCCAUCACAUUUUGUGCAACUGCAGAGAUAUAAUCAAUCAUCGACGAAAAAAAUGGAUCAUGUAAAGAAAUCAUUCCUCAACUAUAUAUGUUUGGAAGAAAAGAAAUUAACAAGAAACCAAAUAUCAAACUAAUGUUUACAAAGUUCAAUAUAAGGACCAUUAGCCAAAAGUUUCAAACUUAGAACACCCAGAUAGCAAAUUAGGAAGGAUAACUACAUGCAAAUAUGGUUCCUUGAAAGAAUGCAAAGUUGUGAACUACUUGCUCAACCAUAUUAGUCAUAUGUUGGAACCAAUAACCAACCAUCUUGGAUAAUAAAUAUAGGUUCCAUUUCUCUUUUCACUUCCCUUUCUUCUAAGAAAGUUUCAAGAGUUCCCACAUAAACAUUGCAAUCCUCAACAACAUGAAUCGUUCAUAUUUACCUAGUUUUGAAUGGCUAAUCAACAAUAGUAUCACUUCACAAUGUGCUAAGGUGUUUUGUGUUUGAAAACCUAUUUGCAAUUUAGGUUUUUUCCUUUUUUUUUAUCCAACUAAAAACUACAAUUGGAACAAAAUGUAAGAAAUCCAUUUGCAUUAAACAAAAUGUAAGAAAUCUAUGUGUAUUAAACAAAAUGUAAGAACACAUAUGAGCAUGAGAUUUUUUAGUGUCAUAAACAAAAUAAAACUUGGAACAAAUAGAUAAAAUCACCUUUUUCCCUCGAAUAACAACUCUGAGUUCGCCUUGGAUCACCAUGUAUUUUGUGCCACCAAGUCGGAGCAAGUGAUCCAGGUUCAGCAAAGUCAUUCAUGAUGCUAGUGAUUUCUUCUGGAUUGAACUGAAAUCAACAUAAAACCAAAGAACCAAAGGUAUCUUUCUCUGCCGAUUCCAAUUCAACAAAACUUUGGCACAUGCGACUGGGUCAUAUGAGUGAGAAAUGUAUGAUAGUCUUUUGCAAUAAAGGUAUUUUCAAAGACACUUGUAACAUCUCAGAAAUUGGGGUUAGAAGUUUUGAGGUUUGUAGUGAGGGUCAGAGAGUAGGUUGAACAAUUGGGUUCAGUCUCGUGUUUUAGUGUCAAAAUGAGCUUGCUGGUUUGGUGGUUGGAUGUGUGUUAAUUUACCUUUGGGUCCAGGGUUCGAGUCCUCAUGUGUGUUUUGAGAAAUUAAUCUGAUUCUACUUUUGUUUUUAAGUUUUAGAUAGUUAUUUAUUAAUUAAUUAAUUAAUUUAUUUUUAGUUUGGAAAUAGGAAGUUACUCAAAAACUAUUUUCACUUUUGUUUUGUUUAUUUUUCCCCAAUUUUGGAUUUGACCUCUUUUGGCAUCCAUACUUCUCUAUUUCAACAGUUCUUUCUUUUUGUUUUAUUGCUAAUCUUCCCUUUACUCUUUUGUUAUUCAAUUUUUGUUCUUUUUUAUUUCAAAAUUUUGCAAAUAAUUAUUGUUUUCCAAAGUUGUUCCUUGUUCAAUUGCUAAGUAUGGAGUCAAAAACGGUGGAAUUAAGGCGUUUCGAUCUUCGUUGGUGUUUGGAAUCAUAAUUUUAGGUGUGUUUCUAAACUGUUUGAAUUCAGUAGCGAAUUACUGUUGGAUUUUGGGGAAAUCUGCAAAAUUCUGAUAUGUCUUAGAUGGUUAUCGAUUGGGGUUUGUUCUACUGCUGUAAAACUAUGAUUUCGGCCUAUUUUUGUAUGGUUUCGUGACCACACGGCGAUUCACACGACCAUGUGACUUUUGGAAUUAGGAAUUUUGGACCUUUUUUAGUGCCACACGUUCAUGUGGCAACUAUUUGGGGAUUUUGUUGUUUUUCACAUGGGCAUGUGCCUUGGACACUAGGGGUGUGCAAAAUUCGGGUAAAACCGAAAAAAUUCGGUUAACCGACCGAAUUCAGUUAAUCGGUCGGUUAACCAAAAUUUUUCGAUCGGGGGUCGGUUAAUUAUUUUUUGAUUUUUCGGUUAACGGUUAAUUCGGUUCGAAACCGGUCGGUUAACCAAAUUUUUUCGGUUAACCGAAAAAAUUAAUAAAUAAAAUUAUAAUAUAUAAAUAGGCCCACUAUUCACCUAAACCCAAUCUAAACCCAAGUAUUCAACCCAACCCAAUCAUAAAAUUAAAUUACAAAUAAUUUAAUAAAUAAAAAUAAAAUUUUAAAACUAAGACUAAAACUAAAGUCUAAAAGUCUAAAAAUAAUUUAAUUAUGUAGUGAUUCAAUUUGGUUAAUUCGGUUAAUUCGGGUAAUUCGGGUAAUUCGGUUAAUUCGGGUAAUUCGGUUAAUUCGGUUAAUUUGUUUAAUUUUUAACCAAAAAUAAAAAAAAUAUAAUUUUCGGUUAAGUCGGUUAACCGACCGAAUUAACCGAAAAAAUUUCGGUUCAAUUAAUUUUUUUGAAAAAAAUUUUGGUUCGGUUAACGGUUAAAGAUUUUGAAAGGUCGGUUAAUUCGGUUAAUGUUAUUUCGGGUCGGUUAACCGAAUGAACACCCCUAUUGGACACGCGGCCCUGUCCCUUAGCCACACGGGUGUGUGAGUUUUCCAUACGGUUGUGUCUGCUCUGCACUUUAUUUUGGCACUUUUAGACAGUGAGUUAUACGGGCUAAUCACACGGCCAUAUAACUCAGUCACACGGGUGUGUGUCCCCUCCAUACGGGUGUGUGUAGCUUGCACAUGGGCCUUUAUACCACCACGCGAGCGUGUAGACCCCCCACACGUCCUAGGCAUUUCCACACGAUCGUGUAAAAAUUUGACUCGUUUUUAUGUUUCUAUAUGUUUCGACCCUCAGUUGAGCUUUGGUAACUGUGUUUGGGAUUCCAUUACAACUUGGACUUGUGUGUGUAUUUGAAUUCAUAGGAUUAAGUUUAAGUGUUAUUGUGAUGUUACUUUCUAAUUGAAUGCAAGCAUAUCCGAUUCUCGAUUUGAUCAACCAAAUAUGUGUAAUUCUAUUUUUGUGAGAUUAUCUACAUUUAGUGUGUAUUUUGCAUUUGCAUGAAAAUUUUGGGAUUUGGUUAAGAAGAGAAGGAAGACUGAAUUGGCAGUUUAAUUGUAUUGUUUCUGUACAGCGAUUUACCGCAUUAUUUUAUAUAUGUCAGCUUAGCUGCAUAUCAUUAUUUAGGUGGCUUAGUCCCACUAUCGGGGUGUGUAGGGUGGAUGGGCUUAUCAAAGCUCUUGUGGUGUGCAGGGUGGAUGGGUCUAUUAUGACCCUAUUGUGGUGUGCAGGGGGUUAGAGUGGUGUUCUAUUGGAUGGGUGGGAUUUCUACUUGUUGCAUAUUUUACGCAUAUGAAUUUAUGUUUGUUUGUAUGAUCGUCAAGACGUUUAUAAAAUGCUUUGAAUAGUCUGUUGCGAUUGGGUUACAUGAGUGCUUGGAAUAAUAAUAUAAUUGUGUUCUGUUGUUAAUGGAAACUUUCCUUAUGUUGGAUUACCAUUUGAGAUAUUUGUAUGUGAUUUGUAACAUAUGCUAUUUUGGAAUAUACGUUGUGUUACUCCGUCUUUUGCCUGUUGCCAGUUUCGGGCUUACAUCGAGCUUGCGUAGCUCACCCCCUCUUAGUUUUCUCUCUUUUAGGUAAUUCUCGUGUUUGGCAUUGGACUCAGUGCAUCGGUGAUCUCAGAACUUUUACUCGGGUUUUUCUCAAUUUGGAUUGGACUUAUUUAAGUUCAACAGUUUUGUUAAAUCAUUUCCUAUAGGACUGUUGUAAUUUUGUUUUAUGAACUGUGGUAUAACUUACUUUGGAAUAUUUGUUUUGUAAGUGAUUUUGAUUGUUCUAAAAUAUUUGGUUUAAACUUUAAUACGUUGUAAGUUUUAAACAUAAAACACUAGCUUGGGCUUUGCAUUUAAAUAGUAAGUAUUAUGCUAUCCGCUAUGAACUACUUUCUUGUAAUGUCAGUCUUUUAAAUUUCCAAAUCCGUAUGAUUUCAAAAUCGAAGUAAAAAUUGUUAAACGAUAUAGUUCAAUUUGAGCAAACUGUAUUCGGAUUAAGUUUUUAGAAAUUCUUAUGUAAAAUGUUUCAAGAUCACUUCGGUGGUCAAUGUAACCUCUGAGGUCCGGUCAAAACUUCUAGGUCGGGUUUUGGGGUGUUACAAUACUAAAGUUGGUAAGUUAGGUAUUUGCGAACAUUACAUUUUGGAGAAACAAACCCGAGUUAAUUUUUAUUUAGUAGUGCAUAAAACAAAAUAGACUCUAGAUUACACUCAUUCCUGUUUAUGGCUGUCCAUUUUUUGACACCUCAAAAAGAGGUAAUAAAUAUUUCUUAACUUUUAUUGAUGAUCACUCUAGAAAAGUUUAGGUUUAUUUCUUGGAACAAAAAAAUGAAGUCUUUGAAAUCUCCAAAUAGUGGAAGACAUUGUUAGAAAAACAAACCAAAAAAUCCAUGAAGCGGUUAAGAAUGGAUAAUGGUCUUGAGUUUUGUUCAUUAAGGUUUAAUGAUUUCUGCAAACGGGAAGGAAUUGAAACGUAUUGAAUCGUUGUUGGAACUCCGCAGUAGAAUGUAGUUGCAGAAAGAAUGAACAGAUCCUUGCUAGAAAAGGCUCGAUGCAUGCUUCGUAAUGUAGGCUUAGGGAAGGAAUUUUAGGCUGAAGCCAUAAACUUAACAAGUUAUUUGGUAAAUCGAUCUCCUCAUCUAGCAUAGAACGGUAAAGUUCUAGAGGAGAUAUGGUCAGGUAAUUCUCCUAAUUAUUCUAAUAUUAAAAUUUUUGGUUGUCCUGCUUAUGCUAAAGUUAGUGAGGGAAAGCUCGAACCAAAGGCCAUUAAAUGCAUCUUUCUGAGAUACUCUACUGGUACAAAAGGUUUUAAGUUGUAGUGUUUGGAAUUCGAAAAAAUAAUUAUUAGCAAGGAUGUUCUGUUUGAUGAAUUUGUCAUGUUUUGAUCAGAAAAUGGAACUUUUACUUUUAUUUUUAAAGACACAACAAAUCAGAGUGUCUUGAGCAAGGUGGAUUCAAAAGCCAAAAUAGGGGGAGGCAUCCUAGUGAGUAAAUGCCCCACGUCGUAAUGAUGUGACGAACAAAAGUCUUAUCUCGAUGAAGAGUCACACGACAUCACGAUGUCACAACAAAAUUUUGAUUCUUACUAGUUUGAAGUUGUUUCGAAUCUGUUUGGGGCUCCAUCCAAUCUUCAAGUACCCUCACCAUCUUAGUUAACUAAUUAUAAGUUAGCUCGUAACAAGAAAAGACGAGAGAUCAGACCACCACAGAAAUAUUGUGAAGGAAACCUAGUGGCUUAUGCUUUAAGUGUUGUUGAGAGCAUUGAUUCAAUCAAUCCUUCGUGUUAUUAUGAGGCAGUUCAAGCCGCUGAUUCUAGCAAAUGACUUGUUGCAAUGGAAAAAAAGAUGAGAUCACUUCAAAAGAAUGAGACUUAGAGGCUAGUUAAACCACCCAUUGGUAAAAGAAUCAUUGGUUGCAAAUGAAUAUUUAAAAAGAAGGAAGGUUCGGGUCCUAACGACACUAGGUACAAGGCAAGACUGGUUGCAAAGGGCUAUAGUUAAGUUGAAGGAGUUGAUUUUCAUGGUGUUUUCUCUCCCAUUGUGAAACAUACAUCCAUUCGACGGUUUUGGCCCUUGUUGCAUCAAAUAAUCUUAAGUUAGAGCAGUUAGAUGUAAACACUGCUUUUCUUCACAGUGAAUUUGAGGAGGACAUCUACAUGCAACAACUGAAAGACUUCAAAGUUGAAGGUAAAGAAGAUCAUGUUUGUCUCUUACAAAAGUCUUUGUAUAGUUUGAAGUAGUCUCCUCGACAAUGAUAUAACAAGUUUGACUCCUUCAUGUGGAGUAUUGAUUUUUUUCGAAGUAAGUAUAACUGUUGUGUUUAUCUACAAUGUCUUGAUGAUGGUUCUUUUAUAUAUUUGCUACUUUAUGUUGAUGAUAUGUUAAUUCCGGGUAAGAAUCCAUUUGAAAUUGAUCGUCUUAAAACCAUGCUUAACUCUAAGUUUGAGAUUAAGGAUUUAGGUCUAGCAAAGAAAAUUUUGGGGAUGAAAAUUUUGAGAGAUAGACAUUCCGGGAAAUUAUUUUUAUUGCUACAAAGUUACAUCAAGAAGAUCCUUGAGAGAUUAGAGAUGCAAUAUGCAAAACAGGUAAGUAAUCCUUUAGUUACACACUUUAAACUCUCAAUUUUAGAUUCCCUACAGAAUGAAGAAGAUAAACGGUACAUGUCAAAAGUACCUUAUUCAAGCGCAGUUGGAACUUUGAUGUAUUCAAUGGUAUGCAUUCAUCUCGAUAUUUCACAUGCUAUUAGUAUUGUUAGCCGAUACAUGACCAAUCCUGGUAAGUUACAUUGGCAUGCAGUUAGGUGAAUUUUCAGAUAUUUACGAGGUAUUUCUAGCAUAUGCUUAAAGUUUGGAAGAACUCAAGAGGGUUUAGUUGGAUAUGUUGAUUUUGAUUAUACAAGAGAUUUAAAUCGAAGAAGGUCUCUCACAAGUUACCUAUUUGCUUUUGGGAAUUGUGUCAUUAGUUAGAAAGCGAUUCUUUAAGCUACAAUGGCUUUGUCGACUAUUGAAGUAGAAUACAUGGCAAUUAAAGAUGGAGUAAAAGAAGCAAUUUGGUUAAGAGGCUUGUCCAAUGAACUGGUAAGUGAAAAAAGGGCAACUGUCGUAUAUUGUGAUAGUCAAAGUAUCAUAAAUCUCACUUAAUAUAAAAUGCAUCACGAGAGAACGAAGCAUAUAGACAUUCGUUAUCAUUUCGUUUGAGAGAUGAUCAUUUAAGGGGAUGUUAAGAUUCUUAAAAUUGGCACAGAACACAAUCCGGUCGACAUGUUGACAAAGAGCCUUCUAGUUUCAAAGUUUGAGCAUUGCUUGGAUUUGGUAAGUAUCCGACGAAGAAUCAGUUAAGCUCGUAAUAGGGCUUGGCAAGAGAGUUGGUCCAAAUAUGAGUCAAGGUAGAGAUUUGUGAGAGAAUGCCUCUUAUUUUCACCAAAUUUUAUUUUGGCUUUUCUUCUCCUAAUUAAACUCUGUUUUUAGUUUCUCACUUAAACUCUGAUUAACCUAGAGUUGUUGUAGUUAUAUAUGCCACGAAUUUCAACUUAUCACGCAAAUUUUACGUGGAAAAAUUCCUUAAAGAGGAUAAAAUCUACGGGCAAAAGAAGAUUUCACUAAAAAAAGGAGAGUACAAAAUAUGGAGAAAAUUAAAAUAAAAACCCAAAGCCCACAAGAAAAACCCUUCAAAACAGAAAACAAAAUUCUCUCAAACUAAAUAUUUCGUUGUGUAAACUUAGAGUAACUAAAACCUAUUUUUUGAUUCUUUUUUUUUUUACUUUGUUCGUUGUUUAAUUGGGUUUAUCCCUUACAAGAAAAAUAAUUGUCCACUUUUAUUGUGAAAUGGUGAAUUGACAAAAAAAUUAAAUUUAAAUAAAUAUAAAAUAUAUUAAUAUCAUGCGUAAAUUUCACUUGUAAUAUGAGGUUUUGGUUUGUUAAUUGAGUUUGUGCUUUUUCGUCUCUAUGCUUUUAUGUUGUCAUUUAUGUUAGGACUCUGUUUUUAUUUGUUCAGUUUCAUUGAAAACUCAAAUUGUGGAAAAACAAGAAGUUUCUCCAUCUCGUUUUGAAGUAUUUAACAUACUGACGGUUGCAUUGUAAUGCCAACUUUCCGAUUGUCCUUCCGGUGGGUCACAAGGCAAAGAAAUAUUACUCAUUUCUUCAUAGGUGGAGCUAUUCCUAUUAUUACAUCCGGAUGCAUUAUCCUCUCGGCGCUUCUAUUUUGUCUUUACACGGACUCUCUUCUGUUUGGCUACAAUGAAAACUCAGCUUUGGAAACAAAAUUUUCUCAACCUCGUGGUGGACCGAUUUGAUAUAGCGGAGGUUGCAUUGUACAUGUCAAUUUUCUCGGAAUAUCACCCAUCACUUACUUUCCAUAUCGUUUUGUGAGAUUCUUACUAAAGGUGCUCAUGGGCCGGGCCGGGCCGGGAAUUUCGGCCUAUAUUUUUACCCAAACCCUCCCAUAUUCUUACCCUCCUUUCAAUAUUCAAUUUUUUUAUUUUAUUAUAUUAUUAGUUCCCAACAAUGUACGUAUCUGUUUUUAAAAUUCAUUAAAUAAUAAAUUUUUAUAAUUUUAAAAAAAUAUAGUUGUUAAUUAAAUGAGUAUUUAUCUAAUUUAUAAUAAAAGUCUAUUAAUUUUUACAAAAUAAUUUAGAGAAUAAAAUAAAAUUUUUAAAGUAAAGAAAAUAAAAAUAUGAAAAAUAAUUGAUAAUAAAAUAUUAAGUAAUUAGAUAAAAUAAUCAAUAGUUAGCAACAUAAUAUUAUUAAAAUCACAAAACAAUGGUAAACAACAUUAUUAAUAAACAUUACUUUACAGAGAACCCUUACUUUUAAUAUAAUAUUUUACAAUAUAAUGAUAAAUAACAUUUACAAUUAUGUAAAUAUUAUUAAAAACAAAUAUUAGCAAAUGAUAAAAAAAAUCAUAUAUAUAUAUUUUUUGUGAUAGAAACAAACCCUAUCUAAAAUAAUUUUUUUCAAUAAUUCUUGAGACGUUAUUUUGAAUGAAAAAAAAAUUAUUAAUGCAUAUAUUUAUAGUACUAAAUAUUAGUUUUAAUUUAUAUAAUUAUUUUAAUGUCAUUUAAUAUGAAUACAAGCAAUCAACACUAUACUUAUGUGUUAAAUAUAAACACCGUUCAUUUCUUUCUUUUGUUCUUUUUGAGAUUUUUUUUUUUCAGUUUGAAAGAUGACACGUGACUUUGACAAUCCAACUCAACUUUAAAUGCACAAACAAAUACAAGUACAAAAAUGAAAAGACAGAAAAGAACAGGUUAGCAGUGGCGAAAUUAGUGGAGUUCGCGUGGUCUUGACUCCCGUAAAAUGAAUUUUUUAUAUAAAUUUUUCAAAAUUUUUAAAAUUUUAAAUUAGUAAAUGUAAAAUUAUAUUUUAGCUCCCAAAAAAUAUAAUAAUUUGAUUUAAUUCUUUAAAAAUUAUAAUAAUAUAGUUUAUUAAAAUAAUAAAAUUUUAUUUUUUAUCAUAAAAAUUAUAAUUUAACUUCGUCCCUAAAUUUUUUUUUGGUUUCGCCACUGUAAAUUGGUACUUAGUAAUUAUCCAUUGGGUUAUAGACACCAUUUUGUCAUAUAUUUUAGGCCUUUUCUAUUAGAUUGUUUAUUAAUCAAAUUAAUUACAUGUAUUAACAUUUCAAUGCUACCUUUAGUAAUGAUGUUAUUUUUACAUGUAUUUUAAUAUAUGAGUUAGUAAUAAAUUAAUUUAAUUUAUAAUAUUUAGUUAUUCUCAUAACUUAGUUUUAGUAAAGAAAAUAAAAUAUUUUUAUUUAUUUUGAAGAUGUUUUAUUUUUUACAAGAAUUUUUAUUUAUAUUUCUAUUUUCAAGUUUAAAUUUAUUAUAACUAUUCUUAGUUUGAUAUUUAACUAUUGUAAUACAUGUACCCAAUAAGUUUUUUCUUCAUGUUAUUACAUUAAUAACCGAAUGAGGCAUUAAUAUAUUUAUAUUAAUAGUUAAUUUCACCUUAUUUCCUUAAACUAUAACCUUCAUUCUAAAUUAGUCCUCAAAUUUUAAAAUAUUUUAAUUACAUCCCAAACUGUUGAUGUUUUAUCAAUAAGGUCAUCCCAUUACUAAAAAAUAAUUAAUUUAACUGUUAAAUGAAAUGUCAAAUCUUAUGUGUCAUGUUUAAAAUAAAGAAUUGUAAAAAAAAAUGAAUGUUAUAAAAAUAUUGGGUUUGAGGCUUUUACAAAAGUGUUAUUGCUUACUUUCUUCUUUUUUCAGUUUUACUUCAUUUUUAAUUUAAAAGUUAUGCAAUAAAAUUUUAAUUUUUUUAAAAAAUUAUCAUUUUAAAUUAUGCCACAUAAGAUUUGACAUAUUAUUUAAAGGUUAAAUUAAUUAUUUUAAUAAUUGAAGGACCCUAUUGAUAUAUCAUCAAUAAUUUGGGAAGAUAAUUAGACGUUUUGAAAUUUAGGGGUCAAUUUAGAAUAAGUGCCAUAGUUUGGGGAUGUUUAGUGCAAUUAAUCUUAUCUUAAUUGUAUUUAUACUAUGUUUGGAUUAAAAAUACUAAAGGAAAAGAAAAGAAAAAAAAAGGAAAAGAAAAGAGAGGAAAAUUAAGAAAAGUAAAUAAUUAUUUAGUAUAGUUAAAAUUAAUAAAAAUAAAUUUAACAAUUUUUGUUUGGGUAAACUGUAAAAAGGAAAGAUUAAGUAUCAUUAUUUUUUUUACAAUUAUAUUAUUUUCAUAAAACUAUUUAUAAAAGGAAUAGAGAAAAAAAUAUUUUAUGUCUUAAAUUUUUGUUUUGACUUGCCCCCCAAAUUGGGACAGAUAAAAAAACUUAACACAGCAUUGAGUUUGUAACAAUAUUUUUUAUUUUCAUUUUCAGAAAAUAAAUUUAAAUUUUUUUAUUUUUAAAAAAAUUAAAAAAUAUUUGAUAAAUAAAAAAUAAUUGUUUUCAAUAAUGAAAACUUAAAAACAUGUUUGGUAACUAUUUUCUUAAGAUAGAAACGUGGGGAAUAAAAUAAAAAAAAUUACAUUUAUAAGGAUUUGAACGAUGGUAUCGGAUUUAAUAUUUGAAAAUUUGUUAAAAGAAUAGAAUAUUUUUGGGUUUAUAUAUGCUUGAACCAAUACCAAUUCAUUUAAAGUUAAAAUUUUUUAUUUUUAUCAUUUUCACUUUUACAAAACAUUUUAAUUGAAAAUAAUGAAAUCAACUUUUUAUUGUAUUCUAAUUUUCACAUAUUUUUAUUUUUAAGAAAUCAGUUUUAAAAUUUCAACCAAACACAUUGUUUUCCAUGUUUUCCAUUUUACAAUAAAAGAAAAAGAAAAUAUGAAAUGCAAACUAAACUUUCAAGAGAAAACGUAAUACUCAAUUUCUCUUGUUUAAAUUAUAGUCUUUCUGAAGAAAGAAAAGAAUGACGGUUUCCUUAUUUUCCUUUCCAAUCCAAGCAUACAUCAUAUUUUAUCAUAUACAUACACACACACUAUAGCAAAGGUUUUUUCUCUCUUUUAUAAUUAAUUUUGGUAACGUUCAAUUCUAGACUUCUUUGCUUCACAAGUGAUUACACCUCAUCAGAUUCAACAAUUUAAUUAUCUAACUCAAAAUUAAGUAUAUAUAAGAAAAUAUUUGAUAUAUUGUCAGUAAAAUUUUUAAACUCUACAAACAAAAUAAACAGUUGGCAAAUACCUUAUAGGAAUAUAAUAAAUUAUUAAAUAUAUAUUUUAAAAAAGAGACGCAUAUUAAUUUUUUAAAAUUAUUUGUGAAAUAAAAAAAAAAGUUAUGCUGCCAAUGUAUGAAAUCUUUUAAAUAUAUAUGUAUGAUUUACAUUAAUAAAGGCAAAAUUUAAGCAAUAAAAAUUGGCAUAUUUUCAAAACUUUGAUUUUAACUGAUAUUAUCAAGCCUAACUCAGGUUUUUGGUUACCACUUGAAGUUUAUAAUUAAGUAAUUUUUUCUCUCAUUUUUCAUUCGUAAGUUUAGAUAAAUUUAGCAAUCUUUAAUUUACGUAGUAACAUUAUAUUUAAAUAUUGCCUAAUAUUCCGUUAUUGACUUGAAAUAAAAAUAAAAUAUUCCUAUAGUUUAGGUAAUACUUAUUCCCCAUAAUACAAUUGCGAUAUAAUGUAAUUUAAUUGUAUUUUCAUUUAAUUUUUCUUAAAAGCACUUAGUCUAUUGAGUCUUAAUUUGAUUCGCAAUCGACAUUAUUGCUAGUAUAAGACGACAUGGGUUUAAGUGCAUUAAAACUUAUUUAUCCUUCUAUUUAAGGAUUGGAGAUGAAUUAUGUGUAGUUCUAAGCUUCGUAUAAUAUUUUUUUCUUAAAAACACUUGAAAUUUUUCAUAAACCCUAUAAAUACAUUAUUUUCUUCCACCAUACGUGGAGUUUAGAGUUUUGACACACAUUGGUAAGUACUUUCCCAAAUAAGAAUAUCUUUUUCCUAUUAAAUCUUGAAUCAAUUAAAUUAUUUUUUAUUAAAUCUUUCGGAAAAAGUAUUGUGGAGACCCUUAUAUUAAGAGUUAGAUUAUAUUUUGCCCUCUCUACUAAAAAGAUGGACAAAUUAGUCUCUGUACGUUAGAUCAAAGUGCAAAUUAAUUAUUCUGUUUAAAGUUUCAUCCUUUUGUAAUGUUAAAAACUGUUUUUUGUACGUCUCCAUAAGGUACAUGUGACAUCCUACUUGUAACUAUCUGAUUAUUUUAUCAGCCACGCCGAUUUUUAACUAUAACAACCUAAUUUUAGUUAGUGCCGAAAAUUUUGGUUUUGAAAUUGAAUUCCGUCAAAUAAGUUAGUUGGAAAUAUAGUUAAGAUAAUUAAGUGUUUAGUAAGAACUAAUAAUAUUAGUAUAUCAAGAGAUUAAAUUGAUUAAGCUAUUAAAAAUAAUGCAGGAGCUAAAUUGCAAAAUGACUAAAAUUAGUAAAAUUUAAUUGAAGAGAAUUUAAAGAAAAUUUUUUUUAACAUUAAUCUCAUUAGGUUCGUAUCAUAUCUGCUAUUUUUGAUACAAUACCUAGAACUACCUAUAAUCCCUCCCCAGCCCUUAAAUAAGAGAAUAAUGUACUUCAGUGCACUUGAAUCUACGUCCUCUUGCACUUGUAAUAAUACUAAUGCCAAUCGAGUUAAGACUCAAUCGACAAAAUUAAAAGGUUUUAAUGUGCAAUUUUAAAUCAUAGAAAUGCUUUACCAUGAUUAUAUCAUCACAGGCAACUAACCAUCAUUAAACCAUAUUGUUAACUAAUAAAUAAAAGUUUAAUUAAUGUUAAUUUAACUAAUAUAUAUAUAUAUAUAUAUAUAUAUAUAUAUAUAUAUAUAUAUAAUAUGAUAAGUGGGAGAGAGAAGAGGUGACCAUUAUCCUCAUCCUUUCACCACCAAAACCAAAGAAAGGAAAGAAAGAAAAAAUUUGAAAGUUUCCCAAGCUUUUGCCUAUUCAAAAUUCACAAGAAUGAGAUUUUUAUAAAAUUUUUAUGGAUUUUAUUUCAUGAGAGCUUGGUUUAUAUGACCCAACUCUUAGAUUUUUCAAUUACGAUGAUUUUUCAAAUUACUAUUAAUGGAUUUUAGAGAAUUUGAAGCUUGAUAAUGAUGGAUUUAUGAAUGAUAGGCUUGGUAUAUAUAUUAGGACAAUAUUUGAAGGUAGUAAAAAGUGUUAAAUUAAGUUAGAAUUUGAAGUAAGCUUGUUAGUUAAUUUUAUGACAUUAAGAAUUAAAUUGAAUAAAGUGAAAGCUGUUGGAAAUUUGGUUAUAAAUUGAAAGUACAAGGUCCUUAGUGAAUGGAUGUGAAGUCGGAUUUUGAUUCGAUCAGGAAAAUUGAGAGAUAUGAACAUUUUGGAUAUUAUGGUUUAAAAGGGGACUUAAUUGUAAAGAAUACAAAUAUGCUUGGUUGUUGGUAUGUUUUUUAUUAAAUGAGGAAUUAACGUUGAUUUUGUAAUCAAGUUUGUCGUAUGUAGUUAAUGAAGAGAUUGGGACAUCGAGGAUCAAAGGCGAAAAUGGGCAAUGACUAUGAACUCAAUUUGUGCUCUCAUAGUUUGACUUUAACUUAUAUUUUAUUAAAUAGCUAAAUAUAAUCAAACAAGCAUCAAACAGAGAGUUGCAUUGCAACGAAGAACCCUUGGUGUAACAACGUUAACCCAAAAUUUUAGAACCCUUACAAUUUGGUCCUAUUUUGACCUCGAGUUAGUAAAAAAACUUUUGUAAGCUCGUAUAAGAAUUGGAAAUGACUAUGCAUUAUUUAAUGCACUUGUUUUAGUUACAUUUGAAUGUUUAACGAUUUGAAAAUGAAUAUAAUUUGACCUUAGUUAUUUCUGCAAUAAAUGUGGCACCUUGUAACUCGGACGUGAUGAUCAGGUUGGGUAAUGGGUUGUUACAUAUCCGAUCAAGUAAAAUGAACACCUUGAAGGUGAAUUAAUAGAUAAGUAGCAUGAAUGUUAUGUGAAUUGUGAUACUAAUAUAAAACUUAUUAACACAUGAUGUAAUGAUUCCCAACCUUGUCAUUUAUUUUGACUUCAUGUUACUUAUAUAUUGGUUUCAAACUAUGUUAGCACCGUUGAGUAUAAAUACUCAGCGUAUGGUUAUGUUUGUUUCCUGUGCGCAGACCUCAAACAAGUUUCUAUAAAAUCGAAGUUGAAAAGCAUCCAAGGUCACUAGCUCAGCUCAACUUAGCUUGUAUUAAGUUUGGGUUCCUUUUUGGAAGUAUGUAUUAAAUUAAGGACAUGUACCUAGGUUGGUCUUGGCUUGAUGCCUAAAGUAAUGAUUUGAUGUAUUUUGGUAACUUGGCCUAUAAUGUUUUGAAAGUUGAAUUUUAGUUCUUGAUUAAUAGAUAAUCGUGCAUGUUUAAAUGUUUUUGGUUAUACAAUUUGUUUGGUUGGAUGUUGAUGUAUUAGGUGCUAUAAAUUAGUGUUUUAAUGUAUUUUCAUAUGUUAAGUUGAAGGGUUUGCAUUGUUGUAAUGUUUAAGUAUGUUUUACGCUCAAUUGGGUAGAGUUUGAAUGAUUGAAAAUGUGCACCUUAGGCUAUUUUUCCAUUGAGUCUAGAGACAGAAAAAACAUUUCUUGAGACCAUUAGAUAAAAAAAUUACCAUAUUGAGCAUUUGAUUGCUUAAUUUCUCGAGACUUGUCAAGCUAGUCUCGAGACAACCUCAUCUAGGUCUCGAGACAAAGGGCACUUUGUCUCGAGAUAAAGAAACAUUGAAGCUAAAUUUAAAAAAUAGGGGAUGUUGGUAUUGAGACCUAGUCUCGAGAAGUAAUAGACCUUGCCUCGAGAGACAACUUCUAAUGUCUUGAGACAUGUUAACAUCGAAGUGAAAAUUCUCUAAAAAUAAAAUAAUACCUGUCUCGAGACAUGAAGUUCCAUAUCUCGAGAUACAACACUAAAAUUUGAUCAUUGAGUUUGGAUUUGAGUCCUAACUCUAAAUUUGAUCUUGUAUAACUCUGUAAAAUGAUGAAUUUGAAUCUUAAACAUUAUGAAUGUAUAUUUGUGGACAUAAUUGGUAGUUAAAGUGAAUUGAAUGAUAAUUCUGAACUAAAUUUAUGAAUAUGUAACAAAUUAGCCUGAGUUGCUUCGGCAACGGAAUGUGACAUCACACAUUCAACUCUGGCAACCAAGUCGGGUGUAGGGUGUUACAUUAAUAGUAGAAAUGGAUGCAAAUUUUAAUAGAAAAAACCAAUUUGUUCUUUGAUUUAACAUUGAUGGACUACUUUGCCUAAUUUUUUAGUAAAUGGAGGAAAAUACAAUUUGACUCUUAGUAUAGGAGCCUUCAUAGUACAAAUAUUUCCUUUCUCGUUCAUAUUUGCAUUACAUAUUUUCUUUUGCACAAUUUUGUCCUCUGUCUUGUUUAUUGCAUUUCUAACUGAAUUAGUUUCACGAGUUAAUUGGACAUUAGUUCAGUUGGAAAAUGAUUAAAACUUUCCUCCUUUCACAAAAUAAUAUAUAUAAUGUGUAGUCUGAGUUGGUGUCACGAGUUAAUUGGACAUUAACUCAGCUGAAAAAUGACUAAAAACUCUCUACUUUAACAAAAUAAUAAAUACUAUUUUAAUGGUAUUUUUAUAUUUUAUAUAAAAACUAUAUUAAUAAAUUUAAAUUAACAAAUUAUGUAAUUUGAACCUAAACCUUCAUAAUUUUCAAAUAACUUUACCAAUUCAAUCAAACUCUUAUUUGUUUUUAGUAUGAAAGUUUUAAUAAAUAUAUUUGUUAUACAAUUUUUUCACCCACAUCGUGAAUAAGUCAUAAUCUGUUUAUAUUUAAAAGGUUAAAUGUUGUUAUUAGUCUCUGUACUUUGCGAAAGUUAUGGAUUUAGUACUUGUACUUUUCAAAUUUUAAAAUUUUAGUUCCCACCAAAUGAUAAAUGUUAAAUUCAUUAAGUUAAGUUAUUUCCAAAUUUUGAUGCGCCAAACAUAUCAUGUGUGUAAUGCCAUGCCAACUUGCUAUUUUGAUAUGUUAUUCACUAAAAGUUCAGUUAAUGGGCUAACAACUAUCAUUUGCAUCAAGACUAAAAUUUCAAAAUUCGCGAACUAAAAUGAUCCACAUUGGAAAAUAUGGAUGAAAUAUACAAUUGUACGUAUAGUACAGGACUGAUAAUUGAAUUUAAACAAACAGAUUUAACAACUACUGUUUGGGUUAAGAUUAAAAUUUUAAAAUUAAAAAAAGUAAAAGGACUAAAAUUGAUCAAUUCGAAAAAUACAAAUACUAAAAUUGAUCAAAUUAAAGUACAUAGACUAAUACUUUCCUUGACCGUACGACAUCCGUGUUGUGAGCAUAAUGAUAUGGGACAGACACCCACGUUGGUAUGGUUUAGAUAUUAUUGCUUUCCUAAAUUGUAUCCGCCAAUUAACACGUAUUUAGUGUUUAAGGAUUAGGUUUAGGCAGUUGAGAGUACGAGCUUAGUCAGAUGCAUGAUGGGGCUAACAUGGCCUUGUGUAGGCUAUGGGACGCAUGCAGCGUGGGGGUUAGUGGUCUCAACGUGAACCCAUCUUAGCAAAUCAAGAAGACAGUUGGAAAAUUAAGGUCUUUGCAGGAAAAAGCUUUCCUUGCUUGCUAGCUAGCUUCAAUGAAGUUUGAGAAUUACACGGUAUUAGCAACAUUAAAUGCAAAUAAGGGAAAUGUCCUUAACUAAUGGUUUUAGGUAAUGAGUAGGGUUAUAACUCACAAAUGGUCUUUUAAAUCUAAUUUUCUAAUGGCUUAAUAUAUCAUUUCGUACUGUAGUUUGAUACUUUUUUUUAGUGUAGUACCUGUGUUAUUUUUUUGGUUUAAUCUGGUACUUGUAUUUGAUAAAGUUGUACAUUUUGGUACCCAAAGGAUAUGUACGUUGACUUCUUAGUGUUUAAUUCGAGUUUUAGGGCUGAUUUGAUAAAAAUUAAUUACAAAUAUUAUUAGGAUUGAGUUUUUCAUGAUUUUGUUAAUAGAAUAAAUUUAGUUUUAAUUGUAAAUUUGUUUAAUUUUUCAUUUCAUUUGUCAAAUAGUCUGAUCAUGGAUGUGAUUUAAUUUAGGUUUUAGGGUUGAUUUGAUGAAAGUUAAUUGCUAAUAUUAUCAAAUCAACUUUAAAAUUAGAAUUAAACACCAAAAAGUUAAUAUUGUUACUUUUAGGUACCAAAAUAUAUAGCUUUUGUCAAAUAUAUGUACCACAUUGGACAAAAAAAUAACACAUGUACCGCAUUAGAAAAAAGUGUCAAACAUAAGUACCAAAUCUAUACUAGUAUUUAAACUUCUAAAAAAGUUGGUGUUACAAGUCAAUCGGGCACUAACUCGAGAAAAUUACAGGAACGCACAUCCAUAAUUAAAAUAAAGAAUAUUUUUUGAGUGUAUUUUAGUCUUUUCACUUUAAAAAUCAAUAAAAAGCAAGGAUAUGAUAGGAUUCAAACCCAUGCCAAGUGCAUUAGUAAAAUAUUUAAUUUACCACUCAACUAAAGCUUCAUUUUAAUAUUUUUAUACAUUUUAGUUUUAUUAUGCACAUUCUAUUAUCUCCAUUAAAUGUAUAUUUAUAUCUAUCUAUACUAUUGUUUAAACUCUUGACUGAGUUGGUGUCGCAAGUCAACCGAGCACGAACUAAUUGGUUAGGAAAUUAUGGGAAUGCACAUCCUUAAUUAAAAUAAGUAAUAUUAUUCAGGGUAUUUUAGUCUUUUUUAAUUUAAAAAAUGAAUAAAAUUAUGUAUAUGGUGAGAUUUGAAUCUACACCAAUUGCAUUAUAAAGCCUUUAAUUUACCACUCAACUAAACAUUAAUUUUAAUAUUUUUAUAAAUUUUAAUUUUAUUAUGCACAUUUUAUUACCUCCACUAAUUAUAUAUCUAUACUUGUAUAUUAUUUAUACUAUUAUUUCAGCUCCUGCUGAGUUGAUGUCACCCUCAACCGGGUCACCAACUCAAUUAGGAAGUUAUGGGAAUGCACUUUCGUAAUUAAAGUAUAUAAUAUUAUUCGAGUGUAUUUUAGUCUUUUCACUUAAAAAACCAAUAAAAAUAUACAUAUGGUAAAAUUUGAACCCACACCAAUUGCAUUAAUAAAACAUUUAAUUUACCGUGCAACUAAAGUUUUUAUAUAUAUUUUUAUACAUUUUAAUUUUAUUAUGCACACUUUAUUACCUUCAUCAGUUGUAUAUCUAUACUAUUAUUUAAAUUCCUGAUAAGUCGGUGCCACCAUCAACCGGAUCACCAACUCGGUUAGGAAGUUACAAGAAUACCUUUCCAUAACUAAAAUAAGUAAUAUUAUUUGAGGAUAUUUUAGUCUUUUCACUUUUAAAAAACCAAUGAAAAUAUGCAUAUGAUAGGAUUUGAACCCAUACUAAUUGCAUUAAUCAAAUAUUUAAUUUACUAUUUACUAUUCAGCUAAAGCUCUUUAAAAACUAUAUUUUUAUACAUUUUGAUUUUAUUAUGCAUACUUUAUUACCUUCAUCAGUUGUAUAUAUUAAUAAUGUAUUUGAUUGAGUUGGUGUCAAAAUUUAACUCGACACCGACUCAAGAUUGAUGACAACACCAUGAUAAACAAUUUAAUCUAUUUUUUUUUUGUUUUAAUAACUAUAACACCCCAAAACCUAGCCUAGAAGUUAGACCGAAUUCCCGAAGUUACAUUGGCCAACCAAAAUGGUGGAGAUAAAAUUCAUUUAUAACCAUAGAAAAUUCUUCGCUAAACCUUUAUGCUUCGUAAUUUUAGUAGAUUAAAUGAUAUGUAGUUGUUUUUGGAAACAACAUAUAACAGACGUUUAAGAACCGUUAGGAAUAAAUUAAAUCAGUGUUUUUGAACAAUUUCAAAGUAACUUAAAAAUCCCCGUACCACAGUACACAUAGACUUAUGUGAAAAAACAAAGGUGCAUAAUUUGAAUAGUUUAUCAUAACAUCAUUUGAAAUCAACCGAUCAAAGAACUCUGAAACCUCCGCUAUGCCGAGUCUAGCUCUAAAGCACAGAAUGUACCUGAAAGGAAAAACACUACAGAGAUGAGCUACGCAAGCUUAAUGUGAGUACGAAACAUAAACAGAUGGCAAAAGACGGGGUGACACAAUAAAUACUUCAAACAAGCAUAUGUAUAAAUAUAUCACUUAUGAAAAUCUUAAUCGGUAUGUCAAAUACAAUAUCAAACUACUAAAAUGAUGUUCCAAUCAUAUGCAAUAAUCAUAACAUAUUACAUGACAUUAACUAUAUUGUCAAUAACCAAAUGUUCACACAAACAGACAAAAUGUUCUGACAAACAGACGUAUGUUCAGAUGCAAACGGAUGCAUAAGUCAAAAAUCCCACCCCACUAACCAAACACCACUUCGUCCAUCCAGCACACCACAUAAGGGCUAUGGUAGGCCUGUCUACCCUGCACACCACAUAGAACCAUAAUAGGUUCAUCCACCCUACACACCACAACGUGGAACUAUGCCACUUGAGUAACUAUAUACAGCUGAUCUGAUAUACGUAUAGGAUAGUGCGGUAAACCGUUGUACAAAAGUAUCGCAGUUAAAACUGUUAAGUCUAUCUUUCUUCUCUUCAUAACCAGAUCCCAAAAUUUUCAUGCUAUGCAACAAUGCACACAUUGCGCAGACAACAUAUAGAAACGAACAUUAACAUUUCCAGUUGAACAAAUUCAGAUUUGAUUACACUUGUAUUCGAAUGUUCAGUUACGACAAAAAUAACAAACUCAUACUUAUUCAUCACAUAAACGAGCAAUAAAAUUAAAGCCCAUAAAUGUACAUAUAUACACGAACUAAACUACAUCAAGUCCCAAACACACUUACCGAGGCUUGACCGAGGGUCGGAUUACACAGAAAUAUAAAACAGACAGUUUAUGACUCAAAACAAAAAUUCUAUAAAAUAGGGACAUAUGGCCGUGUGCCCUGGCCGUGGGGAGGCCUACAUGCCCAUGUGGAGGAGACACAUGCUCGUGUGACCAAGUUACAUGGCUGUGUGAGUAGCCCAUGUAACACAUUGUCCAAAAGUGCCAAAAAAAAGAGUAGAGGAGACAUGAUCGUGUGAAGAUCUCACACACCCGUGUGGCCAGGCCGUGUAGUACCAAAAAUUAUUGAAAACCCUAAAUUCCCAAUUGCACACGGUUGUGUGCGGCACACGCCCAUCUGGCUGCUCGUGUGAUCAUGAAACAUCAUCGAAAUAGGCUAUAAAUUAUACUUUUGAUGUCUAAACGAUCCCCAACCCUUGGUAACCUAGAAUUAUGCCAAAACAUACAGAAUUUCAUGCAAUUUAGUAACAAUAUGAUACUUCAAAUAACCAAUUUCAGAAACACAUAAGACAUUACCAAAUUCCACCGCAAUUCGAUAUUGAAGUUAAACCGUUUCAGAACACACACCUUAGAACACGAUAUCAAGCACCAAGGACCAAUCGAUUCGCUCUCACCAAACUGUUCGAAAACUCGCUUCACCUUCGAUAAAAUGAAACACACAAGGACGAUCAGUCUUGAUAGACAACACGUAACAUGAGUGUAAAAUGGAAGAAACAAGAAAUCAAAAGAACUGAAAUUUGGGGAAAGAACCGAAAAAUAACAAUGGGAACAACAAAAAAAUAGGGAAAAGGAAAUGGAAAAGAACGUGAAACUGAAAAACCUCCUCUUUCAAAUUUUAAAAGUAAAUCUUUAAAAAUUAAAAAGCAAAACCAAAAUAAAUUAAUUCCUCAAAACACACAUGAGGACUCAAACCCAAAACCCAAAGGUAAACUAACAUACUCACCACCACCGAACCAGCUCAUUCUGACAUUAAAAUGUGAAAAUCCACUCAAUUGCUUGACUUAUUCAAUCACCCUAACCACAACCUUAAAAAUGAAACCCAAAUUUUAGGGUAUUACAAUAACGUUCAUAUUUCAUGUAUUAUUAUUAAUUAGUUUCAGCCAUACAUUUCAUUAUUUUUGUAUAUGAUUUUUAAAUAGACAUUUGUGUUCUAAAUUUGUGGUUUCCACUUGUAUACGUUUGUAAUAGAAUUUCUAGUUAUUAUUAUUUAAGUGUUUUACUGAGUUGGUGCCAUCCUUAAUCGGGUCAUCAACUAGAUAGGUAAAUUAUAGAAAUGCCCUUUCGUAAUUAAAAUAAGUUAUAUUAUUCGAUGGUAUUUUAGUCUUUUCAUUUUAACAAAAACCAAUAAUAUAUAUAGUGAGAUCUGAACCCCCACCAAUUGGAUUAAAAAACUAUUAAAUUUAUCACUUAACCAAAUGUUCAUUUUAAUAUUCUUCAUAUAAAUUUAUUUUAAUAUGCCCAAUUUGUUAUAUCCAUCAGUUGUAUAUAUUAAUAAUGUUGUUAAUUGAGUUUGUGUCAUAAGUUAACUUCACACUAACUCACAAUAGAUAACAACACUCUGCUUAAACAUAUAUGCAAUUGAGGAUACUCAAACAAUCUUAAACCAAAGCUUCUAGUGCUAACUGACUUAGCUAAACUAUCUGCAAUUAAGUUCUCUUCUUUAGGUAAAUUUUAAAUCUUCCACUGCUUAAACAUAUUCAGGACUUGAAUUAUUCUCCUGAUUAGGGUAGAAUUAGAGUUUCUGGAAGAGUCAUUUUGACUAAUGUUAACGGCAUCAAUACUGUCAGUUUGGAUUGAGACUCUAUCGAAUCAUCUUUCCAGAAGAAGGUUUAACACAUCCAAGAUCCCCCAAAGUUUAGCCUCCGUCUUUGUGCAAUUACCUAAAUAUCGACAGAACCCAAUGAUCCACCCACCAUUAUGGUCACAUAUGUAAUCACCAGCUGCUGCAAAACCUUCGUCAAGCCUAACCAAACCAUCUGUUCUCAAACAAACCCAACUAUUAGCUAAAGGUGAAGAGUGGAGAUAACUGUGAAGCUUAUGAAAAGCAAUUUUGGAGAUAAAAAUGUAUUGCUUUGCCCAACUGAACGAAAAUUUAAGAAUCUCAUCAUUACUCUAAGAAAUUCCUUGAAAGGUAAGCAAGUUCCGAUUCUUCUAAAUAUGCCAAGAAUUGAUCCCAAAAAGGCAUGUUCAAUCCAUCCCAUCCAAAAAAAUGUUGAGAUAAUUAUGAUGGUUUUCUGUCAUCCAAAUAGGGGGGGAGCUAUUGUAAAACCUUGAGAGUCUGUCAUUUGGAAUGAGUUUAUCCCAAAUAGUUUUUACAGCAAGGCAAUCUCUGAGUACAUGUAACACAUCCUUAUAAUCCUGCCCACAAAACCCGCAAGCGCUGCUACUCCCAAUGCCUUGCCUCACCCUUUCAGCAUUCGUAAGUAUGCGUUGCUUAAGGGUGAGCCAUAAAAAGAAAUAGAUCCGUUGAGGGCCUUUAAAUUUCCAAGGUAUCUCCAAUAGGUGUUCUUUCAAAUUCAAUAUAACUUUUCGAAUCUUCCCAUAUGCACUUUUAAGAGAAAAAGAACCAGUCAAAGUAGCUCCCCAAGUUAUUUUAUCAGGACCAAAAGAGGGGUGCGGUGGUGGAACACCUGCAAUUUUGUUAAUGAUCUCUUCUGAGAACCACAAUCUGAAAAGGUCCAAAUUCCACGAUCUAUCACCUGCAGCCAUACUACUAAGAGGACAAUCCAUAUUAAGGUUAGAAAGAGAUGGAAUCUGUAUAAAUAAGGGACCACUAUUUGGAACCCAAGGGUCGUGCCAACAUUGGUUACUAUUUCCAUCUCCAAUAGACCAUAAAAGGUUUUCGCGAACGAGGGGUCAUACCUUAGAAAUGGAUAUUCAUAAAAAGGAGCAGCUUCGCCGUGCUAAACACUAUAUAAGGGCUCAACAUCAAUAUUAGGGUUCUUAAAACAUUGUUCACCUAUCUCAAGAACAUCGACAAUUGUUUCCUCUUUACCAUUCUUACCCUAACCAUCACCAAAGGUUAGAUUGAGUGAUUGAGACAAGGCCACAAAAUCUUAUACUUGGCUUGUGCCAAAAGUAGUGCCAAUAAGUGAUGGCAUUGAUUCUUCAAUAGAGGUUUCAUGAGAUUGAGAAAGCUCCCUUGCUUGCUGAUCUUGCCGAGCUUUUUCUCAUAGUCAAAUUAAUAGGUGAUCUUAAUGUGUGCUAUUGAUAAGAAUCAAGAAUUUCAAUAAUCAAGAGACACUUGAAAGCAAAGGCGACUACGAAUAAGGAAGCUUUGAGAGACCAUGUUACUAUUAAAUUGGCGAGGAGAGUUUGUGAUAAGUUAUAACACAACCAAGGUAUUUAUAGGGUCGUGUUUCCUUAUACCCUUUCCUCUAAUAAAUUUCCCUCCAAGAAAAGGAAAUUUGAUCAUCAAAGAUAUACUUUCCCUCCACAAAUAAUGAUUGCAUGCAUGACUAUACCAACUAUAGAGCUUGAUCUCUGAAUUGCAAAACGACACCUAUAAUCGUCAUUCGGAUGCUUCCCAGAACAAGUGCCAAAUGUUAGACUCAACACACCCAACUGAGUUCCUUAGUGCUUCGAACCUUACUGCAUUAAGAGCCUUAGUAAGAUAUCAACAAGUUGAUUUUCAGUCUUCACAUACUGCAAUUCGAUUAUACCAUUUUUCACAAGUUCACGAAUGAAGUUGUGUUGAAAAUCAAUGUGCUUAGUUAUAGAAUGCAUCAUAGGAUUUUUUGAUAUGUUAAUUGCACUUAAGUUGUCACGGUAGUCAGUGGCCUUUGGUAGUGCCAUUCCAUAGUCUGUCAUCAUUUGUUUCAUCCAAAGCAACUGUGCACAACAACUUCCAACUGCAAUAUAUUUUGCCUCAACUGUUGGCAAGAAUAUGGAAGAUUGCUUCUUAUUAUACCAAGAUACAAGAUUAGAUUGGUAAAAAUAGCCUCCAGAUGUGCUCUUUCGAUCAUCUACAUUGCUUGCCUAAUCUGCAUCACUAUACCUAACCAAGAUCAUUGCACUAUCUUUCGACAUUCAUAUGACAAAAUCAAGUGUAUCAAGAACAUACAUGAUGAUGUGUUUUACAUCCUUUACACGUGCCUCUUUGGGGAUACCACAAACACCCACACUGAAGCUUAAAUGAGGCUUGCUUAUAGUCAGGUACAAUAAACUUCCUAUCAUACUCUAGAAAUAGUGGCACCCCUUUUACAUCUGUUAAUUUUCUUGCUUGGUGACAUAGGGGUCCGUGUUGGCUUAGCUAUUUCUAAUCCAAACUUCUCAAUUGAGUUCCUUGCAUACUUCCUAUAAUUUUUAUAGGUCAUAUUAAAACGAAAGAUUAAUUAGAAAAUAUAUUUACAAAAGCUUUGAAUGAAACUCGAGUUAAUCACAUUUAUGAUAAAGUGGGCAUGAUUAAUAUCUAUACCCUAAUACAGUGAAUAUGAGCUUCACAUACAUACUAAUACAUACCUCACACAACCGCAUUCACUUAUAAAGGAAAAAAAUAGAGAAAAAAAGCAGAAAUAGACAUCGAAUGAUCCCCAUUCAUUAUUUACGUAAUUCCCUACUGACAAUACUAUUUACAGUUAACCAUGUUUGAGAGCUUCUUUAACAAAUCUGUCAAAAUCAAUGUAAGAUAAUCCCCCAACUUCAACAGCUUCUUCCGCUUUCUUCUUCCAUUCCAAUGCCUUCUCUUUCUUUUUCUUUCCUUCCUCACCUUCCAUAAUUUCUUUAACUAAAAACUCUAUGUUCUCUCGCUUUACAUCAUGAUCCACCUCCAUGCCAAUGCCCCAAUGAGUACAAGCAUAUCGAUAAUUGGUUUGUUGAUCAGCAAAAAAUGGCCAACAAAUUACUGGCACGCCUCCUGAUAUGGUUUCCACGGUAGAAUUCCACCCACAAUGCGUCAAAAAAACACCAACUGAAGGAUGUGAAAGAACCUGAUAUUGGUUGCACCAGCUUGUUAUCAACCCUCUAUCUUUAUCUCCUCGAGGAACUCUUCAUCCAGAAUUGCAGAAUCACCCAUCAAGAUAUCUGGUCUAAGGAUCCAUAAAAAUGGUGCUUAGAGUUAGCCAAUCCCCAUGAAAAUUCCUUGAGAUGCUUCUCCGAUAUGACAGUAAUGCUUCCAUAGUUUACAUACGCAACUGAAUUGGGUUCCCUUUUGUUAAGCCAUUCAAUGCAGCUUGUAUCUUCUUUCCAUAGGCUUGAGUUCAUUGACUUGGACGGGUCAUCAUGUAUGUGCCUAGCAAGCAGAUGAAGUGGUCCUAAUGUAUAAACUCCAUGGAAUUUGGCAGCGAUUGCUUUUAACACUUCAUGUUCCAACUCUUCAAAUGUGUUGAAGAUGAUUGCUGGAGCAUUUAGGCAAUUUGUGCUUCAGAGCUCAAGAAAUCAAACAUGAUAUCAUUUGGAUUGUUGGCUCCUAUAAAGCUGGGGAGAUCUCUGAAGUUAAUGUUACUCAUUCCAGGGACCUAAUCGAUAGGUUUAUCAAGAGUUCCAUCACUGAGAAAAGUUUCAUCUGACAUAUACAGAAAAGAAGGGUCAAAAUUUUAGUUAUUUUUAGACCAUGUCAAUAAGGACCUACCCUACAAGAGGUGUUAAACAUGCCAAUACUUUGAACACUAUUAGUGUUUUGAUGGUGAGGAGUACUAUUAGAAGGUUGAGGGAGUAAAGUGAAAGCUGAUCCAACAACAUUGGCAUAUUUAAUUUUAGUAGGAUGUUUUUGUAUGUUUUAGCUAAAGAUUUAUUGAAAUCUUAUUUUGACAAUAUAUCAAAAAAAAAAAAAAGAGAGAGAGAGAGAAAAAAUAAUAGAAAAUAAACAUAAUAUGUAGAGCAUAUAUUAUGUAGAUAAUUAAAUUUGUAUAUUGAAAAUGAAAUUAAAAAAAAAAUACUUUCAAAUAAUCAUUGAAGUACUAGAGAAAAUAAAUUGAAGUAGAAUGUGUUAGAAACAAGAAGGCAAGUAAGAAGAAGGAAGGAGGCUACAACUUCUUAUUUUAUUUUAUUUUAAUAGAUUAAUACCCAAACCAAAAUAAAUUUAGACUAAUUUUGUCUAAAUCUUUUUUUUGAACAUUUUCAUAUACAUGAAAAAAUAUCUUUCCCACUAAAUCACAUUGUCAUAUUUAUGAGAAAGUAAUUCUCUAACACAAAAUUAAAUUCCAAAGAAGGUAAAUAAAUUUUGAAAAACAAAGAAUUAGAAUAAAAUUUCAAGUGAUUAAAAUCUCAAGAAAGUACUCACUAUCCAUCGUACCAAAUUCUACUUAGGUGUGCUUGGUAAAGAAGAUGAAAAAAUCGAAAGAAAAAAUAUUCAGUGCUUAGGUAGAGUUGAAAAAUGAGAAAGAAGAAAAUAAUUUUUUUUUGAAAAACACAUAAUUUUGAAGUAAUAUAUAUAUAUUUCAUUUUCUCUCCUCUUACCAUUUCAACUUGGAAUUAUUUGUUUUUAUGCAUUGGGGUAAAAAAUGACCAUUUCUCUUAUAAUUUAUUUCUCUCGUUUUUCUUACUUACCAAGCACUCAAAAUUCACUCUCUUUUUUUCACUUUUUAAUUCUCCUUUACUCUUAUUUUUCCACUUAGCCAAGUGAAUCCUAAGGCUUUGCUUGGUAGAGUUGAAAGAAAAUGGAGAGGAAAGAAAAUUGGAGAGGUAGAAUUUUUUUUUCUUUGUUUGGUAGAGUUGAAAAAGGAAAGAAGAAAAUAAAACAUUUGAAAAAUGUAUAAUUUUGAAUUAAUAUAUGAGGAAGGAUUCUAUGGAACUGUAAUUCCAUGCCAUCCCUAUCUUUUUUAAAUAAGAGAAUGACAAAUUAGAUUUUUCCUUAUGAUAUUUAGCAUUUUUAGUUUGAUUUGAAUUUUUAAGGAGAAAAAAGCUGAUUUGUCAUUCUCCUAUUGGAAUCCCUUCUCUUAAUAUACAUCUCUCUCAUUCUCAUUUUCACUUCUCUCAUCAUUCUUAUUUGAAAUGAUUGAUUUUUAUAUAUUAUAAUAUAAAGUGACCUUUUUCUAAUUUCUUUCCUACUAAGCAUUCUCAACUUUUAUUUUCUUUUCCAUUUUUUCACUUCCUACUUUCACCCCUUUAUAUUCUCACUCAAGCAUACUCUAAGUUCUAAGGAGAGAGGAUUCCAAGCGUGGUUGAUUGAUCGAGACUGGAAAAAAGUACUUAGUUUGGAAUGGAAAAAUGCCUCAUUUAAGCAGUUCACUGAAUUGAAUGUAUCCAAUGAAACUACAAGCUGAGGCAGUCCAAAACUAAACUUCUGGUAUACCAAGUAAUUCAGCAGCCUUAAUAGCAAAGCUCAUAACUCCAUCUGAAAUUAUGCAAGUAACAGUGGGCACAUGGGGUGAGGAGUUUAACUUAGCUAGUAGCUCUAAAAAUGGUGCCAAGCAAUUCUUUCGUACUGAAUCAUUUAGAACUGAAACAUCCUGUGUUGCAUCGCGAUCGGACGGUGUUAGCCCGUCUGGGAUUGUUUCAAACUGAAAAUUAGGGAGACCCAUGACUGUAACACCCCAAACCCGGCCUAGAUGUUAUGACCACAUUCGGAGAUGUCUCAAAGAAGGGUUUUUGAAAAUUGAGUUGUUUCGAUAAAUCAUUCAAGUUUUGCAACUCUUAUUUGUUUAUAACCAUUAUCGAAAGCAUUGUUUAAUUAAUUUGUUUGCCAAAACAUAAAUUAUAGCGAAAGUCACGAAAACGUUAUAUUUGGAAAUCCCGUUCGUAUUUUUCAGAAAACUUUUAUUUUAGUAAAAAUGAUGUGUUUAGCUAAUCGUCUCAAAUAAAGUGUUAAAUAAAAAAUUCCAAACCUUAAAAUUAAAUCAAACCGUCCAGAGAGUCUAAUUAUUACAAAACUCCCAGAAAUAAACCUUAAAUUAAAUAAAAAUUAAAAUCUUAAACAGUUACGAACACGUGGUCACCGUGAGGCUCCAUCACACCGAUCCACUUAAGUCCGUGGAUUACCUGAACAGAACAGACAAAUAGAUUUGAGUUUUCGUAAACUCAGUGUGUAACCCAACAAAAAUAGACAUGCCAUUCAUACAGAUAUCACAUACACAGUUAAAUUCAGAUUCAGAUUCAAAUUUGGACUUAAGUCCUUUUCAGAUACAGAUAACAUAAUCAAAUAUGCAGAAUAGAUAUACAGAAUCCUAGCCACAUCCUCUACACACCAACUCUGACCAUCCCAUCAUACCUUGUGGGGUUAAAAAAACACCCACCCAUCUCUACACACCAUAUCGUAUCAUGACAACACAUAUCAGAUAAUAUGCAACCAAGCUGCCAUAAUAUAGGUGAAGGUCGCCAUACAGAUCACUUCCUCCACAUAAUCAAUUCCCACCCCAAACGUAUAUACAGAAUACAGAUACAUAAAUAUCAUGCUUGCAUGCUAAUAUACAAAUAACAUAUAAAUAUAUACAUAACAUAUUAGCUAGGCAUGCAUAACAGUGUCCUACUCAAAGUAGACUAUCGGAAAAUCAGAUCACGUAAUUUAGGGUUUGAUUAGCCCUUAUUGACCCUACGGUAGGCCCACAGUUAAUUGGAGCGACCCGUGCGAACCUAGGGAAAAUUUUAGAAAUAUAGGCCCAUAUGCCCGUGUGUCCCACACAUCUAGAUUAACCUUGUCCUUAUGGCCCACAUGGCUUGGCUCAAGACUUACACGUCCGUGUGGGCCACACACCUAACUUGGCCUUGCCCGUGUGGCCCACAUGGCCACACUCACACCACCACACGGCCGUCUCUUGCGCACGACCAUGCCCUUGUCAAACACACCAGCACCUAAAAUCAGAAUAGCCAACUCCUUUUAGCAGCCAAUAUCGAGUUCACAAAAACUAAAUUGAUCAACACCCAAAAAAAACUUACCACCGCAAAAAUGGCUACAUGUAGUAAGCUAAACCGUUGGAGUGACAACCACUGCCUCAUUGCCUUCUCCUGCACAACAGAAUUAAUUGAUUACUCACCAUUUAUCGACUAUCAUAACAUUGCCCAUAAUUCCAAAAGUUAAUCGUUAACAAAAAACAAAACUUCACUUACCAAGCCGAUUAACGAACCCAAAAAAAUCACAGUAGCAACAAUUAAACGAGAAAAACAACAGUAAUCAGAAGAAGGAAACAAAAAAUUGAAAGUGGAGGACAAGGAAGGAGAGAAAAAACGUUAGGAAAGGAAGUUUUGGGAAAAAGAAAACAAAAAUUAAAAAAAAUAGAAAUCUGAUAACCUCCUUAAUUUUUCCCCUACUAACCCACUAACUCACAACCACAUCAGAAUUGUAGCUCUACCGAAACUCUAUCAGUCAACCGAACAAAAAUUAACACCCUCACUCACGCAAGGAUUCAAACACAUGACCUCUAACACAAUAACGCUUUACCACUUGAACCAGCAGGCUCGUUCUAAUAUGGGUUAACAGACAAUUUAUAUAAGCCCAUUCAAUAAUGAUAAGGCUAGGAUUAGAAAAUUCACAAAAUUUGCAAAUGUGGGACUUGAACUCAAGACCUCAUACACACACCCAAAACACUUAACCACUAAAUUAAAUACACACUUGUGUCAUGUAUUUACAGAAACAAAAUAAUUAAGCGGGGCGUUACAGCUCUACCCCUAAAAGAAAUUUUGACCUCAAAAUUUACCUGAUCCGAAUAGAUGAAGAUACUACUGACGCAUCAAGUCCUUAGGUUUCCACGUGGCUUCCUCAGUGCCAUGAUUCCGCCACAAAACCUUUACUAAUGGAAUAGACUUUCUCCUCAGAACCUUUACAGCACAAUCUAAAAUCUAAACUAGUUCCUCCUCAAAAGUCAAAUCCGGUCUAACCUUGAUCUCCUCAACAGACACAAUGUGAGGUGGAUCAGACAGAUACUGCCUCAACAUUAAGGCAUGAAACUCGUAAUGGAUACGGUCCAACUCUGGAGGUAGCUUCAACUGAUAAGUGACCGGUUCCACACGCUUCAAAAUUCGAUAAGGCCCAAUGAACCUAGGGCUCAACUUGCCCUUACGAUCGUACCUCAGAACUUUCUUCCACGGUGAAACCUUAAGAAAAAUGAAGUCACCCAUAGAGUACUCAAUAUAUCUCCUCUUUAGAUCUGCAUAAGACUUCUUUUUAUCAAAAGCUGCUUUUAGAUAAUCCUGAAUCAGUCUAACCUUAUUUUCGGUCUUAGAAACCAACUUAGGACCCAAAAUCUGUUGCUCACCCAACUCAGUCCAACAUAGCGGAGUACGACAGUUACGACCAUACAAAGCCUCGUAAGGUGCUAUAUGGAUGUUAGACUGGAAACUGUUAUUGUAGGCGAACUCAGCUAACGGCAGAAAAUCCUCCCAACUACCUCGAAAAUCUAUCACAAAACUCUGAAGCAUAUCCUUCAAUAUCUAAAUCACCCUCUCAGGUUGACCAUAGUACUGAAGUCCAAUAUCGAACCCAGAGCCUCAUGUAGUUUCUUCCAAAACUGAGAAGUGAAGCGAUAAUCUUUAUAAAAAAUUAUCGAAACAGGUACCCUGUAAUAGGCCAAUUUUGGCCUGGCCCAAUAUUAACCAAAUUAAAAAAAACCAAUAAAAAUAAUAAAAUAACAGUCCAUUUAUAAAAUCCAAUAAUAUGUCCAGAUUACAAAAGCCCAAAAUAAUAAAAACCAAUACAAUCCUAGACCCAACUAAAGCCCAGUUUGCAGCCCACAACACUAAAAAACAAACAGAAACCCUAGCCUUCAACCUUCAACCGCCGCUCCUGCCCUUCACGUGCACCAGCCUCUUGCCUCAGGCGCACGUGCGUCUCCACUCCAGCUGGCCUCGCACCUGCAACAAACAAGCAGAAAAGAGCACACUAGAAAGCCAUAACAGAAUACAGCAAAUAAGAUCUGUAAACGGAUUCACGAAUUAAUAGAAAAAUAGAAAAAUAUUUAAUAUCACAAGCAGAGAUCUUAGAAUACAAAAAAGAUAGAUUUAAGGUAGAUAUUUGGUUUUUUUUUCUCUUCUUCUUUGUUUCGAUUCAUUUAAAAAAAUAUAUAGUAAGAAUUAAGAAAAAGAAAAGGGAAGCCUUACCUUGCAACGCCUUCAGAACCGUGCGAAAAUGAGCUAAAAAGCCCUUUAUGGUGCAGCUCCAACCACCGUUCACAGUGGAAUCGCGACGGAGGCAUGGAGGAUUAGCCUCAAUUUAGGAAACCCUAGCAGAGGAAAAAAAUAAGGUUGAUAGUUUUUUUUUUAAAUAAAUGGCAUAAAGUGAUUUAAAUUUUUUGUUUAUUUUAUAAUAGGUACGAAACGGUGUCGUUUAGGGCCUAUUUCAGUAGCCUCAAAACGGUGCCAUAUAAGGCAUGACUCGCGCGGUGACCAGACCCACAGGGAGGAUCCGCGUGCUUUUGAUUAAGGGGCAAUUUGCGCAUCUGGCCCCUCCGCAUUUUUAAUUAUUUUAAUUUAGUUUUUUUAGUUUCUUUAAUUGAUACUUUAGAUUUUAUUUGGUUUCUGAUUUGGACCUGGUGAAACGGCGCGUCUUAAAGGGUGGGGAUAUUUCCCCAUUCGGUCCCUUUGAGUUAUUUGCACCUUUCAAUUGGGUCUUUUAUUUUAUUUUAUUUAUGUUUUUUCCCUCUAAUUUUGUUUUAAAUCCAAUUUAAUCCUUAUUAGUUUAGUUUAAUGUUUUUAAUUUAUUUAAAUGUAUAUUCUUUCAUUUUUUUAAAUAUAUUUAAUUUUAAAUCUAAUUUAAUGAUUAAGCUCAAUUAUUAUUUUAAAUUUAUUAUUAACAUUGUUUAAAUUUAUCAUAUAUUAUUACUUUAAUUUCCAUCUAUUAUUUUAUAUAUUCUUUUAUGUAAUUUUCAAUAUAAUUUUUAUUUUUUUAAUGGUUUUAUUUUAUAAUACAUUUUUUAAGAUUCACUUAUAUAUAUAUAUAUUUCUUUGCUUUAAAGAUUUAUACGAUAAUAUUCUUACAUAAUAUAAUUUUAUACAUAUAUACACAAUUUAUAUUAAACUAUUUUUAUUAUACAUAUAUACAUACAUAAUAUAUUAUUGAUUUCAUAUUAUUAUUAUUAUUUAUCUAUUUCCAUAUAUAUAAUUUAUUUCUUUUAAAGACCCUAUUUUAUUAUAUUUUACUUAUUUCAACUUUUUGCAUAUAUUAUUAUAUAUAUUAUUAUCUAUUUUGAGUUUUUCAUUCCAUAUGUAUUACUUAUUUAGAUUAAUAUAUAUACUACUUUGUAUAUUAUUUAUUUUUGAUUUUCUUCUUAUUUAAUACUCACUUUAAAAUUCGUUUAUAUAUUACUAUUACAUAUAGUAUUUAUUUUUAACUCUAUUUUUUAUUUAUUUCAAACUUUCGUAUAUAUCAUUUAUUUUAAAAUUUUUGUACGUAUACUUUAUUGAUUUAUCAUUUCCCUUCUUUCAUGCCAUUCGUUUCUUUAGUUUUUUUAAAACUUGUACAUUUUGUUUGUGUUUGUGUUUGUGUUAACUUGUGUGGUGUCUUUCUUUUAAUUAGUUUUUUUAACUAGCUUUUAAAUAUUAAUGUUAGUAUUUACAUAAUUAUAUGAUGUGAGAUUAUUGCUAUUAUGUGUAUUAUAUUACUUAUUUAUAUUUAUUGAUUAUUUGUCGUUCAUUAGAGUACUUUUUGGUUUAAGAAUUAUCACUCCGCGUUGUACAUUAUCAUUCUAUCGCAUUUUAUUUGCUUAAAAGGUUAUGUUUAAUAUCAUUUAAGUAUCGAAAUCAUUUUAUUCAAAAGCUUUCAAGAUAACGCAAUACUCGAUAUUUGGGAUCUUCGAGAAGAUUGAGCCCUAACUUAUUGGGUUCCAAUUUUCCUCGUUGAAUCUAAGUAAUCGAGUAUCCUUUUUUAAUCAAAACAUAUAAAUAAAAAGCUUAUUCUCAGGAAUUCGAUACGUGGUGUCCUAACUCAUUGGAUAUGACAUGUUGUUCUCUUGAGAUGAGGAUUAAAAAAAAAGACAAUAUUCUAUGUUUGGAAUUUUAAGAAAUUGUGCCCUAACUUACUAGGCUUCGAUUUUCAACUGAAACAAUUGAAUAUCCUUUUUAAACUUCAUUGCAUGAGUUUAAAAAAAAUCAAAAGACAAGCUCAUUUUCGAGGAUGUGAAACUCAUUGGGCGUGACAUUCUAUCUCCCGAAAUAAGAGGGUCUUAGCAUGCAUUUUGAUUUAUACAAGUAUCUUUUUAAAUAAAAGGAUCGCAUUUUUAAUCUUUUCAAGUGUUCGACAUUCGACAUUAAGACAUUAAUUAAUCAAUUAGGUACCAAUUUUGGGUGUUACGAGGGUGCUAACCCUUCCUCGUGUGUAAUUGACUCCCGAACCCGUUUUCUCAAAUUUCGUAGACCAAAAUCGUUUUCAAGAUGAUCCGAUCACAUCUUAAUAAAAGAUCGGUGGCAACUCCUAUUUUGUUAUUUUAUUUUAAAAGUCAACCCCUUUUAUCAAAAAAGUGGUUUCAACAAACCCCAUGCAGUCUUACAAUCUUGGAGAUAUAGAGCUUCACUAACUUCUACAGAGAGUAGUCCGUCCGAACCGGAAUAAAAUGAGCAGACUUGGCUAAUUGAUCCACAGUGACCCAAACAGAAUCCUUCUUUGUGGGUGUCAAGGGCAACCCACUAACGAAGUCCAUUGUCACUUAUUCCUAUUUCCAUAAAGGAACCUUAACAGGUGGGAGCAAACCCGAAGACAACUGGUGCUUAGCCUUAACCUACUGGCACGUCAGACAAUGAACAAUAAAAUCCAUAACCUCACGUUUAAAACUCGACCACCAGUACAGUUCACAGAGAUCCCGAUACAUCUUAUUACCACCGGGAUGCAUAGUAUAAGGGCUACUAUGCGCCUCUAUCAAAACCGACUGUCUCAGAUCAGAAUCAUUCGAUACGCAAACUUGACCUCAAAAACACAAAACCCCAUCUUUUUUCAGCCCAAAAUCUGAAGUACUGCCACUCUCAACCUGUCGAAAUUGCUGAACCAAGGACUCAUCCGCCAACUGCUUCUCUCGAUUCUGCCCAAUCCAAGUUGGCUUAACUUGUAACACGGCUAACAGACCCCCAUAAUCAAACAAGCUAAGACGAACGAAGAUCGCUUUACGACUAAAGGCAUUGGCCACCGCAUUGGCCUUAUCAGGAUGAUACUUUAUUAUGCAGUCAUAAUCUUUGAGCAGCUCAAUCCACUGAUGUUGUCUAAGAUUCAACUCCUUCUGAGUAAGGAGGUAUUUGAGGCUCUUAUGAUCAAUAUAGAUAAUACACCUCUCACCGUACAGAUAGUGCCUCCAGAUUUUUAACGCAAAAACUACAGCAACCAAGUCGAGAUCAUGCGUUGGUUAACUCACGCAACCAGAACUCACACGAUCUAUUUUUCUCGGAGUAUCUGAAGCACUACUCUAAGAUGCUCAUCAUGCUCGUCCUCAGUCUUAGAGUAAACCAGAAUAUCAUCGAUGAAAAAUACAACGAAUUAAUCUAGAUACGGCUGAAAAAAUCAGUUUAUCAAAUCUAUAAAUGUAGCCGGUGUAUUCGUCAAACCAAAUGGUAUAACUAGAAACUCGUAAUGCCCAUAACGAGUCCUAAAUGCAGUCUUAUGAACAUCAACUUCCUUAACUCUAAGCUAAUGAUGCCCAGAUCAGAGAUCUAUUUUUGAGAACACAGAAGCCCAUCGGAACUGGUCAAACAAAUCGUCGAUCCUCGAAAGUGGGUACUUGUUCUUCACAGUCAGUUUAUUCAAUUGUCGACAAUGAAUAUACAUCAUCAUGGUCCCAUCAUUCUUUUUUACAAACAGAACUGGUGCCCCCCACGAAGACACACUAGGGCAGAUAAAACCAUGAUCCAGAAGCUCUUGAAGUUGAGCCUUAAGCUCUGUAAGCUCCUUCGAUGCCAUACGGUAGGGAGCGAUAGACACCGGAGCUAUACCCGAUAGAAGCUCAAUGCCAAACUCAACUUCUUGACUUGGAGGUAAACCCGUUAACUCCUUAGGAAAGACAUUCGAAAAAUCUCUCACCUUUUUUAUAUCCCCGAUAGAAGAGUCCUAGAAACUGAAACACUGACGAAAGCCAUAUAUGUCUCACACCCUUUUCGAACCAAUUUCUCAGAUACAAGAGCAGAGAUCACAUUGGACAAAUAAUCUCGACGCUCUCCAAUCACAACUACCUCCUUAUCAUCCUCGGUCCUUAGAACAACCCUCUUGGUUGGCAAUCUAAGCUAAUUCUGUGCUCAACUAACAAGUCCAUACCUAAAAUUACAGCCCCUUACGCUUCUAAUGAAACAUUUCUAUAAAGUUUAUUAACCCAAACAGACUGCCCUAACGGACGUAGUACAGUAAUCUCACUAGAAGUACUCUCAACAAAAAUCCCCAGGUUUUUAGAAACAGUACUAGCUACAUAGGAAUGUGUAGAUCCUAUGUCUAUCAGAGUAGUAUAAGAAACAUCAAAAAUAAAGAAUACCGGUGAUAACAUUAGGAGUGUUUCUAUCCACUCAGCGUCGAGCAACAUAAACCAGUGCCGGCUGCCUUGCCUCAGCUUGACGAGCACCUCUGCCCAGUGCUCUCUACUAUCGGCCCAAACCAUUACCAUCCCUAACUGAUCCACGACCCCUAGGUGGCUGCUGAACUACCCUCUAAGGCUGUACAGAACCCAGUCUCAACAUUUGUAUCUGAUCCGUACACUGUGGACACUCUCGAAUCUGAUGCUCCAAAGACCCACACCUCAGACAAGCCUCUAAUCUCCUCCAAUACUCGCCCGGGUGACAAACUCUCGCUUCCUCUGUGGAGUAAUCAAUACCCUCAGAUUAUCCCUCAAGCCAUCCUCAAAACGGACGCAUUUCUCAUACUCAGACGCCACUAUUCCUCGAGCAUAGCAACUCAACCUUAGAAACUCAGCCACAGAUCUAUCACCUUGUGUGAGAUUCAUGACCUCACGCCUAUGAGUAUGUACAUAGCUCGAUUUCACAUACUUCCCCUAAAAAGCAGUAUUGAAUAAGUCCCACUACAGACAAUCUAACUGAGUACCCUCCUCAACUGAUAACCACCACUGAUAUGGCUCAACCGAUAACCUUAAGUUUCUACUCAGAAGUAUAGCCAAUAUCGUUCAUGGUCCUCUUGAUGGCCUCCAACCAAUACUCAUUCAUAGUAGGGGUGACUCCAGUGACACCCGUAAAUAGCUCAACUCCAGUGGACAGGAGUCGUUCAGUUAUCAACCCACGGCCUCCAAAUCCAGAAUGGGGUCUAGCGACUCUAUCCAACACCCUCAACAUGGCUUGGGAUAGUGCGUCAUCCCCAGCUGAGCGGUUUUCGGACCCAGUCUCGGUAGCAGGUGAAAUCGGUGUCUCACUCAUGUCUAAAUUUGGCACACUGCCCAAAGAGAAAGACUCAGCUCAAGCCCCCUACGGCCUCUACCACGCCCACAAAUACCAUGACCGUGAGUUCUACAAGCACUCAUUAUAUAUUUUAAAUUUUAUCUACAUUAUAAAAUUUUAUGUAUCAGUUCUAGUAUUUAUUAGCAGAUAUUUUAUGCGUAAAUUAUUAGAAGUUUAGAAAUGUUUUCAGAGGUUUUAGUCUCUAACUAACUCAGUACAGUUUCAGAAAGUACUAACUAUAAUGUUGUUAAAAUAUUUUAUCUAAGUUCAGAAAUACUUACAAGAUCGGCGCCGGAGACUCGGUGUACCACAUACUUUCUCAUAUUAUCCAAAUUAUUUGAAAAUAAAUUCUUUUGGAAACACAAUUUUAGAACCCAAAAUUCACAGCACGAGCUUUACAACCUGGCUUUAAUACCACUAAAUGUAACACCCCAAACCUGACCUAGACGUUAUGGCCAUAUCCAAAGAUGUCACAAAAAAAGGGUUUUUUGAAUACUGAGUCGUUUCGAUAAAUCAUUCAAGUUUUGUAACUCUUAUUCGUUUAUAACCAUUAUCGAAAGUGUUGUUUAAUUAAUUUAUUUGUCAAAACAUAAAUUAUAGUUAAAGUCAUGAAAACGUUAUAUUUGGAAAUCCCAUUCGUAUUUUUAGAAAACGUUUGUUUUAGUAAAAAUUAUGUUUUUAGCUAAUCGUCUCAAAUAAAGUGUUAAAUUGAAAAUCCCAAACCCCAAAAUUAAGCCAAACCGUCCGGAGAGUCCAAUUAUUACAAAAAUCCCAAAAAUAAACCUUAAAUUAAAUAAAAAUCAAAAUCUUAAACAGUUACAAACUCGUGGUCACUGUGAGGCUCCAUCACACCGAUCCACCUAAAUCCAUAGAUUACUUGAACAGAACAGACAAACAUAUUUGAGUUUUUGUAAAUUUAGUGUGUAACCCAACAAAAAUAGACAUGCCAUUCAUACAUAUAUCACAUACACAGUCAAAUUUAGAUUCAGAUUUAGAUUCAGACUUAAGUCCUUUUCAGAUAUAUAUAACAGAAUCAGAUAUGCAAAACAGAUAUACAAAAUCCUACCCCCAUCCUCUACCCAAAAAAACUUACCACCGAAAAAAUGACCACACACUGUAAGCUAAAUUGUUGGAGUGACAACCACCGCCACAUCGUCUUUUCCUACACAACAAAAUUCAUGAAUUACUCACCAUUUAUCGGCUAUCAUAACAUUGCCCACAAUUCCACAAACCAAUCAUUAACAAAAAACAAAAAUUCACUUACAAAUUUGAUUAACGAACCCAAAAAAAAUCACAAUAGCAACAAUUAAAUGAGAAAAAUAACAGUAAUCAGAAGAAGGAAACAAAAAAUUGAAAGUGGAGGACAAGGGAGGAGAGAAAAAAAGUUAGCAAAAGAAAUUUUGGGAAAAAGAAAAGAAAAAUGAAAAAAAUCAGAAAUCUGAUAACCUCCCUAAUUUUUCUCCCACUAGCCCACUAAAUCACAACCACCUUAUAAUUUUAGCUCUAUCGAAACUCUAUCGGUCAACUGAACAAAAAUUAACACCCUUGCUCACUCAGGGAUUCGAGCACAAGACCUCCUACACAACAGGCUUAUUUUGAUAUGGAUUAAUAAAUAAUUUAUAUAAGCCCAUUCAACAAGGAUAAGGCUAGGAUUAGAAAAAUAACAAAAUUUGCAAAUGUGGGACAUGAACCCAAGACCUCACACACACACUCAGAACACUUAACCACUGAAGCAGAUACACACUUGUGUCAAGUAUUUAUAGAAACAUAAAUAAAUUAAGCGGGGCGUUAUGUUGACAGAAUGUAAGUGCUUAGCCAGUUACAUCAUGGGGCUAACAUGGCCUUGUGAUGGAUAUGGAACGCAUACAGUAUGGGGUUUUGUGGUUUCAACGGAACUCAUCUGAACAAAGUAAUAAAAAAAUUAGAAAAUUAAGGUCAGGGAAAAGCUUUCCUUGUUUGCUAGCUUCAAUGAAGCUUGAGGAUUACGUAGGCAUAUUUAUAUAUCUUUAUAUAUAUAUGCUGAAAAAAAUUGAAAAAAUGUGUACUUUUUUUUAAAUUUACCGAUUUAGAUAUGCUUUUUGAGAGAAAGAAAAAUGCAUCCUAUAGGACAUGUUUUUAUUGAAAAUUAAUAACUCAGAUAUUUUGAUCAGAUGGUUAAAUGUUGGUAUUUUUGUCUUUUAGUCUUAGGUUUGAUUCCUUUCUUACUCACAUCUGUAUUUUUUUAUUUGAUGUUGUUUUUGUUAUGAAUAUCUUAUUAAGUGAAUGUCUAUCAUGAUCAAGAUAAAGUUUUGAUGAACUUUAAAUUCUAAUAGUUAUUAGAAUUAGAUCUCUACUUCUUUUAUACUUUUUAUGCCUAUAAAUAGAGACUUUGAUUAAGCAUUGUAAUCAUCCCUUUGAUUAAUAAAGUACAUUCUCCAUUGCUUUCAUAUUUUCUUUGUCCUUUAUUCUCUCCAUCUUUCUUUAUUUUAUAACAUGUUAUCAGCACGAUGACUUUCUAUUUUUUAAAAAUCUUUUGAAGUCGUCCCACAAAUCAAAUUUAUUUUCACCUUAAACUUUCUCCCUUACAACUUCAUCUUUAAGAUGUUGAAAGAUUUAAUCUCAGAAUGGGUUGUGGUUCUUAUUCCCAAUCUUUGAUUUAUCAUUAUACAAGCAUGGGGAAAGAAUAGAUUUGUGCUCAUGACAAUAGUUAGGGUGAUGACGAUGAUGUUAAAAAUCUUCAGGUAUAUUUUACUAUGUUUUAUUUAUUAUAUCAUGUUUAUUAUAAUUGGAGACUAAUCAUGAUAAUAUGAAUAGGUAGAUUUUGAUAUAAAAUCUCACUUAUGUUUGCAAUGGUGAUUAUGAAAUAAAGAUUCUGUUGGGAUGUUUAUAAGUUCAUCCUGCUAGAUUUGUUGCAUUCCCCGAAGUGAAUGUAAACAUAAAGAAAAUAAAAGAUAUACUCAUGGACCACUAAAAGUGGGAACAUAGUAAUAAAUAAGAAAACAAUGAGAGUUCUCAAGAAAAAUUUUCAAAGCAUAAAGAUAACUUAUGUUAUCAAUGUGAAAUGAAAGAUUAUUGGUCACAUAUGUGGUGUAUGCCCAAAUAUUUUGUCUCUGUUAAUAUUCUUUAAGGAAGGAUAUGAGGAUGUAGUAAUGAAUUUUAUCAUUACAGAUAGAAAAUAUUUAUCUUAUUUGGUACUGAAAUAAACAAAUAUAUUCCAAUAUUUGAUAGUACAAAAUUAGUUGAAAGCUCCAGAAGAGCAAAUAUAUCAAUAUCUAAAAAGCACAAAGUUUGUAAUGGUUAAUGCAUUAGUUUUAAAAGAUAUUCAUAAUGGAUAUCAUAUUGAGAUUGUGAAUGAGAAAAAUAUUAUAUUUCAUAUGAAUCAAAAGAGGAUUGUGUUAUUUAUAUUUUGAAUCGAACUCGGGACCUCUUGCACUUUAAGUGAGAAUCAUACCACUAGACUAAAUGCUUUAUAUUUGAAGAUUUUGACAUAUUACCUUAAGCGAAUAUUACAUAUAAUUCACUACAGUAAAAUAGGAUUUUAGCGGCAUUUUUUAUGCCUAUAGCGCCGCUAAAACUACCGUUCUUUAGCGGCGUUUUACAAAAAACCCCACUAACUUUGGCAGAUUUCAAACAUCCAAUUUUCAUCCAUAGGCAACCCUUCCUGUAACAUGGAAACCAACCAAAAACAACAAAUCUGAUACUUCAAAUUCAACGAAUGAUAUAUGAUAUAAAUUGAUAAAUGAAGUAUAAUUCAAAUUAUUCUUACAGUAAUGUUAAAAUUUAAAAUGUUAAAAAUAUUCAUACAAUAGUUUAAGAUGGCGGAUUUUUCGAUUGCUGAAACAUCUUCAUCAUAUUCUAAAGCUGUAGUUAGAGUGCGUCCUACUUUUUGCUCUGUUCUGCUUCCCUCGCUGCUGCCUCUGCUUUAAGUUGUAGCUGGAGUUCUUCAUAUUUGCUUUGAACCUAAGCUUCUCUCGAUGCUGCCUCCGCUUUAAGUUGAGUAAUUUGCUCAACUGUUGUCGCUUGCAUCUGAGCCAUCUAGUCUCUUAACCUCUGAACUUCAACUUGAGCCUGACUCCCCGAAGGCAUGUAUUGUUGCGAGUUGGAUCCAAAAUAUUGGGUUGGGUUAACAAAAGAUCCUUGAAAUCGAACCCGACCAUAUCUUUUAGGACCAAAAAAUUCAGUAAUAAUCCGAUUAUCAAUGUCGUCAACAUUAACAGAACUAUCACUUGAAGCAAUCGCUUCAUACUCCACCUUUUUAUCCUUUAGUUUCUCCUAAUAAAUUAAUCAAAGAGUUAGAAAUGAAAUAUAUAAUAAAAACAAAUGCAACAUAACUUAACAUUAUUUGCAUUAGAAACGACGAAUUAAACCAUUAUAAUUAAACACUAUAAAUAUUUAAAAUAAUUCAAAUUUUAUUAACUAAACAUACCAUAAUUUCUGCAGCUUCAGAAGUCAUAGGAGAUCCAUCUUUCUUCCUAUGUGUAAUGUUAAAAAGCUAAAGGCGUCCAAUUUUUAACCAGACGGUAGUUCCUACAAUAUAGUAGUAAAAAUAUUAUUUAAUGGAAAGUAAUAAAUAUUUAACACUAUUAAUAAAUUCAAAAUACCUCAGCCUCAGCUACACAAGCAAAACUUUUCGACCCAGCUGUGUGAGUGAACUUUUGUUUUUGCCUGCUGCUUGUUCCAACUCGUUCACGAUCCUACAUUAUGAAAUUAUUAUUACGUAUAUAGUAAAUACUAUAAACUGAAAUAAUUAUAAGAGUUUGGAAGUACGUAAUACCUCUCCUUUAUUUGAAUUCCAAAAUCUAACCGCAUCUUCCCAUUGGAACCUUAGUAUUCCCGGUGGGACAUUUCGCAAUUUCUCUUCGAGGGUUGUUUUUGUCUUAAAAUAUUCUUUCUUUAAAGUACUUUUAUGGUCUCUCCAUCUUUUUCCCAAUUCCUUCUUGACGUAAUUAUCUGAGACCUCUAAAGCAAACCUUGCCUACAAAAAACGCAAGUUUAUAAAGUAAAUAUAAGUGAAACUUAAACCAAAGUAUUAUAAAUUACAUUAACGUUUUGUUACCUUAAUAUUAUCGAUAGCUUGAUUUUGUUACUAUUAGGCAUUUGAUGCCAUGACUCGUAGUUGAUAGGCAACAUAUUGGCAUUUCGUGCUAUAAUGCCCAAAUAUCCUGCUAAAAAUCGAGCUUCUGAUCCAACAGACUGACCAAAACUGUUUCUACAUACUUUGACACGCUCGACAAGAUCUAACUUGUAUAAAUCUUUAAGUACCGUACGUCAUCGUUCUCUGCACAUCCCACCACUUUCAGCUGAAAAAUGGUAUAUUACAAUAUAAGAAUUUGAAAAAGAAAUCAAUAAUAAAAGUCAACACUCAUGCAAAUUAAAUUUAACACUAUUUUGAUUUUCUGCAGGUUCUUCAGGUGUAUUUGGAACAUUCGAAGAUCCAAUAGCAGUCUGUUGUUCACUAUUUGUUUCUUCCGAGUUUAGAGUAUUUUGAACAAUACUUAGAUCUCGCAAUCUUCUUCUAGGAAUUUUAUCUGCAAUACACAUAAAAUAGUUAAAAUUUUAGUAACUAAUUAUAACAAUAACAACACAUAUAAAAUAGUUAAAAUAUUUAAUAAGACCAAGAUUUAAAUUAUGGUAUUACAUAUAAUUAAAAAAUCGUAAAAUCUUACUACAUCAUUAUUUGUAAAUAUCUUCAUCAACAUCCUGGCGAACCCAUUGAAAUUGUGUCCUAGUACUAGGGAUAUUUUCGUUUAAGUUUUGUUUUAGAAAAGGAAAAGUUUCUGAUCUGUCAUCGAUGUCAUCUCUACUUCCAUUGCCCAUGUCAAACAAGUCUCUAGGGAUGUUACAAAGUACAACGUACCAACCCUCAUCAGUUGGAUCUUUUGAGUAAAAAACUUGUUUCACUUGAGAAAAAAAUACAUACGGCUUAUCUAUCAAUUGUUGUCCAGUGUGAAUCAAUCGACAGAAGUUCACCAUUGUAAAACCAAAUUGAUCUUGUUUAAUUCCACGAGCAGUAUUAACAUCAGCCCAGUCACAUCGAAAUAAGACAACUUUCCAUUUAACAUAGUAAUCCAACUUAAUAAUGUCAGUAAGAAGUCUGUAAUACUCCACAGUUCCCUCAACAGGAUUAUUGUCCCUAGCACUAGCAUAACUUGUAAUUGAAGAAUUAAAAACUAUUCCACAAUUUUGAGUUCUCCUCAAUAUCUCCCGAUAUUUUGUACGAAACCUGAAUCCAUUGAUGAGGAAUACACUAUAUCUUUUUACUACUCUAUUCAGACCUUGGGAAAGCAAUUUAACUUCGUCAUUGACGUCCUUCCCACUCCAAACCUGUUGAACCGAAAGUAAAUUGAGUAAUUAUAAAUGUUAUGAGAAAACAUUAUUAUUUUUCAAUGAAAGCUUCAACUACAUACCAUUUGGCUUAACCAUUCAUGAAAAGAUUUUGUGAAUAACUUAUUAAUCUCUCGAUGUUGUAAUAUUCGGGAGCGUGAACGAGAUCUCAAGAUUUGUUUGUACUCACUAUGUUAAAAAGAGGUUUACUUUGUUAGAAGAUAAACAAAUUAUAAUUGAUGAAUAUUUAUCAAAUUCCAGAACUUACUUGUGUAAUGGUUCUAUUAAGUCGUGGUGAAAAAGAACAUAUCGAUGUGCUUGUACCCACGAUCUAUCAUCUAAUUCUGAAAUUUCAACUUUGCCGAUUGGUUCUCCAUAACUUUGAAAUAAAUAUGUUUCGGCCAAGUUAUGAUCAGUGAGCCAAGCAUUUCUACUUGGUCUUUUCAUUCUUGUUUCAACAUCUUCUAAAUAUCUAGAACAGAAAGUCAUACAUUCCUCAGCCAAGUAGCCUUCAGCAAUUGAGCCUUCGGGAUAACGCUUGUUACUCCAAUAAGACUUCAAUUUCGAUAGGAACCUAAACACGAUAUACAACAUUAUCAAAAGUUGUAACUAAAGGCAUAGAGGUGAAUGAACGAAUAAUUUACAAAUAAAUUAACACCUUUCUAUGGGAUACAUCCAUCGAUAGAAAAUGGGUCCACCAAGUAUUGCUUCAUGAGGGACAUGAAUUAGCAAGUGCACCAUAAUAGUGAAGAAGGAAGGUGGGAAGAUCUUCUCCAAAUUGCAUAAAGUCAAUGUGGCUCGAUCUUGUAGCGUCUCAAGUUCUUGAACAUCCAAAACUUUGCCACAAAUGGCUUUCAUUAUAUUGGAUAGUUCAAUUAUACAAGACGUUACCUUUUUUGACAUACAACACCGCAUAGCAACUGGUAGUAAAUCUUGCAUCAAGAUGUCAUAGUCAUGUGAUUUUAAGGCAUAUAGUCUUCGAUCUUUAAGACUCACACAUCGAGAUAUAUUUGAUACAUACGCAUUCGGGACCUUUAUAUCCUUCAACAUCGUGCAGAACACUUUUUUUUCGUCUUCGACAUUGAAAAAAUAGAAGGUUGCAACUGAUAUUUCCCAUUCAAAAGUGCUUGGGGAUGAAGAUCACGCCGAAUUCCCAUGUGGACUAAAUCAAGUCGACUUUGAAGAUUGUCUUUUGACUUUCCAUCGACAUUGAAAAUUGUCCUAAUGAUGUUCUCACAAACAUUUUUCUCAAUAUGCAUGACAUCAAGAUUGUGUCGUAAAAUGUGAUGCUCCCAAUAAGGUAACUAAAAAAAUACUUCUUUUUCUCCACAAGUCCGCCUCAUUAGGAUCAUCUUUUUCAUCAUCAAAUUUAUCCAUUGAUCUUCUAUUUCUUUGCGUGUGGGGUGGUUGAUUCAUCUUCCCAUAACUGAAAUUCAUAUCUUUCAACAUGAACAAGAUUUCAGAUCCACCGGUCUACGAAGGAGCUUCUCUGAACUCUUUAGUACCGUCAAACGGAGUACUCUGAAGUCUACAUCUAUGAUUUCCCAGUAACCAUCGUCGGUGCCCCAUGUAAGAGAACUUCUUCCCAUUAUAUAACCAUUGCGAACAUGUUUGCACGAUACAACAAGGACAAGCAUAACGUCCCUUGGUACUCCAACCAGAUAAAUUGGCAUAAGUCGGGAAGUCAUUAAUAGUCCACAUCAAAGCUGUAUGUAAAUUAAAGUUCUCCUUUCUCAGUACAUCAUAUGUCUUAGCACCAACCCAUAAUUGUUUUAACUCUUCAAUAAGUGGCUACAAAUAAAUGUCAAUAUCAUUUCCGGGACCUUUCUCUCUAGGGAUAAUCAUAGAUAAGAGAAAGGAAGAUUGUUUCAUUCAAAUCCAUUGAGGUAAAUUGUAAAGAACAAGCACUACAGGCCAAGCACUAUACGCAGUGCUCAUGAUUUUGUAAGGAUUAAAUUCAUCAGAUGCUAGCCCAAGCCUCACACUCCUAGGAUCGCUUGUAAAGCUUGGAAAUUUACUAUCAAAUGAUUUCCAAGCUAUAGAAUCCGUAGGAUGCCUUAACAAUCCAUUAUCGGUUCGUUCAUCAUGGUGCCACAUCAUAGACUCGGCUAUCUUCGAUGACAUGAAAAGCCUUUGAAGCAUUGGUAUUAGCAAAAAAUAUUGCAAAAUCUUAAUUGGAUUCUUCCUUGACUGUGCAUCAUUUUCAUCCUAGUUACCAUAUUUUGUAUUUCUAUUCAUCCAACGGGAUUGACCGCAUACAUGACAGCACUGUUUGUUUUUUCGGUCGCCCCAAUACAACAUGCAGUCAUUUGGACAACUCUGAAUUUUGUGGUACCCAAGGCCUAAACCUUUUAUCAGUUUCUUCAUAUCUUUGCAUGAAUGAGGGAUUUUUGCAAACGGAAACAUCUCUCUCAAAAACUCUAACAGCAUUGUCAAAGAGUUUCUGGUCCACCCUCCCAAACACUUUAACUGAAAAAGACGAAUAUAGAAUGACGUUUUUGAAAAUUUUGAUCCCUCAUAAAGUUCUUCAUUCAUUUCAUUAAGCAGCAUGUAGAAAUUUGCCGCUUCUCCAUUUGGCUCUUCAUCAGGUAUACUUCUUCCCGUUUCGGUAAAAUUAUUUCCACCGAUAUUACAAUCAUCAGAUGCAACAAAGUCGGGUGGAAACGAUUGCAAACCAUGACUGUGCAUAUUAAAUGCAUCCCGCAACAUACCUUCCAUGUCAUGUUCUCUAACAGACUGAUGGUAAGCACUACAAGGAUAAGUCGGAUUAAUCGUUGAAGAGGAAGUACUAGGUGUGCAUUCUCCAUGGAAAAUCCAUUUUUUAUACCCCCGAAUAAACCUAUCGACAAUUAGAUGCUCGUAGACAACUUCACGAAAAUGCCAAUUGAUGUUGCCACACUUCUUACACGGGCAAAGAAUCAUAUUCUCUUGGCUUGCAUUUUGAAAUGCAAAAUUUAGAAAAGUUUGUACUCCAUUUCGAUAGUCGUUGCUUACCCUUGACAAAUUCAUCCAAGACCGGUCCAUUUCGUUGUUCUUGAAGUCUAAAGUUGACAAUAAAUUACAUGGGUAAUCAUGGCUAUUUAUAAGUAUAAUUAAGUUAUGUAACUUAUGAUAUGAUAUAUAUUUAUGUAUUAUGCAAGUUAUGUAAGUUAUGUGAGUAUGCAAAUUAUGUAAGUUAUGAUAUAUAUUUUGUAAGUUUUAAAAACAUUUAAAAAUAUUAAAUAUUAACAUCAACUCAAUAAAACACUAAAAUAAUAGUAUAUAGAUACAAAUAUUAUAAUAUAGAUAUUUCCGUUCUAAUGUUUAAAUUUAUUCUUUUUUAAUUUAAAUCAAAGCUCAAGACAUCAACUUAAUUGACUUGUAACAUAAUAAGAAUAUUUAACGCUAAUGAGUUGACAUUAUAUCAUUUCACAAAUUCUAAAAUUUUUAAUUUUUUUAUAUAUAUUGGAGGUGAUUAAAGUAUCAUAAUCAAUAUUAACCAAGCUAAAAAAUCUCAACAACAUAACAUUUACCUAUUUUUUAAUGAUAGUAAGAAUUUCAUCAUACUUUGCUGAUUGAAAUCAAUUUAAUUAAAUCCUAAUAAAAAAGAGUUGUUUUUGCGGCAAUUUUAAAAUGAAAAUUAAUUGUUUUUGCUGCAAUUUUAAGAUGGAAAUUAAAAAAAUUUGACAAGUGUAUUUAUCGUAUAUCUUUACAAAACAUGUCAUACACUAAAUUUAGAGUAGAUCGAUUUUUUAAAAAUUCUCAUAAUUAUUCAGAAAAAUAGUUUUUAUAGCAACCAUUUUCAUUAAGCAUAAUCCUUUAAGUCCUUCCAGAAAUUUGAUGUUGAUGGACUAUAUAUAGCUGUAGUUUUGUCUUUAUUCAGACAUAAUCUUUUAGGUUUUCGUGAGCAAUAACACAUUAUGUUUUGUAAACUUAUGCAUUAUUUAUUCAUUUGAAAAUAUAUAAUUACAACGAACCCAAAUCAAAUCUGAACCUGAAACAAAUUCAAUUCAUAAAAACUUUAAAUCAAUUCAUUUCACAAGUUGAUAAACCAAAAUUAUCCAAAAAAAAAUUAAAAAUUAAAAACUUUCACAGUGGGAAAAUAAAAACUUCAUAUUUAAAUGAGUGAAAGUAACUUUAAUAUAAAAAAAAAACAGUUUUAAAGAAAUUAUGUAUUUAUCGAUGAACCAAACCGAUUCAAACCAGUGAAAGGUUCGGUUCAAUUUGAUUUCAAUUUGGAUCUUUAAAAACCAAAAUACUGUAUAAUAAUUGCAAAUAUAUUCCAUAACCGAUCUUAACAUACAACACUUAGUAGAAAAUGGAGCAAAAAAGAACUUGCAACAACAUUAACCAGAACAUUAACCAGAACUUGCAACAAAAAAGAACUUGCAGCAACAUUAACCAAAUUCCUAAAUAAAACAGUCCCAAAUACAAAUAUACCAAAUUCAAACAUAAAUUUAAAAAAUGAAAAAAAAUAAAGAAAAUAAAGGAUUAACUAACCUUCUGGUUAUCUAGGCUUUCUGUGUAUUGCUUCAAACCAGUGAGAGCUACCAAAUUUGUCGACUAAAUUGCUAAAACUAAAUUGCUACAAUCAAAAUGGAAAGAAAAAAACUACUACUCUGCCUCUGCCUGACUAAAUUGCUAAAACUGCAUGAGAAAGCAGCCAAUAAUGCACUAACGAUAUAUUUUAAAAUAAAUAUACAAAAAAAUCUAUGCUUUCAAAUAGAUUUUAAAUUCGAAAAUUAGAAUAUGCACUAACGAUAUAUUUUGGUGGAUCCAAGUCUGGAAUUAGAAAUAGUUAGAAUAUGCUUACAAAUCGAUUUUAAAUUCGAAAAUUACUUUUACCAGAAACAAAUUAAAAAUAUAUUUCAAUACAAAAUAGAUUUAGGCAUUCGAAAGCAUACAUUUUAUUGUCCAAAUGUAACAGUAAAUGGUUAAAACCCUAAAUAGACUAAAUUGCUAAAACUAGAAUUAAGAGAGAAGAAAACAAUACCUUUAGGAAGAUGAAGAGAAAUUAAAUCACUUCGGAACAGAUUCCACAAGUAAAAGUGUGAAAUGCGAACGUUUUUAGGGAUCAGAAACCCUAAAACCAAAGACAAAUUGACUGGAUUUUAGGGUUAAUAACUUUGAAAUAAACAAAAAAUUCACACAAACAAGAAUAACCCAAACCUUAAACACGCAAAAAAAAAAGGAAAUGAAACUGGUUCAAGCUUACCCAAAAAACAGAAUGUCGUUUACUCUGUCUUCGUCUAAAUGUUGUGAAGAAAUCAAAACAAAUACUCCUAAUAAGUAAAAAAAUGAAAUGAAGAAUCGAAGAAACAAAAAUAAAACCAAUGCUAGUUUUGUAGGUUCGUCUCUGUGAAUGAGUGGAAUUAGGGAUUUCGAAAGGGAAUUAGGGGCUGGGUACGGGAAAGGGGAAAACUGUUAUGUGGAAGAAAAUGACGACGUUCUGAAAAAUUUUAAUUUCCUAAAAAGAAACGGCGUUGUUCUGAACAAUUUUUAAUACAUUGUUGCGGCGUUUUUAGACAAAACGCCACUGAUGCUUACCUUUUGCGGCGAUUCUGAGAAAAUGCUACUAAAAAGUUAAAAUCUUGUAAGCAAACGACGCUGUUUUUGUACACUUUUUAAUACAUUGUUGCGGCGUUUUUAUAACAAAUGCCGCUAUUGCAUACCUUUUGCGGCGUUGUGGAGAAAAAUGCCACUAAAAAUCAAAUUCCUGUAACCAAACAGCGCCGUAUUGUACAAUUUUUAAGACAUUGUUGUGACGUUUUUGGUCCAAACGACACUACUAUUAAAAAAUUUUCAAAUAUUUAAUAGUUUUAUAAAAUUAAAAUUUGAUACAUUAAUAUGACAUUAUUUAAUUGUUCCAUUUUAAAAUUGAAUAUAAUGAUGGAAGAUAAUUCUUCCUCUACUAUUAAAAAAUAAUUUAAUUUGGGUAUCUUAAAAUUUUAAUAAUUCUAUUAAUUAUUUUAAAAUUAGUUUUUUAAAGUACAAAGAUUAAAUUCUAAUGAAUUAAAGUAAAAACCUUAACUUUUUUUCCAUAAAAUAGAAGGAUGAAAUUCAUAAUUAGACCAAAAAAACCCUAAACCUAAGACCCUAAACACCUGAAAACACCUAAAUCCUAAAACCCCUAAACCAUAAAAUUUAAACCCUAAUCUCUAUACCCUAAACCCUUAAACCCUAAUCCCUAAAUUACCAUAAACCCUAAACCUUAAACUAUAAACCUCCACCAUAUUAACUAAACGUUAAACCUUAAACCCUAAACCCUAAACCUUAAACCCCAAACCAUAAACAUACAUCCUAAACCCUAAAUAUAGAUAUUACAGGGGACAAAAGUAAUUAAAAAGAAAUCUUAAAUACUAAACCCUAAACCCUAAACCCCAAACCCCAGACUCUAAACCAUAAAUGCAAAACUCAAAAUUUUAAUCCGAAAAUAAUAAACAUUAUAUCAUAAACCUUAAACCUUAAACCAUAAACGUUAAACCUUAAAUACUAACCCUUAAACCCUAAACCUUAAACCUUAAAACCAUAAAGUGUAAAAUAAAAAGAUUUUUUUUGCGGCGUUUCUUCAAAAGUGCCGCUAAUGCUGAACAAAAAAACAAAAUCGUUUUACUCAUUUUUUUGCGGCGUUUCCCAAAAAGUGUAGCUAAUACUUGUUCUAUAGCAGUGUUUCACAAAAGCGCCGCUAAUUCUCGAUCUAUUGCGGUGUUUGUUAAAAUGUGCCGCUAAUACCACUAAAUCUCAAAAUAGAAAAUGAUGUCAUUUUCUCAACUUUUUUGCGGCAUUUUUCGUAAAGCGCUGCUAAUGUUUGACCUUUAGUGGCAUUUUACAGAAUGCCUCACUAAUUCUCGAACUUUUGCGGCGUUUGUAAAAGAGUGCCGCUAAUUCUAGAUUUUUUACGGCGUUUGUUAAUUAUCGCCGCUAAUUGAAAAAGCAAACGGCGUCGUUUUUCCCAAGUUUUUUGCGGCAUUUUUCUAUAAGUGCCCCUAAUGCUUGAUCAUUUGCUGCGUUUUAGAAAAAGCGCCGCUAUUGCUUACAUAUUGUGGCGUUUGUUAGAAUUCGCCGCUAAUGCUCGAUUUUUUGCGGCGCUUUUCGUUCAAACGCCGCUAUAAACACUGCUAAAAACUUGUUUUGUUGUAGUGAUUGUUUGAAAAUUAUAUUUAUUUAUUGACUUAGUGGGAUUAUAGACUUCACAUUGAUUUAGACAUUUCUAGUAGUAAAUGUCACAAUAGUAUUUACAUGUGGAUACAAAAUAAAAAGAAUGACAAUAAAAUUAUCAAUUGUCAAAAUUUAUAUUUACAUUAUUAGUACAAUUGAAAAAAAUGUUAAAGUAAGCCAGAAGUUUUAUCUUGGAUUACAAAUCAAGCAUUUAAAAGAUGAAAUUCAUGUUCAUUAAUCAACUUAUAUGGAAAAUAUAUUAAAGAAAUUUUACAUGGAUAAAGCACACCUAGCUAUUAAGUACUCUGAUGGUUGUACGAUCGUUAGAUGUGAAUAAAGAUUAAUUUCCUCCUUGCAAGAAUAAUGAAGAGUUUCUUCGUUCUAAAGUACCAUAUCUAAGUGGCAUAGGGGUAUUGAUGUAUCUUGCAAACAACACAAGACCUGAUAUAACUUUCACUGUAAAUUUGUUAACAAGAUUUAGUUCUUCUCCAGCACAGAGACAUUAGAAUAGAAUUAAACAUGUAUUUAGAUAUUUCAGAGGGACCAUUGAUAUGGGGUUAUUUUAUUCAAAUGAUUCAAAAUCUCUAUUAGUUGGCUAUGCUGAUGCUAGAUACUUAUCAGAUUCACAUAAAGGUCGAUCUCAAAUAAGAUAUUUAUUUACAUGUGGGGUUACUGUCAUAUCAUGGCGUUCAACAAAGUAAACAUUACUUGCCACUUCUUCAAAUCAUGCAGAAAUAAUUGCAAUGCAUGAGGCAAGUCAAGAGUGUGUUUGGCUAAGGUUAUUGACCCAACAUAUCCAAAAGAUAUGUAAUUUGCCUUUAUAGAAAGAGAUGUCAACUAUCUUAUAUGAAGAUAACACAAAAUGUAUAGGAAGAGAAGUCAACUAUCUUAUUUGAAGAUAAUGCAGCAUGUAUAGCUCAGUUGAAGGGUGAUUACAUCAAAGGAGAUAGAACAAAACAUAUUUCACCAAAAUUAUUCUUCACCCGUGAUUUUGAGAAAAGAAGUGAUAUAAAUGUUCAACAAAUUCGUUCUAGUGAUAAUUUAUCAGAUCUUUUUGUAAGGCAUUGCCAACUUCAACAUUUGAAAGACUACUACAUAAGAUUGGAAUGCGUCAACUAAAAAAUGUAAUGUAGUGUUGCCAUUAGUGGGAGUUCAAAAUAAGUUGUACUCUUUUCCUUUAACUAAGGUUUUGUCUCAUUGGGUUUUCCUGGUAAAGGUUUUUAAUGAGGCAGCUUCUAAUAAAAGAUUGUGUACUCUUUUUCCUUCAUUAAUUUUUAUCCACAUGGUUUUUUCUAAUAAGGUUUUAACGAGGCAUAUUAUCUACAAAUGGACAUCCAAGGGGGAGUGUUAUGAAUAUCUUAUUAAGUGGAUGUCCAUCAUGAUCAAAAUAAUGUUUUGAUGUACUUUAAAUUCUAAUAGUUAUUAGAAUUAGAUCUCUACUUCUUUUAUACUUCUUAUGCAUAUAAAUAGAGACUUUGACGAAGCAUUGUAAUUAUCCAUUUGAUUAAUAAAGUACAUUAUUUAUUGCUUUCAUAUUUUCAUAUUUUCUUUUUUCUCUCCAUUUUUCUUUAUUUUAUAACAGUUUUAAGUUUAUUUUUUAUUUUUAAUUAUCAUUUUUUACACAUAAACUCUUUUGGUUAGAUGGUUAGAUAAUUGGGAUUUCAUCAUUGAGCUUUAAGUUUAAUUCCUCUUAUAAGCAUUUUAAUAUGUAUUUUUUAUUUCAUGUUGUUUCAAACUUUUUUUUUAUUUUUAAUUAAUGUUUAUAAUUAAUAUGUAUAUUGUUUUCAAGUUUUUUAAUUCAUCUCGCUUUUAUUUAUAAAAUCAUUUAAUAAAGUGAAUUUGUUUACAAAAAUUAACUAGUCUUUAGAUAUAUUUUUCUUUUUAUAUAAGAUUUAUAUGUCAAAUAUUUAUUUUCUCCACCUAUAUUGUGGGGUAUGGUGAUUUCUAAUAUUAUAAAAUCAAAUAAUUAUUUCAAAUAUCAUUGUUUUUUCAUCUACAUUGUGGGUAUGAUAUUUCAAAUAUUUUUAUAUGUGAAAUAUUUCAAAUAUAAUUAUGUUUAUAUGUGAAAUGUUUCAAAUAAUUAUUUCAAAUACACUUACAAAAAUAUAUAAUAUCAUAUAAUAUGCGAAUUCACUACACUUAUGAUGUGGAUUGAAAGAUAAAUAUUACAAAUAUAAAAAUUAUAUUUACUAAAAAUAAUGAUAUUUUCAAUAAUUCUUUAACUUUAUAAAUAAAAGGGUUAUUAAUUAAAAAAUAUGAAUUAAAAAUAAAAAAUUGAAAGUAAUAUAUUUAUUAAUUAUAAACAUUAUGUAAUGCCCUAAAUUUUGAAUAUUUCAUUAGCAAGUAUUUGUUUUAGUGGUUAAGUGUCUUAAUUGUGUGUUUGAGGUUUUGGGUUUAAGUCACAGUUUUUGGGAAAAUUCAAUUAUUUUUUGUUCCUAGGCCUAUCUCUGUUCGUUGGGCUUAAAGGUUAUUUUUAAUCAAUUUAUGUCAGAAUGAGCCUGCUGGUUUAGUGGUAAAAGAUUGCUUACUAUUGGUCUUGUGUUUGAAUUCCCAUGUGAGCAAAAGAGCAAUAUUUUUGCAAUUUACUGUCUAGGGUGCGCAUGGGAUGAAAUUGGUUUGAAAAUCAAAUUCUAGGAAGUUGGCUGGUUGUUGCAUACCAAAGUUUGUGAAAUUUUAUGAACAAUGGUGUUAGUGGGUAGGUUAAUUUGUUUUAAAAUUGCAUUUUGGUUAGGAUUGUUUUAUUUAAAAUAUAUGGACACUUUUGCUCUCGCACGUUCCCUUCUCUCCUUCCCUUUCUUGCUUCAUUUAUCCUUUUUCUUAUUUCUUUCUUUGUUCAAAUGGGUGGGGUCCCAAGCUGAUCUUUUUUUUUUCUUAAUCUUUGUUGUUUCAAUUCUUCUUGUUUGGCCAAUCAAGGUUAGUAAUAAGUGUUGACUGCGACUUGAAUUGUUCAUAAGUAUUGGUAUUCUUUUCCUUUUCGUUUAAGAAUUUGUUGUCGUUGUUUCUCAUUUUGUUGGAGUGUGUUGGUGGAGUUAAUCAUGGUUAGUUGUUUGGUUAGGUUUAGGGGAAACACAAGAAACGAUUCAUCCGUCAGUGACUUAGGAUUGUGGAGACCCUGUUCGUCCAUAGGUAAGGGUUUUAUGCCAAAUUGGGCUCGUUAUGGUUGUUAAGUUAAUCGGAUGUGGGUUGGUUUAGUAUUUUAGAGAAAUUAAAGAUUUUAGUCACUUAAUCGUUGCACUAUUGUGGGCUAAUUUGCUUAAUGUUUGAUGCAUUUAGGUGCUGGAAUACUAAAUUUGUGGAUUCGCAUUGAAAUCAGUCAAUGUGUGUAAUGAAAACUUGAGAAAACAACGAACAACGAAAGCCAAAAAAGUGAGUUGUCGACACUACAUGAAUGUGUGUCAGGCCAUGUGUUGGAGCGUGUGGGACACACGGUCUGGGCUAAUUGGGUUGUGUGGGCAACACGGGCAUGUGUGAAACUGUGUAGGCCCAAAAUUUAGAAUUUUCCCUAAGACCGUAAACAUCGUUCUGGUCAAACGUAGGCCUUUCGUAGGGUCCAUAUGACAUUAAUUAAGCUUUAAAAUAUGAUUUCUGAUGUUCUGUUAGCAUAAAAAUAUUGAUAUGAGUUGUAUGACAAAUAUGAUGUAUGCAAAACACGAACUGUAUUUCUGGUAAGUCUGAUAUGUAUUUGUUAUGAGAGCAUGUAUGACAUGUAUGUUCUAUUAUAUGUUAAUUUUUGUAUGUGCAUUGGGUGUGGGACUGUGUAUAUGGAGGAAGUGUGGGUAGAUAUACCUCUGCCAUAUCUGGUGGCACAACUACACAUAUUUCUGUAAAUGGCAAUAAAUCGCCUAAUGAUCAGGCAGCUAAGGUACGAAUAUUCUAAAAAGUGUCAUAUAUUGACACUAAGUGGUGUGUAGGUUUGGAUGGGUACUCUAAUACCAGAUAUGGUAUGUUGGGAUGGUCGAAGAUGGUGUGUAACGGAUGAGGGUAGGUUCUUAAAUUUGCAUCUGAUAUGAUUUUAUACGAAUUUUUUUCUAUUAUAUGUCUAAUUAUUAUUUGUUGAUAUUCUAUUAUGUUACACAUUGAGCUUAUAAGCUCACUAUCAGUUUGACUAUUUACUUUUAGGUAACCCUUAGACUUAGGAUUGGUUGGUGCAGCGGGAGCUCGGUUGAACAUUUCUGUUAAUCAUGCUAUUCUUUGUUAUUUUACUAUUUUGGUUUUAAUGGACUAUUUGAACAUUUUUGGGACUGUUUUAAUGUUUGGACUUUAUUUUUUUUAUUUUAUUUUAAUUGAUUAAAUGUUUUUGGUGGGUAGAAAAUUGAUUUGCUAAAUGAUGGAUUUUAUAACAAAAAAAUUGUGUUUUCAAACUGGAUUUGACUAAGUUUUCCACUGUAGACAAAUGUGUUUUACGAGUAAAUAAUUAACAAACUUAUCAAAAGAGCUAAGAAAGAUAAAUUUCCUAAAUAAACUCAAAUUUUACUAAAUAAGUGCAAGUAUCGUUUUAUAAAAUGAACGGAUUCUAUAUUUUUUUGAAUGUAUCAUAAUAACAUCUCUAGAUUUGGCCAUAACAUCAAGGCCGGGUUUGGGGUGUUACAUUUGGUGGUAUCAAAGCCAGAUUGCAAAACUCGGGCUGUGAAUUUUGGGUUCAAAAUUUUGUGAAAAUUGUAUUUUAAAAAAUUUUCUUUCUGUUUAAAUCUGAAAAGUGAGUUUACAGAAUACCGAAUCUCCGAUGCUGGUCCUGCAAGUACUUCUAACUUAGUUAAACUUUUAGUUUAGAAAAACUCUUAAAUGAUUAUAAGUGCUCUGCGAUAGUUAGAGACUGCAACAACUCUGUAAAUUUUUUUGAUAACUUUCUGAGAAUAAAAUAUAUGUCAAUAAACAUCGAAAUUGAUACAUAAAACUCUGUAAUGUAGAAAACAUACUAUGAGUGCACGUGGAACUCGUGGACACGGUAAUCGUGGGCGCGACGGAAACCAAAAAGGGCUCGAGUUGAGCCGUCCUCGAUGGACAAUAUGCCCAAUUUAGAUACAAGUGAAACAUUGGGUAUGCCUGCUACUAAGAUUGGAUCUUGGACUUAGACGGUUGGGGACGACGCAUUGUCCCAAGCCAUGUUUAGGGUGCUUGAGAGGGUCGUUGGGACUUAUUCUAGAUCUGAGAGUCAAAGGUUGGUAACUGAAUGACUCCGGUCUAACGGUCCGAAACUGUUUAGGGGCGUCACUAAAGCUGCCCCAACUGCGGCAAAAUAUUGGUUGGAGGCUAUAGAGAGGAUUAUGAAUCAUAUCAAUUGCACCCCUGAGCAGAAAUUAAAGGGUACAGUAUAUUUGCUUAGCGAUGAAGCUUAUCAGUAGGGGCUGACCAUUGAGGAGGGUACUCAACAUGAUGAGAUUUCUUGAGAGUACUUUAAGAAUGACUUCUAGAGAAAAUAUGUGGGGGCUCGUUAUGUGGAGGCUCAUAGACGGAGUUUAUGGGCUUUACUUAGGGGGAUAAGAUCGUGGUUGAGUAUGAGGCCGAGUUUUUGAGGUUUAGCAGAUAUGCUCGUGGGCCUUUGUCAACUGACUAUAACAAAAGCAUUCGGUUUGAGGAAGGGCUAAGGUAUGACCUCAAAGUUCUGAUAGCUCCUCAAAGGGAGUGAGUUUUUGCCAUCUUGGUGGACAAUACGAAGAUUGCUGAGGAGGUUAAGUGCAUUGAGAAUGAAAAUAAGGAUAUAGAGAGAGGUAAGGCUAAGAGGGAUUCAGAUCCCUCUAGUUCUAUUUAGCGGCUUAAGAAACGAGCCAGAUUUGAAGGGCCUCCGAGGGUUAAGGCAAAUGUUUCUCCUACUGUGGUUCAGACAUGUAGAGAUUAUGGUAGGCAUUAUCCAGGUGAAUAUUAGAGGACGUUGGAAGCUUGCUUGCGAUGUGGCUUGAUGAAGCACCGCAUCCGGGAUUGUCCGCGCUGCUCUAGUUAGGUGCAAGCUCCAGUUUCGCGUUUAGUUCAACCUCAAUGAGUAGUUCAACAACCACCUAGGGGUCAUGGUCAGGCCCAAAGUGGUAAUGGAUUGGGUAAUGGUUAGAGAGGAUUGGGAAAAUGUGUUAAUUAGACUAAGGCUAGGUAAUCUACUUUGGUAUAUGCAACAAGACACCGUGAGGAUAGAGACACCGCAGACGUUAUCGUCGCCACGUUCUUUAUUAAUUCUAUAUCGUACUUUGCACUGAUAGAUAUAGGUUCAACACACUCCUACAUAGCUAGCUUUGUUUCUGUAAACUUGGGUAUUUUUGUUUAAAGCACUUUUGGUGAGGUUUUAUUGAUCAGUUCACUAGGUCAAUCAGUUCGGGUUGAUAAGGUUUAUAAGAGAGUAUAGCUGGAGAUACAAGGUGUAGUGUUUCCAACUAAUUUGAUAGAGUUACCAUUUGGAGAAUUUGAUUUGAUAUUGGGUAUAGACUAGCUCGUGGAGUAACGAGUCAACUUGGACUAUGUCACUAAGAGGGUAACUCUAAGGUCUAAAGAUGAUUUAGAGAUUUUCGUGAUUUAUGAGCGUCGAGAUUACCUCUCCAGUGUAAUCUCUGCUUUUAUGGUUGAAACAUUAGUUCAGAAAGGCUGUGAGGCAUUUUUGGCCUUUGUGCUUAACAUUAGUCCAGUGUAAUCUAUGCUUUUCAAAAAACGCCGCUAACGACUCGAAAAAUCAAAAAAUGACAUCGUUGUGCUUGGAUUUUUUGCGGCGCUUUCUGGAAAACGCCGCUAAUGCUCAUUUUUAAUACUGGAUCUUUAGCGGCGUUUUUCCUAAAGCACCACUAAUGCUUGAUUUUUAGCGGCGUUUUUUAUCCAAACGCCACUAAAAACGCCGCUAAAAGCCUGUUUUGGUGUAGUGUAUGAGAGUGUAACAGUGAUGUCGAACCAUCAUUUAGAAGAAUUUCCUUGGGGACUUGCAAAUAGUAAAUACCCGUUUUUAUGGGUAGUUAGGCCUGACGUUGUGAUGGGAGAAUCGGCUGUUUUUCCAAGAGAAUUCAUGGAGGCAAUAAAAGGAAGGGGCCUCAUAAUAAGCUGAUGUCCCCAACAACAAGUGUUGUCCCACCCAGCUGUUGGCGUUUUCUUGACACCCUGCGGAUGGAAUUCUUUGUUGGAAGCUGUAUCCGAAGGUGUGCCUUUAAUUUGUUGGCCUUUCUUUGGUGAUCAACAAACGAAUUGUCGAUAUUCGUGCACCACAUGGGGCAAUGGAAUGGAAAUCAACCCUGACGUAAAGCGUAAGGAUGUGGAGGCUCUUGUUAAAGAGAUAAUGGAAGGAGAUAAUGGGCAAAGGAUAAGGCAAAAGGCAUUGGAAUGGAAGAGAAAAGCUAAAUCUGCCAUUAGUGUUGGAGGAUCUUCUGUUACCAACUUUGAUAGAAUGAUCAAGGAGGCCUUACGUCAAGGUUGAACAUUAAAAUAAGAAAAAUUGUUGUGUUGAAUGUUGUGUAUGUACUUUUUUUUUAUUUUUAUAAUACACUAUUAAUAAAUUGGUUAAUAUUGUGUAAUUGGUAAUAUACUCUCUUUUUUUAAUUCCAUAAGUAAACUUAAAAAAUUGUUAUGUAUCUAAUUAAUUUUAUAAAUUUAUUUUUAAUAUUUUAUUAUAUUUUUAUAGAACACUUAUAAUCACUCUAACCCUACUUUGUAAAUUGUAGAUCAUAUAAUCGAAUUUGCCUUAUUAUCUCACCUGUAACUUUUAUUGCCUCGCCUUUAUUUUUAAUUUUUCUUUUUUUCUUAGUUUUUCUUUUGGUUCAAAGAAGAAACCAAACAUCAUAUAGUUCCCCAUGUAGAAAGGGAAACAGAUACAAUAUAAAUUAACACAUGAACUUACUUAAAUAUGAUUCUAAGAUUAAUCUAUAAUUUUUUUCUGCUUUUAUAUUCUGAUUGAUUUAAUUCUUGAUCCAUAUAAUUUACAAUGGGAAAAUUUUCAUUUAGGCUAUUUAUAAUUUAUAAAAUUUUAAAUUAGUAAUGAUAAAAUUACACUUUGGCCCCCUUAAAAAUGAUAAAAAUUUGAUUAAUUAUUUGAAAAUUAUGAAGAUAUAGACUAUUAAAAUGGUGAAAUUACAUUUUUACCAUCAUAAAAUAUACAAUUUAAUUCCGCCCUGAAAAACUUUUCUAUUUCCACCACUGCUUUAUAUUUAAAUUAAAUACUUCCUUUUAAGAGCUUGAAUUACAAUGUCACAUUAUUCUCUCUCUAUAUAUAUUUUUACUUUUAGAUUUAUAAUAUUUUAUAUUUAAUAGUAUAUUUUAUUUCAAAUGUUUCAUAUUUAUACUCAAAGUCAUUUAAAUUUUGGGUUUGUUUCAUAAAAUUUUAAGAAAAAAAUAAAAAUAUAAAACAUAAAACUUUUAUAAUUUAAAAUUUACAUUUAUCAAACAAUCUAUUUAUAUUUAAUAAUUAAUUUUAAGUAAUAUAUCAAAUAAAAUUUAUAAUUUAAAUUCAAUAUAUGUAAUUUUUUAACACUUAAUUUUUAAUUUAUUUUUUAUAGAAACAUUUUAAUUUUUUAUCCAUAUUCAAAUAAAUGUGUAAUUGGAUUUAUGAACUUUGAAACUUGAAUUGCACUUCAUAUGUAUACAUAAAGCUUUGAUUGUAUACAUUUAAAGAAAUGAAUACAUACAUUUAUUUUCAUAUUGGAUUAAUAUUGUUUUUUUGUGCAUGCAAUAUAUCAACAUAAAAUUGUGUUAAUUCGAUAAUAUUAGUCUAUGGUUUGUGAAUUUUGAAUUAAAUUAAAAUUUCAUGUAUAAAAUUGUACAAAAUAAAAGCUCAUGUAUGACAUUGCACAUUGGACCAAAAUUCAUGUAAAGCUUUGAUAGUUUUCCGUAAAAAUUAUUAAUUAUUGUAAGUAGUAAUAUUAAAUAUUGUAACAGUAAUAUUAGUUACUAUAGCGGUGAUGAUAUAUAUGUUCGGAUUUAAUCAUAGUAGUGAAAGUGGGGUAAAAUAUAAUAAGAAGAAAAAAUGAUUAUUAAACACAUAAUAUUAAAAUUUAUAUGUAAUAGAAUUUUUGAAACUAUUUGAUAUUUGUAAAGUUAAUAAUUAUAAAUUAUUAAGUUUUUUAUAUAAAUAUUUUAAUGAAUAUAAAAUAUUAAGAUGGAUGGUAUGUUCAAAUAAUUUUUUUCAUCAUUUUUAUAUAGUUAUUUAAUUUAAUAAACUUAUAUUAAUUAUAUAAAUAAAUAUAGUUUUGUUAGUCUUAUCAUAUAAAAGUAUAUUUGUAUAGACUUUUUUUUAAAUAUUUACUUAUUAUAUAAUUAUUAACUGAAAUAAAGUAAUGAAAAAAAUUAAUAUCACAAGAUAUAUUAUAAAUACUUUUGUCUUAAAAUAUUUUCUUAAAAAAGUAAAAAUGAUAAAAAGACAAAAAACUGAAAGGACGUGAUUGGAAAAACGGAGGCAUGCAAUGGAGAUGAAAAUUUUUAAUCUUAGCUCACUAGUGAUCCCAAGGAGCCUAAAUUAAUUUUAAGUAAAUUAUUCAUAUAGUCACUCUAAAACUAUUUCUUUUUGUCAAUUAAUUUUUUAUCAAUGAAAGCUAAUUAAGAUGUCAUGCAUUGUUGACUGUCAUACAAAUUGUGUAUAUAAUUAAAUAUUUCAAAAAUUAAUUAUAAAUCCUAUUAUCAUUCCUAAAUUGGAAAUCAACCCUUAACUCCUAAAUCAUUUAACUUUAAAUCUCAUUACCAUCACUGACUUCGAAAUCUAAUUCUAAAUCUCAAAAUCAUUAAACCCUAAACCUCCUUUAUCAUCACUUACUAACGACAAUGUUAUAUUUGACAAAAAAAAUUAGAAUAAUCAAAAUGGGAAUAAAGUAAUUUUAAAGUGACUAUUUGAGUAAUUUACCGUUAAUUUUACGGUGUCAUGGAAUCACUGAAUCUUAGGUACCAACAAAGAAAUAGCCAUAACGGUCAUUGUUUGUACCCACAAUAUGUAGGUAUCCAUCAUAUGAAUACUUAGUUUGAGCUCGAUUUAACUGUUAUUAUUAAAUUUGAAUUCAGUUCAAGAUAUAAUCAAACUAAUUGAACUUGAAUUCGAUUAAAUUAAACAUAUUUAAGCUUGACUUGAUAAUAAGCUUAAGGAAUUAAUAAUAUAUAUUAAGGGUAAUAAUGUAAUUUAAUACUAUACAAAUAUUUAAAAUUUAUCAAAAAUAAAAAGCUCAACAAGGUUAGCGGGCCAUUAGACCCAAGUAUUAUUAAGCUCAAAUUCGGUUCGUCCGAUAGUUCAAGUUUCUCGAACUAAAGCUCGACUCGAUAAUUAUCAAAUCGAGUUUGUAUUUCUUUAGAAUCAAACUUAAAUAACUUGCCAGCUGCCUAAACUUAUUUUAGGUCACUAUAAUCUCCAAAACCCCAAUUUUAACAUUUCAACUAAAUCUUCAUUUCUUCUUCACAAACUACCAUAAUCUAGUUUCUAUUAAUAUGGCUCUAAUAAUCUCGGAAAUCAAAGACCAAGCUUAUUUAUACAAGCAACUCUCUUUUUAACUGUUCCAACUCACCAAAGCAAAAUACAAAAGCAAUACUAAAUAUGAGCUUCACAUGCAUACCUCACACGACUGCAUUCACUUAUAAAGGAAAAAAAAAAAAGAAGAAGCAGAAAUAGAGACAUUGAAUGAUCCCCAUUCAUUAUUUAAGUAAUUCCCCACUGACAAUAGUAUUUCCAGGUAACCAUGUUUGAGAGCUUUCUUAACAAAUCUGUCGAAAUCAAUAUAAGAUGAUCCCCCAACUUCAACCGCUUCUUCCGCUUUCUUCUUCCAUUCCAAUGCCUUCUCUUUCUUUUUCUUUCCUUCCCCACCUUCCAUCAUUUCCUUAACUAAAAACUCUAUGUUCUCUCGCUUCACAUCAUGAUCCACCUCCAUGCCAAUGCCCCAAUGAGUGCAAGCAUAUCGACAAUUGGUUUGUUGAUCAGCAAAAAAUGGCCAACAAACUACUGGCACACCUCCUGAUAUGGUUUCCACGGUAGAAUUCCACCCACAGUGUGUCAAAAAAACACCGACUGAAGGAUGUGAAAGGACCUCAUAUUGGUUGCACCAGCUUGUUAUCAGCCCUCUUUCCUUAAUCUCCUUCAGGAACUCUAGAUCCAGAAUUGCAGAAUCACCCAUCACGACAUCUGGUCUAACGAUCCAUAAAAAUGGGUGUUUAGAGUUAGCUAACCCCCAUGCAAAUUCUUUGAGAUGCUUCGCCGACAUGACAGUAAUGCUUCCAUAGUUCACAUACACAACUGAAUUGGGUUCCCUUUUGUUAAGCCAUUCAAUGCAGCUUGUAUCUUCCUUCCAUAGGCUUGAGUUCAUUGACUUGGAGGGAUCGGCAUGUAGGUGCCUGGCAAGCAAAUGAAGUGGUCCUAUUGUAUAAAUUCGAGGAAAUUUGGCAGCGAUGGUGUCUAACACUUCAUGUUCGAACUCUUCAAAUGCGUUGAAGAUUAUUGCUGAAGCUUUGAGGCAAUUUUGAGCUUCGGAUCCGAAAU
Molecule: long non-coding RNA, 144851 nt
Filed under: Gossypium raimondii (Peruvian cotton)
Lineage: Eukaryota; Viridiplantae; Streptophyta; Magnoliopsida; Malvales; Malvaceae
Description: long non-coding RNA (GRAI_LNC001817)
Source: RNAcentral